AGUACAAGUCUCCUCCACCACCUCCUCCAGUGUACAAGUCCCCACCACCUCCAGUUUACAAGUACAACUCACCUCCACCUCCUCCCCCAGUUUACCUGUCUCCACCUCCACCCUAUCAUCACUACUACGGUUCUCCUUCUCCUCACCACUACUAAGCAAGUGCAUAAGUUUUGAGGUAAUAAUACCUAUCCAAAACUUUAUCAACACAAACUGCCAUGUAUAUCAUGCUAAGGACGUACACUUGAUCCAUGAAAAUGACUAGUAGAAGAUUUUUUUUAAGAACCAAAGAAAUACAUUAUUUUUUCGGUCUGUUUUCAAGAAUUUGAGCAGUAUACAGAUUAAAGAGUGUUUUUUUUUUUGUAAACUUGCUUGUCAACUUAAAAAUGCACAUAGCUGAAAGCCAACUGAAUAUUUGCAGGCAAAGGAGAAGGCAAUCGGUGUUUGAGACCUUCAAGAAGAUGUAGAAGAAUAAGAAUAAAAGCCCAAUGCGAGGAUGAUUCCAAGUUUCUACGUUACCAUUUCUACAUCUAAAUUGACUUUAGCUCCUGAGUUCCAUGUUUAUGGGGUUUGUACCGUUUUACGUACCAUGCAGUACAUGCUUGCAAGGUUUUCUGUCCUGUUGGCAAACUGCAGGUCCAUAUAAUAAAUGAAUACUAUUUACAUUACGACACUUUUCUCUUUUUCUCUUAUAUUUUGUCUUUAAUAUUGUUGAUCAUUUUUUUUUUAUCAAAAGCAUCAAAUGCUUAGGUAAUUUGGUCUAAUGCUAAUUGUUUUACUUUUAUUUUUCACCUACACCCCUUUUCAACUCAAAGGAUGCUAUAGUUUGUGAUAAUUGUUUAAGACCGAAGCAUGAUACUAAUAAAUAUCUCAUUGAAAGUCAAGGAAACUAACAUUAGGAAAAGUUUAAAUCUUGAUUUGAUGAAACUAUUUAUUCGUGGAAUUUAGAGAUACAAAACUCAAAUUGUGACGGUGUUGUUGCUAAAUUAUUAAGGACAUUAUCACCAUUAUUUUUCCCUGAUCACUAGUUUCAACUGCAAUGAUCUCAAUCUUUUUGUGACUAAUUCUUUCCUUAAUAAUUUAUAAAGACAAAACUCACAAAGAAUAUGUGACUAAUUCUUUCCUUUCGUCUUCUAAAGAAAAUGCCAACUGUUAGUUUAUCAAGGGGAAAAAGGAUCGACAUCAGUUAUUAUUGAAACUAGUAAGGAAUAAAUAAUGGUGAUAAUGUCCUUAAUAAUUUAACAACAGCACCAUCAGAAUUUGACUUUGAGCUUCGGUCUUAAACAAUGAUCACAAACUACAGCAUCCUUUGAGUUGAAAAAGGAAGUAGGUGAAAAGAAAAGUAAAAAAUACAAUUAGCAUUCCCUCAAAUUGUAGAAAGUUAGGUAGCAUUAUAGACAAGUUGAUAGCGGCAAUUUUACAUUUCAAACUUCACCUAUUCAAUAACUAAUUCGAUGGCUUGCUACAUGGUCAAUCUUUGGACCCCUUCCUGCCUCCAGAUAUCCCUUUCCUCAAUCAGGGGCUUCUACAAUUACCAGUUUCAAUUGUAUGGUAUAGUGUAAAUAUCAACAAAUUAGAUGUAGAUGCUAACAUAAUAAAUGUGAAUGCUAAGACAGCAACAUACAAUCGAACCUGCAAUUGUAUGAACCCCAAUCUCGCUUCCUAGUCCACCAUCUUUCUCUAGGUAAUAAUCUCCCUUCUAAUUUAUUCACAAAAUGCACCUUUCAUCACCUCCAAUAGCGUCGACAUGAUCUUUACCCUAGAAGACUAUUCACCGACUCUCAAUUGACGUCAGAAAAUCUAAGAGUAAUUCUACUUUACCCUAAGAUUGAUAUCAACAAGACAAGGACAAUUUAGAAUUAUUACACGCCUCUUCUUAAUAGGAAAAAGAAAUAGAGAAGAAAGUCAGGCCAGGUCUAAUUUCUUUUCAAAGGCAAUACAACAUUACGAAAUCAAGCAUUCAUUCAUACAAAUAUUUCAUAGUCACCGGUUUGCUGAGUAGAAAAAUUUAGACAAAAACUUAAUAUUAUAUUGUUUAAGAGUUAACAAUUUAGAGCUUAAUCUCCUUGUACUUUGGAGUUAACAAUUUAGAGCUUAAUCUCCUUGUACUUUGGACUAAACUUGAACGUGAAAGGAAAUCCCAAAACCAUAUUGGGCAUGAAUUCACACUUAAUAUACCCAAUAAAAGAUGGCGACUGGUGAAAGGCAGUGGAGACUGGUGGAGAGAUUUGAGGAAUAGAAGCAGACGGAAAAGCAACAAAUUUUUGCCGAAAAACGGUCACUUUCAUGGUUAAUUUUGCUACUCUCCAAUUGUACUUGACCAAUUACAACAAUUUCAUGGAGUUUGAUACGUGAAAAGAAUUUUUUAUAAAUUUUAUUUUGAUCCAUAAUGUUAUCUUUACAUAUAUAAAACAUUUUACAAUUUUGAUUUUGGCGCAGCUAACUUUUGGUUAACAAAAAUGCUCAUGUUUAAAAAACCAGAAAUAAAACAAAACAAGAAACAAAAGAAAUAAGAGGGUAGCAUAGACAUUUUGGAUUUUUCCGUUAAUUUGGAUGAUUUCCACCCACGUUCUAAUUUAAUCCAAAACACAAAGGAAUUACGUAGAGGUUUUAAAUAAUCAGGGAGCUUCAUGAUCGAACCCCAAACCACGUGAUAGCAUACAAGAGUUCUAUUUCACUAUCGGUAGACAAAGACUUUCUAUGGUUGAUGUACCGUAGGAAAAAAUCUGCCUAUACAACGUGAUAGCAUUUUUUCAAAAACACAAGAUGGAAAAUUGCCCCCUUAAACGUGGAAAUUCAUGAUCUUUCCUCGAACAAAGAAUACUCACGCCUAUUCAAGAUGGAAAAUUGCCCCCUUAAACGUCUAUUUGUCAAUUCUUGAAAAAAGAAUACUCACGCCUAAAACACGGCCUCUUCAUCUGCAGAAUUCUAAAAAGUUACGUAAACUCUAUAAACAAGUUGAUAGGUACAAUCGUACCCAAGAUCAAGUACAGAUAGUUGUACAUUCACUGCUGCAAUAACUAAUCUGAUGACUUACAAACAUAUCAUGGUCAAUCGUUGAAUGGUAAUGAGUCUUUUGUUAUGCAUUAGUAUUAGUGUGUACACUCUAAUAGAUUGAUACUUAUACUCUUUAAAUUAUCAUAAUAAUACCCUUAAUUAACUUUAACUCUUAAAAAGAAUACGUGUUAAUACACGAGAGUGUGUAACCUGAAUUGUUACUUAUACAUUAGUGUGUAAUAGAUAGGGAUGGCAGUGAGGGCGAGUGCCCGCGGGGGGCUCUCGGGGCGGGGGCGGGGGAGAAUUUUUUCCCCCCGUUUAGAAACGGGGCAGGGGACGGGGGAGUAUACCCCCGCCCCAUCCCCCGCCCCGCCACCCGCAAAAAAAAUUAUAUAUAUAUAAUUAUAUAUAAUAUGUAAUUUAAUUAGUUAUAAACUUAUGAUAAUGAUAUUAUUAGUUAGAUGUAUUAUAUAAUGUAUAUUAGUGUAUGUAAUAUAAUUAAUAUUAUCAAUUAUACGAAUAAUUAGACAUGUCCACUAAUAGAGUUUAUUAAUUAGUUAUACUAAAUUUACUAAUACAUUUGUACUAAAUUUCUAAUUACACUUAAUAGAAUAACACUUUUUUCUAAAAAAAAAAGCACAAACACAAUAAUGAAUUAGUGAUUGUAUUUGUACCAAAAGUGAAAACUUAACUAUUUUAGUUGUAUUUAUUUCAUCAUGUUGGAUUGUAUUCAAAUAAUUUUUGUUUGAUUGUUUUUAUGAGUUUCAAUUGUAAAAUUAAAAUGAAUAAUAACUUGAUGAUGUGUUGAUAUUUUAGUACUUGAUUAUUUAUUGAUUUAACUAUAAUAAAAUUUUAUUUUAUUAAAAUUUAACUAUAAUAAAAUUUUAUUAACCAAACGAGUUAUUAAUCCCGCGGGGGCACCCACGGGGGAAGCGGGGCGGGGCGGGGGAGUGGGAGGCGGGGGACGGGGCGGGGGUGGGGGGAGUUGUAGGUAGCGGGGCGGGGGAUGGGGGAGGGGUCCCCCGCCCCAACCCCGCCAUCCCCCGCCCCGUUGCCAUCCCUAGUAAUAGACUGGCAAGCAUUGUGGUGGUCAUUGAGAACUUACUGGAGAAAUAGUCCUAUAAGCUGUUCAAUGAGCAAUCACAACUUGCUAAUUGGAUGACUAAUAUAGCUCUAGCUGUAAUGUUUUAAUUAAAUUACAUCACUAACGUUGGGAUGACUUUUUAACCAAAAAAAAAUGCCUUAGUUCAAGCUUUUCCCUUUAUUGUGCAUUUUUUAAAGCAUUUGAUAGGCACUGCAAAUCUGUCAUUUUGGACAUUUUAUUAUUGACUAACAAUGAAAGCCGUGACGUCUACCCAUAACCAACACAAGAUUAAAUUAAUAUUAGAAAAAAUAAUUGAGUAAUUGGAAAAAAAAAAAGAGACUCAUUUUCAUUGAAACCCACCGACAAACUAAACGUGUCCAUGGCUUUUGAAUAGUGCAUUCAACGUUUAAUUGUAUAGUCCAGUUCAUUGCAGAUUACAUGGAGUAAAGAUUGUGCUCUUUCCUUUUUCACCCCUUUUGGAAUCGAUACUGUGGAGAAUUGGGUUUUUCCCUUCUUUUUUUCUUUUCUUUCCUUCUGUGCUUUGCAAAACAUAGGUAAAAAUAUGAAAUCCGAAGCAUUCUUUAAUUGGGAUUAAGUAUUGUUGUUGAAAUUAAAAAGAAAAAAGAAAGAACAACAAAAUUCCCAAUCUGGGUUGAUUGUUGAGCUCUAGAUUGGUUGCAUCGUGCUUCCAUAGAAGCUCUCUUAGUGUGAUACACUGCUUUCAAUCAGUUUAACACGGGAAAAAAAAAAAAAGAGAUGAAAAGCAAAUUUGGUGGGGAUAAUUUCAGAAACCUCCCCUGAAGAUUUUGACUAUUCUACUGGUCUCCCUUCAGAUUUUAAAAAUUACACUAAUCUUCCUUGAAGUUAAUUAUCUUGUAACAUUUAAAUUCAAUCAAUAAUUUAAAAAAUGAUAUUAUGAGAGAGAAAAUAAUGAUUUUAUCAUUGCCCCCCAUCUUACUACAUUAUUUAAUUAAUUUAAUAGCAACCCACACAUUAAAGAAAAAUAUUAAAAUUUGUUGUUUAUCAUUAAAGAUCAAAUCGCUUAUAACAUCAAAUAAUAGUAUAUUAUUUAUAUUUUUCACUCAAUAUAAUAUCCAAAUUACUCUUUUCAAUUACAUACCCAUUGUUAGACAAUCAACAACAAAUAACCAAAAAAUUUGCAACCAAAAUAUUACAAAAAAAUAAACUUUAACAUAUAAAUAUUCUUAUCAACAUAUUAAAGUUAGUUACUGAAAUUUUUAUGCUGUUAAACUUCACUCUUUUUGGUUACAGAUUUUUUUGAUUAUUUGUUAUUAAUUAUGUUUGAUGAUGGAUUUAUAAUUGAAAAGAACAAUUUGAAACUUACAUUAAGUAAAAUAUAUAGAGUGAUAUACUAUUUUUUAUAACAUAUGUGAUUCAAUCCUUCUUGAUAGGAUUGGUAAUAGAGGUAGAGGGGGGAGCCGGCUGCAUCCGGUCUACUUUUCAUAGAUAGUACAAUAUUGCGAAAUCGAUCGCAUUCACGCAAUAUUAUUUCCAAGUCAUUGCAUGGCUAAGCUGCAAAAAAAGUACGAACACAUGUUAUUAUAUAGCUUACGAUUCAAAACUUUAGAGCAUAACCCUCCACCUAACACAAUUGAAUAAUGAACAUUCACGUUUGUCAAAUCUGUCAAAGCACAGUUUGAGGACAACCCAUUCCAACCUGCAAAAGAUUUUUUACUUUUCUAAAGUUGUUGAGAGCUGUAAAAAGACUUACCAUGCUUGCAUCCUCCGAGCCUUGGGAGUUAAAAAUGAAGGCACUGAGUGCUAUAAAAAGGGGAAUAGAGGCUGCCUAGAAGCAUAUCAGCCUAAAACAAGAAUUUGUAGUUAAGAUGGGAAGCAAAGCAAAAGCAAUGGGGUCUGGGCUGACUCCUCUUCUUGCCACUGUUUUAGUGGUGUUUGUUGCUCUUGGCUUGCCCUCACAAACUGCAGCUGAUGAUCACUACAAGUAUUCAUCUCCUCCUCCUCCUUACCACUAUCCCUCACCACCACCACCAGUGCAUAUACCUCCACCUCAUCCUGUUUACAAGUACAAAUCUCCACCACACCCCCAGUACAAGUAUAAGUCACCACCACCACCUCCUCAUCCGGUAUACAGUCUCCUCCGCCACCACACACCCAGUUUACAAGUACAAGUCACCACCACCACCUCCUCAUCCGGUACCACACCCAGUUUACAAGUAUAAGUCUCCUCCGCCACCAGUUUACAAAUACAAGUCUCCUCCACCACCACCUCCAGUGUACAAAUACAAGUCUCCACCACCACCAGUUUACCACUACAAGUCUCCACCACAGUUUACAAAUACAAGUCUCCACCACCACCCCCAGUUUACAAAUACAAGUCUCCACCACCACCAGUUUACCACUACAAGUCACCACCACCUCCUCCCCCAGUUUACAAAUACAAGUCUCCACCACCUCCUCACCACUACUAAGCAAUUGCUUCUGAGGUAAUAACACUUGUUCAAUAUACCCACUUCUGCAUGAUAAAGCAUAUCUCUAUCAACACAAACUGUCAUGUCUAUCAUGCUAAGUGCCUUCACUUCAUCCACCAAAAUGACUGCUAGAAAAUUUUUUUUAUGUUACCAAAGAAAGGCAUCAUUUUUUCCCUCUGUUAUCAAGAACUUGUACAGUAUAUAGAUUAAAGAGUAUUUUUUUAACUAGCUUAUCAACUGAGAAAUGCAUAUAGCUGAUAGCCAGCUGAAUAUUUGCAGGCAAAGGAGAAGGAAACCAGUGUUUGAGACCUUCUUGAAGAUGUAGAAGCAUAAGAAUUAAAGCCCAAUGUGAAGAUGAUGAUUUCAAGUUUUUCUACGUUACCAUUUCUUUAUCUAAAUUGGUUGUAGCGCCUUAGUUCCUUUGUUUAUGGGAUUUGUAUCGUUUUACGUACCAUGCAGUACAUGUCAUGUUUGUAAGGUUUUCUAUCCUGCCGGCAAACCGCAGGUUCCAUGUAAUAAAUCAAUACUAUUUAUAUUACGACACUUUUCUCUGUUUCUCUUAUAUUUUGUCGUCUUUAAUAUUCUUAAUCAUAUUUUUAACAAAAAUAUUCAAACACUUAGGCAAUCUGGUCUAAUGCUAAUUGUAUGUUUUACUUUUCUUUUUCACCUGCUCCCCUUUUCAACUCAAAAGGAUGCAAUAGUUUGUGAUCACUGUUUAAGACGGAAGCAUGAUACUAAUGAAUAUCUCAUUGAAACUCAAGGAAACUAACAUUGCGAAAAGUGUAAAUCUUGAUUUGAUGCAACUAUUUAUUCGUGGAAUCUAUAGUUACAAAACUCAAAUUCUGACUGCGCCAUUGAUAAAUUAUUAAUGACGCUAUCAUCAUUAUUUAUCCCUAACUAGUUUCGACUACAACUGAACCCAAUAUUUUCCCCAUGAUAAAAGUUUUUGACUAUUUUACUGGCCUCUCUUCAAAUUUUAAAAAUUACACUAAUCUUCAUUGAGAUUAAUUAUCUUGUAACAUUUAAGUCCAAUUAAUAAUUAAAAAAUGAUAUUAUGAGAGAGAAAAUAAUAUAAUUUUAUCAUUGCCCCCCAUCUUGCUAUAUUAUUUAAUUAAUUUAAUAGCAACCCACACAUUAAAGAAAAAUACUAAAAUUUGCUGCUUUUCAUUAAAGAUCAAAUUGCAUAUGCCAUAAAACAUAGUAUAUCAUUCUAUAUGUUUCACUUAAUGUAAGAUCCCAAUUGUUCUUUUCAAUUACAAACCCAUUGUCAAUAACAAAUAACCAAAAAAUUUGCAACCAAAAUAUUACAAAAAAAAACUUCAACAUCAUAAAUAUUCUUACCACCUCUAGUGCAUUCACCCUCAUAAAAUAAUUCAAGACCCUACUGUCAUAAAAUGACUGAUCAACUCCCGUAAACCUAAUUUGACAACAUUUAAAUGGAGAACUUUAGCUAAAAGAAUUAUGGUCAAGCUAAAGAAAAAACCAGUUAUUUUCCAACAUAUGCAAUCAUUGAUCAGGGAAAAAAAAAAGAGCAAAAAGACAUCUUCAAUCAUUUAAUAGCUUACAGGGCAAAUUAACCCCUAAGCGAAAACUGGUUGCUCUAGAAUCAAAAUUUUACUUUAGUUACCCAGGCAACUUUUUUGUUGCUUUUUUUUUUUUUUUCCUUUAGUUUUGCCCCCUCUGUCAAGCUUAUAAAAUUAUUAAGAUAAUAAAAGUGCCUUGAAUAGUAUUAAUAUAUCCAUUGACUUGAGCUGUCGUCAGUUUGCGAUUCCAUGAGGCCUUUUCAAAGUACUCAGAAAAUGGGGAGUCAUGAAAUCCAUUUGUUCUAUUCAUUGCUAAGAUGCUUUUCUCUAUAAAGAGACUUCCUAACGAAAAUACUUUGUAGAUUUCUUUACUCCAAGUGGUGCAUGGAAAAUUAAUAUUUUCAAUUAUCAAAUAAAAUUCCCUUUUUUCGGCGUAGAUUUCAUCCAUCCAGCUGUUAACACAUUCUAUAAAUCCGAAUUGACUAAUCUUUUCGUUUCCAUUUUCCAACUUGCGAAUACGGCAUAUAGUGUCUGCUAAACACUAUAUAUUCUCUGCCAAAUAUGAAUACAUAUCACUUUUCUGAGCAAGUGCAGAGUCAUUAUCAUUUUUAUUCCCACCUAACAAAUUAGGGAUAAAAAAGUUAAUAAUCUUUACAUGCUAUCAGGUCACAAGUUAAUAAUCUUUUAAAGAACAUGUUAAAUUAAUUUAUUGGUAUGAAUAGUAGUCAAAGAAGUAUGUUAAAGUUAGUAAUCUUUAAAAUAAUAUGUUAAAAUCAUUCGUACAAAUUAGUCAGAGAAGUAGCAUAAACACCGCGAUGCAAUUAAUACUUUCAAUCUCAAGGUCUCUAUUAUGGAAAUUUGCAUCGGUCAAUAUACACUUGGCAUAAUAUAAUCUCCCAACUCAUUUCUUUACAAAUGCACCUUUAAUCACCACCAAAAGGUGUGGACAUGAUCUUUACCCUAGAAAACUAUUCACCGACAGGCAAAUUGACGUCAGAAAUACUGAGGAAUUCUAGUUUCCUUCGGGUUCAUGCCAUGUUGUAUCCUUCAACUGUAACUCGAUUUCUAAGCUGUAAUUUGUGACAUAAUAGUCCUUAAACUAUGAAACCCUUCUUACUUAAUUACAAUGGUUAAUACAAUGCCCGUGACUAGACAAGUAUGAAGCAACCAUAACAGAAAAAAAAUCCAAAAUUAGAGAAAAGAAAGAAGUUUCGCGACCACCACCAGUUUACAAGUCACCUCCACCACCUCCUCCAGUUUACAAGUCACCUCCACCACCUUACCAUUAUUCCUCACCACCACCUCCAGUGCAUUCACCCCCACCACCACCAGUUUACAAGUCUCCGCCACCACCUUACCAUUAUUCCUCACCACCACCUCCUGUGCAUGCACCUCCACCACCAAUUUACAAGUCACCUCCUCCAGUUUACAAGUCUCCACCACCACCUUACGAUUAUUCCUCACCACCACCUCCAGUGCAUUCACCCCCACCACCACCAAUUUAUAAGUCUCCCCCACCGCCUCCCCCAGUAUAUAAGUCACCACCACCACCUCCUCCAGUAUACAAAUCACCUCCACCACCUCCUCCAGUUGACAAAUCUCCACCACCACCAAUUUAUAAAUACAAGUCUCCUCCACUACCUCCUCCAGUGUACAAGUCAUCACCACCACCUGCUUACAAGUCUCCACCUCCUCCAGUUUACAGUUCCCCACCACCACCAAUCUACAAGUCUCCACCUCCACCCUACCAUUACUACUACAAUUCUCCUCCUCCUCCUCGUCACUACUAAGCAAUUGUAUCCAAGUUUUUGAGGUAAUAACGCUUAACCAAUAAAUUAACUUUCGCAUGAUAAACCUUAUCUCUAUCAAGACAAACUGCCAUGUGUAUCAUGCCAAAUACGUACACCUAGAUCCAUGAAAAUGAAUGGUGAGGAGGGCCAUUUAGGCUCGGAGCGCCCUAGGCCUAGUUCCCCACCAUUUCCUGAAGUGCCGCCUCGGGUAUUAUCCUGGAAGGCGAUCGCGGCCCAUUUACCACCUCGGCUACAAUGUCAGGUCGUAACACCGAGGUGGACAUUGAAUGACAACUACGAAAAGGGGAGAUGUGAUCUCUGACACCUGAGCAAAGGCUGCUCUGACCCGCCGCCUGAAUCUGACAGAAUGUCCCAUCACGUCUCUUCAUGGAGACCGGUCAAGUCCACCUGAUCCACUGACUAUCUCAGAUCUUUUGGGACCCGUGCAAACAUCUCCUCUCUCCUAUCAGUCCCCUAUAAAUACACGAUACUUCUACUGAAAAAGGAGAUGACCAAUUUCUGGUAAAACACACUCCACUCAUUAUUUACUUCUCUAUAUCCGAACUGACUUAAGCUUCGGAGUUAUACCGGGGGAUCCAGCCCCUUUCUUAUCCAAGCAGGUGACUUCGUCCAAGAGAGUUGCCCAAGGUAAAGAUAUUCUUCCAAUUGAGGUGACUCACUCCUGCGGGUCGAAAAUCACCUCUUCAAUUGGCGCCGUCUGUGGGAACCGCAAAGAUAUUAGAAGAUGAAGCCUGCGCGUUCUAGAAGCAGAAAAGCUCUCACUAUCGAGGCUGGGCAAAGCAAUGCAGCUCAACAAGAAAAUAUUUCUGAAGGGCAGGAGUCCCCAAGGACUCAGCCCGCAAACGAAAAAGCCAUAACCCGUAUGGCCGAGUUUGUGACCGAGAACCCCAACAUCUUUGAAGAGUUGGGAAGAUACCUGAAGAGGCAAGGCAAACAAAAGGCCGAGUCCUCUAAAAGGAUGUCAGAUGGGUCUCUUGAGGACUCAUCUGAGGAGGAGUCGGAUGGAAGGCACUUAAGCCGAAGUGCCUCAAAGCGAGCAUUUUCUAAGGCCACUUCUAAGGUAGCCUCCCUGACCAAGGCGUUUUCCCGAGGGCUCUUGGGCCGACGACCCGAGGAAGAACCUCGGCCCUUGGGAAUACCCGGGGUGGACUGCAUGAGGGCUCCACCGUUCACGGAUGAUAUAAACGAGGAAAGGCUUCCUCCCAAUUUUAAGCUCCCCGCAGUACAAUCUUACGAUGGCCGAGGUGAUCCCGAGAAUCACAUCCAUACCUUCAUCUCGGCCUUCCAAAUAUACUGCAUCCCAGACCCUGUCAUAUGUCGGGCCUUUCCAGUAUUCCUCAGAGGAACUGCUCGAAAAUGGUUCUGAGCUCUAGAACCUAGGAGCAUUUCGACCCUGGGUGAAUUAGUGGAGAAGUUUCUCCACCGAUUUGUCUCCUCCCGACCUACGACUAGGACCUCGGCUUACCUGCUCACCGUGCAGCAGAACCCGGGAGAGUCACUCCGGUCGUACGUCCGGAGGUUCCAUGAGGAAAGCGUUCAGAUACCUGACCCCAAUGAGCAGGUAACCCUCGCUGCCUUUACCCAUGGACUCGUUGCCGGGGAGUUCAAUACGGGGAUCCAUAAAAAAUACCCCCGCACACUGCAUGAAUUGUGGUUGAAGGUUGAAAAGGGCAUACAGGCCGAAGACCUCCAUCGCAUGAAGAAAGAGGUCCAAGCCACCCGUCCAAGGGCUGAGCCCAGAAAGGGAAAAGACGCUGGCCGAACUGAAGUAGGGUCGGGAAGUGGCUUCCGAAGUCCUGGCCGAGACCGCCGCAGCGUGUUCGACAGGAUAUCCAAGGGGAAGUCACCUAUUCCCGAGUCCGAGUUGACUCCUUUAAAUACUACCCGAUCUCACGUGUUGUCCGUGAUGGAACAAAACAACCUCGGCAAGGGCCCGCCGAGGAUGUUUGGAAGCAGAGACAAGAGGAACUCGAACCUCUACUGCUUGUAUCAUCGUGACAUUGGUCACGAAACUGAGGAUUGCAACGAUCUCAAGAAGGAGAUCGAGAACCUCAUUAGACGGGGACACUUGAAACAGUUCAUCCGCAGAGGUGGAGGUCACCAACGUGACGAAAACCGGCAUGACAAAUGAGGUGACCAACGCCGAGAUGAGCGGCGGAGCUCCAGAAGCAGUUGCCGACCUCCUGAGGAUCCCAGGGAGACGAAAAGGCCUCCCCCAGACGGAUCUUCGGGACAUGGGCCAACCAUUGCCCGGGUCAUUAACACCAUUGCCGGAGGUCCGACGGGAGGGGACAGUCAGAACUCCCGGAAGAGAACCUAUAAGCAGGCUAACCCGGAUCAGGCCGAGUCGAGUUCUCGCCUGUCCGAGGUGAUCACCUACGGGCUCAGUGAUCCCAUCCCAGCUGCAUCCAGCAGUCAUGAAACCUUGGUGAUUGAAGUCCUCACCAAUAACUACAUUGUGAAAAGGUCUACAUAGACCCGGGAAGUUCAGUUGACGUCAUGUACCUCCGUACCUUUGAGAGCCUUAAAAUGGCUAAGGGGUGCAUGACCCCGCUGAGAACCCCUCUUGUAGGGUUCGGGGGACACGUGGUGCACCCCGAAGGGAUGGUGACUCUGACAGUGACCAUAGGGCAUCACUCUCGCUGUAGAACCGUCCCUGUCAAUUUUGUGGUGGUUAAGGCUGACUCCCCAUACAACCUACUUUUAGGUCGGCCUACGCUCAAUGCCUUGCGGGCGGUCUACUCCACCUACCACCUGAGCUUCAAGUUUCCUACCCCAGCAGGGGUGGCCGAGGUCAGCAGCGACGUCUGUGCUGUCCGGGAGUGCUACCUCGCCACCCUACAAGCAGCCUCCCCGUCUACCUCCGGUGCGAGGUCCGAGAAGAGGUCAAAUAUCCUCUCAAUAGAUAGCAUCGAUCCUCAGUGAGCUGAGAAGGUCCCGAGGCUGGAGACUGGGGAUGAGGUGGAAGAGAUUCCCCUGGACCCCACGAAACCUGAUCAGACAGUUCGCGUUGGUACCCGAUUGCCCGGUCCUAUCCGAAGAGGUAUGAUGGACCUCCUCAGGGAAUACCGGGACGUCUUUGCUUGGGCCGCCGAAGAGGUCCAAGGAGUCCCGCACCAUCUCAUGAUGCAUGACUGAACGUCGACCCCCAAGUCCGUCCGGUCAAACAGAAGAGAAGGCACAUCGGCCCUGAGCGCAGCCAAGCUGUUGGUGAGGAAGUGGACAAGCUUUUACCCGCUAAAAUAAUCCGAAAAGUCCAAUACCCGAUCUGGUUGUCUAACUCGGUCAUGGUCAAGAAGGAUACGGGGGCUUGGAGAAUGUGCGUCGAUUUUACCGACCUCAACAAAGCCUGCUCCAAGGAUUGCUACCCCUUGCCCAAAGUCGAUACUUUGGUAGACUCAGCAAUGGGCUACGAGAUCCUCUGUUUCUGGGAUGCAUUCAAAGGCUAUCACCAAAUUGGGAUGAGUCAAGAAAACCAGGAGAAAACGGCCUUCUACACCGACCGCGGCACGUACUGUUAUACUACCAUGCCAUUCGGGUUGAAGAAUGCCGGAGCCACUUAUCAACGCUUGGUCAACCAAGCAUUCAAGUCUCAAAUCGGCCGGAAUGUUGAGGCCUAUGUAGAUGACAUCCUCCUCAAAAGCCAGACGAACUCCACCUUCCUGGCCGACUUGAAGGAGGUCCUUGACAUCCUGCGGAAGGUGAAAAUGAUGCUGAACCCCAAGAAAUGUGUUUUUGGGGUCACCUCGGGGAAAUUUCUAGGUUACCUCGUCUCAAGGCGAGGUAUCGAAGCAAAUCCGGAUAAGGUGCGAGCCAUCCAGGAGAUGUCUCCACCCCGGUGCGUCCGCGAUGUCCAAAGGCUGACAGGGCGAUUAGCCGCCCUGAAUCGGUUCUUAUCGCAGUCGGCAGCUAAAGCACUGCCCUUUUUCAAAGUGUUGAAGAAAGCUGACCAUUUCUCCUGGACGGAAGAGUGUCAACAGGCGUUUGAGCAGUUGAAGGAUUACCUUCACUACCUUCCAACGCUCACCUCACCUCGUCCGGGGGACAAAUUAAUCUUAUACCUUUCUGCUGCGGCCGAAGCGGUGAGUGCCGUGCUGAUAAGGAAGGAAGGGGUCCAAAUGCCCGUCUACUACGUUAGCCGAGUCCUCCGAGGUCCAGAGACCAGGUACACACAAGCAGAGAAACUUGUGCUAGCCCUGAUCCACGCCGCCCGCAGACUCAAGCCCUACUUCCUAGCUCACCACGUCUGCUUGAGGACUGAUCAACCACUUCGGCAGAUUUUGACACGACCAGAGGUUUCGGGACGUCUUACCAAAUGGGCCAUUGAGCUGGGGGAGUACGACCUAACUUAUGAGCCUCGCACAGCGAUCAAGGCCCAGGCUCUCGCAGACUUCGUAGCCGAGCUCACCUUUGACGAGGUGCAAGGAUCCGUCCCGGCUGCCACAUCGGCCACAGUUGAUGUGGCCACCACUGGGCUCCAGCGGUGGAUCCUACACGUGGACGGUUCGUCAACAGUGAGGGUAGUGGAGCAGGCUUGCUCCUCGAAGACCCCCAAGGAGAAAUAUGCUAAUAUGCCUUAAGAUUUGACUUCGCUGCUUCAAACAAUGAAGCUGAAUACGAAGCCGUCAUUGCUGGACUGCAGCUAGCUCGCAAGCUCGGGGCCGCACACAUCUUGGUUUAUAGUGAUUCCCAACUCGUCGUGUGCCAGAUAUUAGGUGAGUACGAAGCCAGGGACGAGGUGAUGCAUCGUUACCUCUCCAAGGUCCUCCAGUUGGCGACUCACUUCGAGUCUUUUGAAAUUCAAAGAAUACCGCUAUCGAAAAACAGAAGGGCUGACGCCCUCUCCCGGCUUGCCUCAACCUCUUUCUCUGACCUGAACAAGACGGUUCUCGUUGAAGUUCUAGCCGAACCAGGAUAUGUAGCCGAGGUAGUAUACCCCGUCUACCCUGGGGACACCUGGAUGGGUCCCCUGACUCGAUUUUUCAGCCAGGGUGAGCUCCCCGAAGACCGAGCUGAGUCACGGAAGCUCCAACGAAAAGCAGCACGGUACAUUCUCCGACAAGGCCUUUUAUACAAAAGGUCUUACCUCGGCCCUUAGUUGCGAUGUAUCACGCCCGAGGAAGGCCAGAGAAUCCUCCAAGACAUACAUGAGGGGCUCUGUGGUGCUCACGUCGGCUACAGAAUGCUGGUAAAAAAGGCUUUGUUACUUGGGUAUUUUUGGCCCACUAUGAGGAUAGAUGCCCAGGUCAUGGUCCUUUGCUGCCCCUCCUGCCAGCAUCACGCUCCUGAGCACCACCAGCCGACCAAUUUAAUGAUCCCUAUCACCUCGUCAUGGCCAUUUGAGCAAUGGGGAACGGACAUAAUUGGCCCCUUUCCCAGAGCUCCAGGCAAUUAUACCUACGUGGUGGUAGCAGUGGACUACUUCACCAAAUGGGUCGAAGCUGAACCCCUAAAAAAUAUCACUGGUGCGGCAGUCCAGAAAUUCUUCUGGAAGAAUGUGGUUUGCCGCUUCGGCCUACCCCGGGUGAUCAUCUCGGAUAAUGGCCGACAGUUCGCCGAUAAUCCUUUCAAGGCCUGGUGUGAGAACCUCGGGGUCAAACAGCAUUUCACUUCGGUGGGACACCCCCAAGCCAACGGACAAGCCGAAAACUUCAAUCGCACGCUCCUCCAUGGCCUCAAGACCAGGCUCCACCAGGCUGGAUCGUUUUGGAUGGAAGAGCUCCCCAGUGUGCUGUGGUCCUACCGAACUACGCCGAGAUCAGCAACCCAGGAAACCCCGUUUUCCUUAACCUACGGGUCAGAAGCUGUUGUUCCAGCCGAAUUCAUCACCCCGAGUCCACGAAUGGCCGCAUAUGCUGCCGAAGUCAAUGAAGAAGAACGGCGAGUUGACCUCGACCUCGUCGAAGAGAAGCGUGAUAUGGCCGCGGCCAAAGUUGCUGUUUACAAAAAUAUCGUAGCUGGCUACUACAACGCUCGGGUUAAACAUUUGCGGUUCAGUCCGGGAGACCUGGUGCUCAGGAAGAACUCAGUCAGCCGGGCUGAACCUCAGGGUAAACUAACCCCCAAGUGGGAGGGACCAUACCGUGUUGUUGAGUCCAGCCAAAAUGGAUAUUGUAAAUUGGCAUACCGAGAUGGGUCUCUGAGUGCCCCGAACUUGGCAUGCUGAAAAUCUUAAGUUGUACUACCCUUGAGGGUAUGUGCUUUUAAUCUUGAGUUAUUUCACACUUAUUUUCAUUUCAUUAUAAGUGAAAAAUAAGGGGACAAAGUAGCAGUAAAGAGGAAAACCGAAUUUAAUUAAAAAGAAAGCAAGAAUAUGAACUCAAUUCCAUUGAAUUACAUAAAAGUAGAAAGCCGAGGUCACCUUUAAUUAGGAAGAAAGCAAGAAUAUAAACUCAAUUCCAUUGAAUUACAUAAAAGUAGAAAGCCGAGGUCACCUUUGACCUCGGCCUACAAUGACAAAAAAAAAAACAAGUGCCUCUAGGCACUCCCUACCCUGACAUCCUGGCCCCCCGUGGUCGCGCCACCCGUUUCGGCACCCUGUCCACCCUCAGCUCCUCCACCGGCCUGGUCGUCUUCAGUACCAUCUAGUUCAAACUCCUGGAGCCAUUUGUUGAAUUCGGCUCGGACUUCGGUUAGGUCUUUCUCAGUCCGGAUGCCCUCAGCCAUGCUGUCGCAUAGCUCCUUGGCAUCCUCGUUAUAGUGCGAAGUGCUCUGAAGGGACUCCAGUUGUUCAGAGGGAAGAAAGGAUGCCGCGUCAUUAAUAGCCGACGUGUACCCGAACAUGAAGCUUGGCCGGGUGAGCUCGCCGAGGUCACGGAUGAAGGACUCUGACGUCCGGAAGGCUUCCACAGCAGUGACCCCGGCCUUGUCCAUGGCCUCCCUGUUUGACUGUUCUUCUUGGGCCCUCCUUUUUUUCUCCUCAUCAAGAGCAGUCACCAGGGAAUUGUUCGCGACCUCGGCCCUUUUGUUAGCCGCCUUGGCCUUGUCACGCUCCAACUCGGUUGCCUUCAGUUUUUCUUCCAACUCGGCAAUUCUCUUCUGGAGCUCGGCAGGAGGCUCAUAGUUUUCCAUGAACUUUCCAUACCGUUGAAUCAUCUCGACAAAAAAAGCCGUGGUAGAGGCCCAUGACACCGAGGCGCUCUGCAUCAACUCCCCUGCGGAGAGCUUCCUAGCAUAAGUGCUAUCUCGUGGCAGCACUGAAUGCACCAAGAGCUCCUGAGCGACCAAAGGGUUCUUGCAGCGAUCGUUGAAAUUAAUCUCCCACUCUGGACACCAGUGUGAUCCGGGGUGUCUCUUGUCCUCCUCAGCUGCCUUGAAAGGCACAUGAUGGAGUUUGAACAAAGAUGACCCCGUGACGGGGUUCUCCGGAAAUAUGGUCACACCCUGACCCCGGGGGGGAGUGGCAAUCGUGACCCAGCGAGAAGGGAUUCCCACCGGAAUUGCCGAGGCUCGGGAACCUCCCGGAGUGGCCGAGGUGUGCGAGCCCUCGCCCACGAUCACCACGGCAGGCUCGCGGUCGCCCGACGCCGCGGUGGUUUUCUUAGCCGGCCUGGAAGAGGACCCUGCAGUGUCCUUGCGCUUUUUGGGAGCUCUUUUGACCACCUCGACAUCUCCCGAGGUUAUCAGGUCGAAAAUCUUCGUCACUGCAAAGUAGGAGACGAAGUCAGUUAGAAUUCAAGAGGGAUAAACUAAAAGGGAAGAAAUGGAAAAAUACAAAGUCUGUGAAGCCUAGUCGAGAGUAAGACAGGCUGGUCAGAGCUCGUCAAGGCUCAACUGAUCCCGCCUUCCACGAGCACCACUUCGGGAAAAUCCCAGCAGUUUAUCCUGAGGCCCGACCCCGUUAACUUCUGGAAGUUACGCUCUUCUAACUUCCCUGGAGAUAUCUCCUUGAUCGAGGUGGGAGGCCUCCACCAGAAUCCGCGAGGGAAGUCAUCGGCCGAGACGAAGAAGAAGUUUUGCUUCCACUCCUUUAUUGAGUUCGGAGCAUCAACCACCAACUUCGGAACUUUGUUUCCGAAGUAGAACCAUCCUUUUUCACUUCUGCUGUUCUUGAGUGAGUAACAGCGGCGAAAGAGGUUGACCUAAGGUUGUAUCUCCUGAUGUCGGCAAAGUAGCUGGAAGCCAACGAGAAUGCGAAUAGCGUUAGGGGUGAGUUGAGUGAUUCUCACCCCCCAGUACCUCAGGCAGUCCCGAAGAAACCUCGUCGUGGGCACUCUGAGUCCGGCCUCCAGCUGUUCCUGAUAGAUAGUCACCUUGCCCUUUGGUGGCAGUGCGGCUGACUGAUGCGGUUGGGGUAUGUAAAUACUAUAAUCCCUUCUCCAGGGAUACCUGCGGACCACCUCGGCUAUUGAGGCUUGUCCCAUACCACUACUGAAGAACGGCAUCUGGCCGUAGUCGAGAGUUGCCACGUUUGGAGGAGUGGAAGGUUCUUGUACUCCCUCGUCUCUAGGGAUCUCAAUCCCGAGGUCAUCGUUGUAUAGGACCUCGGGCUGGACCUCGAUCUCCUCGGGCUGCACCUCAACCGCCUCAGCUCGGCGUGAUGCCUCGGCACCUCCACCCUCAGCUUGGUGAGAUGCCUCAGCACCUCCGCCCUCGGACGCGGUCCUUUCCUGGGAGGGGUCAGGCCUCUCUGCCUCAGUGAGGUCAGGUCUCACUGUCUCUUUGUGCGUACGAGCUGUUCUAGCCAUUGUAUCAGAAGGGGAAGAAGUGAACUUACUUAGAAUCUGCGACUGGAAGAAGAUGCCGAAGUAGACGUGGUUUAGAAAGGUUGCCGAAGUGAAAAGAGAAAGAAACAGAGUUCUGGGGUGAUUCUUGAUUUUUGGUGAAGAGUAAAACGGUGAAAAAAGACCACUAUUUAUAGGCCACCAGGGUGAAACCCAAGAGACGGCACCCUCUCUCUUCAUUAAUGGGAGGACUGUUCGUCUGCCAACACAGCUGACAGCCGUCCCUUCAGUUAUCACUCAGUCCCAUCUAUGCGGUCAUGACGUGUCCGUGUUCCGUGUUUUAUACGCUUCUCAGCUUCGGGAAGUAACGACCACGGCGGAUGCCCAUCUCGCCCUUCUCAAAGCUUGGGGGGCUUAGUGAGGAGGGCCAUUUAGGCUCGGAGCGCCCGAGGCCUAGUUCCCCAUCAUUUCCUGAAGUGCCGCCUCGGGUAUUAUCCUGGAAGGCGAUCGCGGCCCAUUUACCACCUCGGCUACAAUGUCAAGUCGUAACACCGAGGUGGACAUUGAAUGACAACUACGAAAAGGGGAGAUGUGAUCUCUGACACCUGAGCAAAGGCUGCUCUGACCCGCCGCCUGAAUCUGACAGAAUGUCCCAUCACGUCUCUUCAUGGAGACCGGUCAAGUCCACCUGAUCCACUGACUAUCUCAGAUCUUUUGGGACCCGUGCAAACAUCUCCUCUCUCCUAUCGGUCCCCUAUAAAUACACAAUAUUUCUACUGAAAAAGGGGAUGACCAAUUUCUGGUAAAACACACUCCACUCAUUACUUACUUCUCUAUAUCCGAACUGACUUAAGUUUCGGAGUUAUACCGGGGGAUCCAGCCCCUUUUCUUAUUCAAGCAGGUGACUUCGUCCAAGAGAGUUGCCCAAGGUAAAGAUAUUCUUCGAAUUGAGGUGACUCACUCCUGCGGGUCGAAAAUCACCUCUUCAAAUGGUAGAAAGUUUUCUUAAGAACCAAGAACAGCAUUAGUAUUCCCUCUGCUUCCAAAAACUUGUGUAUUAAAUAGAUUAAUGAAUUGUUUAACAUGCUCAUCUACUUGAAAAUGCACAAUACCCAUAACCCACUGAAAUUUUUGCAGGAAAAGGGAAAGAGAAUCUGUGUUUGAGAGCUUCAUGAAGAUGUUGAAGAAUAAGAAUAAAAGCCCAAUGCGAGGAUGUUUUCAAGUUUUUCUAUGUCCACUUUAAUUUGUAAAUUGAAUUUUACAACUCAAUUAAUUCCUUGUUUGUGAGGUACGUAUUGUUUUACGUACCAUGCCGUACAUGUUUGUAAGGAUUUCUAUCCUAUUGGCAAAAGUCGGUUCCAUACAAUUAAUCAAUUCAUUUCACUUCUAUUGGCUCUACUAUUUAUGCAUGUUACGACACUCUUUCCCUUAUAUUUUGCCUUUAAUAUUAUGAGUCAAUAGUAAUAAUGGGCCUUUUUCUUAAAAUUAUACUAUUAUACAUAGGUAGUUUGGUCUAACGCUAAAUUCAUGUUUGUCUUUCUUUUAUUCCCUUUACAUCUCAAAGUAUACUAUAGUUUGUAAUCAUUGUGGUGAUGAUAUUACCAGCUGGUACUUAUAGUUUAAGGCAGAGACAUGAUAUUAACAACUAUCUCAUUGAAACAUAAGUCAAAAUCAUGACAAGUGUGAGUCUUGGUUAAUGCACAAUUUGUUAGUGGAAUUUAUAUUUAUAAAACUCAAAAAAAAUUUUUGACAAUGCUAUUACUAAUUAAUUAAGGACUUCAUUGCUAUAAUUUAUCGCUUACUAGUUUAAACUAUAAAUGAUCUCAAUACUUUUCUCCAUGAUGUCGAUUUCUUUAGACUACGAAAGGGAAAAAUUAGUGACAUAUCCCUUACUGAUUACAACAUCAGCAAAAAUUAGUUAUAAACUUUUCCGGUGGUUUUAAAUCCCUCGGGCACUAAGGUUUUUUGCACAUCGAGUGAAUUAAGGAACAUAGGCAAUUCGUUCUGCAUACCAAGUCCUUGUUUAAGAUGCACGUACUAAAAUGCAUCCACUUCAUUAAUUUGGAAAAUUGCCAUAGUUUUUUUUAAGCAUUUUGAUUUUUUACAUGAUUCAAAAUUUUCUUAUUGGAUACAAUCACUUUGUGUCAAGAACACAUUUUCAAUCAUCUUUUUUAUCUUCUCAAUAAGAAAAUAAAAAUUUAUUCAUGCUUUUCUAACAUAUCCAAUCAUUGAUCUGAAAAAUAAAGAAUUAAAAAAAAAAGACAUUUUCAAUCAUUGCUUACAGGGCAACUUCCCCAUGUGAACCUCUUCAAACAAAGCCAAUAAUAUGAAGGAACAUCUAAAUACACUUUUGCCCUAAAGGCUGGUUGCCUUGGGGUCAAAAUUUAACCUUCGGGAGUAUAAUUACCCGCCAAAUUUAUUAUUUUUUAUGGGUAUAUAGUUCCAAUUUUGCCUCCUGUUAAGCUUAUAAAUAUAUUACGACCCAGAAAAUAAAGGAAUCUUGAAUAGUAACAUGUCCAUUGACUUGAGUUGUCAUCAAUUUGGCUACUUCGAUUCCAUGAGGCCAAUCCAAUUCACACUAGCUAGAGAAAAUGGUGAUAAAGGCACUUAGAAAUUUAUAUGUAAUAUUGAUUGGUAGUAACUGAUAAGUAUAUAUUUUACGUGUUUUAAAUAUGUUUUAUUAGUUAGUUUUGGUGUGUUUUAACUACUUUUAUAACUAAUUAACUAGGAAUCUAGUGAAAAUAUGCAUUUUGUGGUUUGAAGUGUGAAAAUUGUAUUUCUAUGGAUUUUAAUGGUGAAAACUUCAUGUUUUUGUAGGUUUAAUGAUUCAAUCAUCAAAUGACAUGAUUUGAGAAGAUAAUUAGAUGAUUGAUGAUGUUUUGAAGUGAUAAAAAGAGAAUACAAAGUGCAAGAGAGGAAAUGCAAUCAAGAAUAAAAGAAGAAAAUUUUUGUAGCUUUGACAUAUUGUGGUAUUUUGGCAAUAUAUUGAGCUACAAUGAUUGGAUUAAGGUGAUUCUUAAACCAUUUGAAGCUAAGAUAUAGAUCUACAUUUGGUAUGAAGGCAUCGAAACCCAUGUCAGUCAUUUUCCUUGUCAAAAUGUUGAAAUACAGAAGUGCAACUCUGUUCUCGAAAGCUAAAACAGAGCUCUGGCUAGUCGAGGGUAUUUUCAUCAUUUCUUAGUCCACAGAGCUCCAAAUGAGAUGAUUCUUAAGGCAUUAGAACCCUAACUCAAAGAGCUACAACUUUCAUAUUUUGUACAAGAGUUAGUUCGGCCUCCAUCAUUCAGAAAAUAGUAGUUGAAGUGGUGCCAAAUGCAUAGAAGUGAAAACGCGAGCUAUCAAUACUCGACCUGAAGUCGCGUAUUCCUGAGGUCAUGCAUUCUCUUCUAUUUUCUGCAACUUGCCCUGCUUUCACAUAAUUUUUUCAUCUCAAUUCCAACUAUCAAUUUCGGCUAUAUCUGAUCAAGAAAAGUGUGGAAAGUUUGAAAGACAACUCAUAGGAGUUUCAAGAGUCAAAAAUUACAAUUAGAAACAACUCAUUUGGCUCUUGAAUCCUCUAUAAAUAGAGGCCUUUGAAGAACAUUUUCACAACUUUGGAAGGUUAGAGAAACUCCACAAAAACAUAGUCUUCACUAGAAUUUCCUUAGUUCAUUAGUUAGGGUAGUAUAGUAUAGUUAGUGUAGCUUUUCCUUCUUGUAUUUAUAGUUAGGUUUGAAUGAAGAUUCAGGAGCAAAGAUAGAGAGGUUGAUCUCAUGUGACAAGGGUGAUAUCUCUUCUACUACUUUCUCUUUUGUAUUUGAUUUCAUAUUUAACUAUACUACAAAUUUGGCUUUGUUUUUUUUUUUUAUCAUGUUUAGUUAAAGUUUAUGCCUAGAGUAUGGAUGACCUUUCUAUAUCUUGUUUGUGAUAUUUAACUGGUUAUUUGAUGAUGUUAUUUUUGAGCAAGUUAUUUAUCACUUUUGCUUUUCUAAUCGUGAUUAACUGGCCAUUAGUUGUGAUUAUCUAAAAGUGUUAAGUUUGUAAUGAGAAUUGGAGUUUAACACUAGUUCAAGGAAGUGAUAAAUUUAGGGAGUUCACUCAUGAGAGUAGAGGAACACCUUUGUGACCUAAGUGACUUGUUUCAUAUAAUUUCAUAGAAAAAAUGAACUUGUAAUUAAUUUCAUAACCACGAGAGUAAGUAUGGUUUAGCUAUAUGUAUAGUUGAUUCACUACGAGAGUAGGUUUCACAUACAUUAGAAAAUUACAUCAUAACUAGUCAAGAUAAUAUCAUUCAUUUAAUCAGUAAUCUCAUUUGCAUGAGUAGUAAGGCAUUCCAUAUCUCUAGGAGGUUUUUAGUAUUAUUUUCAUUACUUUUAUGUUUAUGGUAGUCUAGAUAAUAAUGGAGUUCAAAAACUACUAGUAAUUGAAAAUUUUCCCUGUGGGAUCGACCUUUAAUACCCUAUACUCGCUCUCGACUCGUAUACUUGCGAAAAAUCACGUGUGCGGUAUUUAGAAUUUAUAAAUGUAAAACUUGACUGUAGAUGAACUAAUUGAUAUAUGUAUACCCCGCACUCGUCAGUAACCAGCUUGUAUUGAUCCCAUUAUUGUGGAUAAUUGUGCUCUUAUGAAAAAAAAUUAUAAAAAAAUUAGCAAAAUUUAUGAUAACAAAUUAAAUUUAUUCAUACAAAUCAGUGAAAGAAGUAGAAUUUUAAAGACCAUGAUGAAAUUAAUACUUUCAAGGGCUCUAUUAGGAAGACUUCACUUGUUGGUGAAACUACACUAGCACAGUUAUAUGCACAUUUACUGUUUUGGUAUCUAAUUUCCUUGCCUUAAGUUGGGUGCAGAUGUUUAUAUUACAAAUAGAUGGUAUCAUAAAAUUGUUGUAUUCACGUUUGUUCUUUUUUUUUCUUCCUUAAGUUUUUUUCUUUAUUCUCGUGACUUCAAAAAUACGAACUCAAGAAAUUGGCUGCUUAAUCAAUAUGUCAUACAGGCUUCGCUAGUGAGGUAUAACUUCACAACUAGAGUCAAUAGAAAUUAUCAAAUGAUUUUUUAACAUCCAAAUUAAGCAAUAAAUUUUGUUUUCAUUUUAUGACAUAUAAUAGUACUACUUCAUGAGAGAUUUUAUAGUUUCUUUUAGGUAUCAUACCUACAAGUGAUAUUUGUCAUUGGAUAGUGACAGAAGUGUUAAUGAUUGUAAGAUUAAAUAUUGUUAAAUAUUGAAAUUUAAACUAUUUAUCUUUAUUGAAAGAUACAAGUUAAAGAAUCGUUCAAGGGGGCAAUUUUCCAUCUUGUCUUUUUGAAAAAACGCUAUCACAUUGUAUAGGCAUGAUAGGUUCAAAUUUGUCAUUAAAUUUAUGAUUGAUUUCCCUUUUAUUCAAGCCAAAUAUUGUUUUAAUUAUCAAAUUCUACUUAUAUUUGGUUAAUUGUACUAAUUGUAGGGCGGUAGAGCAAAAGUUGCUAAAAAUAGGUGAUUUUCUGCAAAUUGGUUGUCAAGGCUGAAGGAUUUGGGAUUCGCAUGUUCAAGGCCUGUUUCCAAGUUUGAUUCAAACUCUGGACAGUUUUAGAGGAAGAUUUGGAAGAUUUGAAAUUUCAUUAUUAGUUUUAUGGUUGAAUUAGGAAUCUUGGAAUAAUUUCUUUUGUGAUUUAUUUUUCUAUUUAGGAGACUAGUUGUUAUUUAGUAGUAGACUUCAAUUAGAAAACAAAGAGAAAAAGAAGGCCGGAAUCCCGCUUGAUUAAUACCUUGGCCAGGGAACAAUCUCGGUGGGGAGGACGGCCACUUAGCCUCUCAAUUCAUCUUGCUUUUCGUUAGUUUGAGAGGAAAACCAAUUGCAACUAGAUUCAAUGGAGUCUGGCAGAAUUUCUUCUAGGAUGCGUAGCUAAAUCCUCAAUUUUUAGUCGAAGGUCAAUUUGAAAAUUCGGUUCCAAAUAUCUGUGAAAUCGAAUUAUUUUACUUAUUUCUUUUAUUUAUUGGUAUUCGCACGUUUUCUGAUUUAACUUUUUAUGAUUGUUUUGUUAUUUGAAUGUCAAGGGUCCGAUAUUCGAAUUAACUUAAUAAUCUACUGCCAAAUUAACCGGUUAAAUCCGUAAUUGUUUGAUUGAUUAAUAUCAGUGGCGACUAGCGUGAUUGGUCCCAUGUUAGGAAAACGUCUGAUCUAAUUUAAACAAACCGUCGUAGCGUGUUUGUUGAUUAGGGUUGGACUUUUCUAAUUCUUAAUUCAAUUGAGAAAUUAAAUCUCCCGGUCGUACCUAAGAUUAUUUUUUUGUUAGCGAAAUAGUUAAUGGUCGUACCUUGACUAUCGAAAAAGUAAGGAAGAGUUGAUUGUUUAUCGCGUGUACGACAACUAUAAUCAAUCUAUUAAUGAGUAAUUGAAUUAUCUUUGCAUCAGUAAUCAGUUGAAUGGACCGUGUCUGAAAAGUUGUACCUUUGGCUAGAGUCUUAUCUGUUGUUGAUUCAUUCAUAUCUAUCUUCAUGCGUUGUUUUAAUUUAGUUAAUUAGUUAUUUUUAUAAAAACCCCUCAUCUCUGGACUCUAAAAGAAAUAAAUUAUUUCUAGUUCCUGUGGAUUCGAUCCUACUCACCGCUAUAUACAAAAUUUGUAUUUUUUUGAAUAAAUAAUUAUUAUUACACAGGCUUGACACCUGUCAAGGCAAAAUUUCCUUAACUUCAUCAUCUGUAGACGUAAACUUUCUACGGGUGAUAUAAUAUAAGGAAAUUUUGCCUAUACGAUGUGAUAGCAUUUUUUCAAAAAAGACAAGAUGGAAAAUUGCUCCCUUGAACGGAAAAAAUCAUGAUCUUUCCUCAAACUAGUCUACUAGUCAAUUCUUUACAAAAGAAUACUCGCUCCUAAACAUAGCCUGUUCAUCUACACUGUCCCGCAGAAUUCUAGAAAGUUAGGCAAAACUAGACAAGUUGACAGGUAUAAUCAUACCCAAGAUCAGGAACAAGCAGUUGCACAUUUCAAAAUUCGCUGCUGCAACAGCUAAUUUGAUGACUUACAACACUACACGGUCAAACUUUGAAUGGCAAUGGAUCUUUUGUUGUACGUCAUGAUGUAAUUUUCAUGUUACAUACAUUAAUAGGUUGAUAUCUAUAUUCUUUAAAUUAUCAUGAUAAUACCCUUAAUUAGAUUUAACUGAUAAAAAGAACACGUGUUAAUAUACAAAAGUGUGUAACGUGAAUGUUACAUUACUGUAUUGCAGAAGACCUAUAGUCUCUUCAUAUCUCUUCCUGCACGUAUCAAUUCGUUUCCUCUAGAUAAUAAUCUCCCAACUCGUUUCUUUACAAAUGCACCUUUUAUGUUUUAUUACCUCCAAAAGCCUUUACAGGGUCUUUACCCUAAAAAUCAAUUCACCGACUCGCAUUUGAUGUCAGAAAUUCUUAAGACGAAUUCUACUUUACUCAAAGAUUGACUGUUAAUAAUGAGACAGCGACCAUUUUGUAUUAUUAGACCGUCCUUCUUGAUAGGUAAAAGAAAUAGAGAGGAAAGUGGGUCCGUAUAUGGUCUUUUAUUCAUAGAUAAUACAACAUUACGCCAUCGAGCAUUCACACAAUAUUUCAAAGUCAUAGCAUGCCUAAGGCCCUGUUUGAUAGCUCAAUUUCGUAAUUAAAUUUAAUAGAUUCAAAUUUUAACACAUUUAAAUCAUUUGAUAACAAAAAAUUGAAUAUUUAAAUUAAUUAAGUAACACUGAACUUUCUAAACAAAACUUGCUUUCAAAAUUAAGUGAUAAGUUAUUCACUUAUCUUUGAAUGUGAUAUGCACUCAAAUAUAUUAAAUUUAAUAAUUUAAUGGAUUCAGAUUUCAGAUUUCAGUUUUAUUACACACCCUAAGUUGCAAAAUAAUACCAAAACUUGUUAUUAUAUAGCUUGAGAUUCAAAAAUUUAGAGCAUAAUUCUCAACCUAACACAAUCGAAUAAUGAAUAUUCACGAUUGUUUCAAAGUACAAUUUGAGGACAACCCAUUCCAACGCGUACACGAUUUUUAACUUUUCUAAAGUUGUUGAGAGCUGUUAAAAGAGAUUUACCAUGUUUACAUCUUCCAAGUCUUGGAAGUGAAAAAUGAAGCCACUGAGUGCUAUAAAAAGGGGGCUAGAGGCUGCCUAGAAGCAUAUCAGCCUAAAACAAGAAUUUGUAGUAACAAUGGGGAGCAAAGCAAAAGCAACGGGGUCUAGGCUGACUCCUCUUCUUACCACUGUUUUAGUGGUAUUUGUCGCCCUUGGCUUGCCCUUGGAAACUGCAGCUGAUUAUUACAAGUAUUCAUCUCCUCCUCCUCCUCCUUACCACUAUUCUUCACCACCACCUCCAGUGUAUUCACCUCCACCAACCCCUGCUUAUAAGUUACCCCCACCAUCUCCUCCAGUUUACAAGUCCUCACCACCACCUUACCACUACUCACCACCUCCGGUGUAUUUACCUCCACCAUCUCCAGUUUACAAGUCACCACCACUACCCCCUCCGGUAUACAACUCCCCGCCUCCACCAGUGUACAAAUACAAGUCCCCACCACCACCUCCUCCAGUUUACAAAUCUCCAUCGCCACCAGUUUACAAAUACAAGUCACUCCCACCACCUCCUCCGGUAUACAAGUCUCCUCCGCCACCUGUUUACGAGUACAAGUCUCCUCCACCACCUCCUCCAGUGUACAAGUCCCCACCACCUCCAGUUUACAAGUACAACUCACCUCCACCUCCUCCCCCAGUUUACCUGUCUCCACCUCCACCCUAUCAUCACUACUACGGUUCUCCUUCUCCUCACCACUACUAAGCAAGUGCAUAAGUUUUGAGGUAAUAAUACCUAUCCAAAACUUUAUCAACACAAACUGCCAUGUAUAUUAUCAUGCUAAGGACGUACACUUGAUCCAUGAAAAUGACUAGUAGAAGAUUUUUUUUAAGAACCAAAGAAAUACAUUAUUUUUUCGGUCUGUUUUCAAGAAUUUGAGCAGUAUACAGAUUAAAGAGUGUUUUUUUUUUUGUAAACUUGCUUGUCAACUUAAAAAUGCACAUAGCUGAAAGCCAACUGAAUAUUUGCAGGCAAAGGAGAAGGCAAUCGGUGUUUGAGACCUUCAAGAAGAUGUAGAAGAAUAAGAAUAAAAGCCCAAUGCGAGGAUGAUUCCAAGUUUCUACGUUACCAUUUCUACAUCUAAAUUGACUUUAGCUCCUGAGUUCCAUGUUUAUGGGGUUUGUACCGUUUUACGUACCAUGCAGUACAUGCUUGCAAGGUUUUCUGUCCUGUUGGCAAACUGCAGGUCCAUAUAAUAAAUGAAUACUAUUUACAUUACGACACUUUUCUCUUUUUCUCUUAUAUUUUGUCUUUAAUAUUGUUGAUCAUUUUUUUUUUAUCAAAAGCAUCAAAUGCUUAGGUAAUUUGGUCUAAUGCUAAUUGUUUUACUUUUAUUUUUCACCUACACCCCUUUUCAACUCAAAGGAUGCUAUAGUUUGUGAUAAUUGUUUAAGACCGAAGCAUGAUACUAAUAAAUAUCUCAUUGAAAGUCAAGGAAACUAACAUUAGGAAAAGUUUAAAUCUUGAUUUGAUGAAACUAUUUAUUCGUGGAAUUUAGAGAUACAAAACUCAAAUUGUGACGGUGUUGUUGCUAAAUUAUUAAGGACAUUAUCACCAUUAUUUUUCCCUGAUCACUAGUUUCAACUGCAAUGAUCUCAAUCUUUUUGUGACUAAUUCUUUCCUUAAUAAUUUAUAAAGACAAAACUCACAAAGAAUAUGUGACUAAUUCUUUCCUUUCGUCUUCUAAAGAAAAUGCCAACUGUUAGUUUAUCAAGGGGAAAAAGGAUCGACAUCAGUUAUUAUUGAAACUAGUAAGGAAUAAAUAAUGGUGAUAAUGUCCUUAAUAAUUUAACAACAGCACCAUCAGAAUUUGACUUUGAGCUUCGGUCUUAAACAAUGAUCACAAACUACAGCAUCCUUUGAGUUGAAAAAGGAAGUAGGUGAAAAGAAAAGUAAAAAAUACAAUUAGCAUUCCCUCAAAUUGUAGAAAGUUAGGUAGCAUUAUAGACAAGUUGAUAGCGGCAAUUUUACAUUUCAAACUUCACCUAUUCAAUAACUAAUUCGAUGGCUUGCUACAUGGUCAAUCUUUGGACCCCUUCCUGCCUCCAGAUAUCCCUUUCCUCAAUCAGGGGCUUCUACAAUUACCAGUUUCAAUUGUAUGGUAUAGUGUAAAUAUCAACAAAUUAGAUGUAGAUGCUAACAUAAUAAAUGUGAAUGCUAAGACAGCAACAUACAAUCGAACCUGCAAUUGUAUGAACCCCAAUCUCGCUUCCUAGUCCACCAUCUUUCUCUAGGUAAUAAUCUCCCUUCUAAUUUAUUCACAAAAUGCACCUUUCAUCACCUCCAAUAGCGUCGACAUGAUCUUUACCCUAGAAGACUAUUCACCGACUCUCAAUUGACGUCAGAAAAUCUAAGAGUAAUUCUACUUUACCCUAAGAUUGAUAUCAACAAGACAAGGACAAUUUAGAAUUAUUACACGCCUCUUCUUAAUAGGAAAAAGAAAUAGAGAAGAAAGUCAGGCCAGGUCUAAUUUCUUUUCAAAGGCAAUACAACAUUACGAAAUCAAGCAUUCAUUCAUACAAAUAUUUCAUAGUCACCGGUUUGCUGAGUAGAAAAAUUUAGACAAAAACUUAAUAUUAUAUUGUUUAAGAGUUAACAAUUUAGAGCUUAAUCUCCUUGUACUUUGGAGUUAACAAUUUAGAGCUUAAUCUCCUUGUACUUUGGACUAAACUUGAACGUGAAAGGAAAUCCCAAAACCAUAUUGGGCAUGAAUUCACACUUAAUAUACCCAAUAAAAGAUGGCGACUGGUGAAAGGCAGUGGAGACUGGUGGAGAGAUUUGAGGAAUAGAAGCAGACGGAAAAGCAACAAAUUUUUGCCGAAAAACGGUCACUUUCAUGGUUAAUUUUGCUACUCUCCAAUUGUACUUGACCAAUUACAACAAUUUCAUGGAGUUUGAUACGUGAAAAGAAUUUUUUAUAAAUUUUAUUUUGAUCCAUAAUGUUAUCUUUACAUAUAUAAAACAUUUUACAAUUUUGAUUUUGGCGCAGCUAACUUUUGGUUAACAAAAAUGCUCAUGUUUAAAAAACCAGAAAUAAAACAAAACAAGAAACAAAAGAAAUAAGAGGGUAGCAUAGACAUUUUGGAUUUUUCCGUUAAUUUGGAUGAUUUCCACCCACGUUCUAAUUUAAUCCAAAACACAAAGGAAUUACGUAGAGGUUUUAAAUAAUGAGGGAGCUUCAUGAUCGAACCCCAAACCACAAGGCGAUUUACUAUAUUUUACUCUUAAAUUUUGGUUUCAUCUCAUAGCAUACAAGAGUUCUAUUUCACUAUCUGUAGACAAAGACUUUCUAUGGUUGAUGUACCAUAGGAAAAAAUCUGCCUAUACAACGUGAUAGCAUUUUUUCAAAAACACAAGAUGGAAAAUUGCCCCUUAAACGGGGAAAUUCAUGAUCUUUCGUCGAACAAAGAAUACUCACGCCUAUUCAAGAUGGAAAAUUGCCCCCUUAAACGUCUAUUUGUCAAUUCUUGAAAAAAGAAUACUCACGCCUAAAACACGGCCUCUUCAUCUGCAGAAUUCUAAAAAGUUAGGUAAACUCUAUAAACAAGUUGAUAGGUACAAUCGUACCCAAGAUCAAGUACAGAUAGUUGUACAUUAACUGCUGCAAUAACUAAUCUGAUGACUUAUAAACAUAUCAUGGUCAAUCGUUGAAUGGUAAUGAGUCUUUUGUUAUGCAUUAGUAUUAGUGUGUACACUCUAAUAGAUUGAUACUUAUACUCUUUAAAUUAUCAUAAUAAUACCCUUAAUUAACUUUAACUCUUAAAAAGAAUACAUGUUAAUACACGAGUGUGUGUAACCUGAAUUGUUACUUAUAAAUUAGUGUGUAAUAGAUAGGGAUGGCAAUGGGGGCGGGUGCCCGCGGGGGGCUCUCGGGGCGGGGGUUGGGGCGGGGGGGAAUUUUUUCCCCCCGUUUAGAAAUGGGGCAGGGGACGGGGGAGUAUACCCCCGCCCCAUCCCCCGCAAAAAAAAAAUUAUAUAUAAUAUGUAAUUUAAUUAGUUAUAAACUUAUGAUAAUGAUAUUAUUAGUUAGAUGUAUUAUAUAAUGUAUAUUAGUGUAUGUAAUAUAAUUAAUAUUAUCAAUUAUAUGAAUAAUUAGACAUGUCUACUAAUAGAAUUUAUGAAUUAGUUAUACUAAAUUUACUAAUACAUUUAUACUAAAUUUCUAAUUACACUUAAUAGAAUAACACUUUUUUCUAAAACAAAAAAGCACAAACACAAUAAUGAAUUAGUGAUUGUAUGAUAGGGUGUAAUUUUACUAUUUAUUUUAUUAUUAAUUUCCCCUAUCACCUGACCUGAUGUGGAUUAAUUGCUGGAUUCUGCUCACUUUUAGUACUUUGUAUUUAUUUCAGGGAGUAGAACGGAAAUUUGAUAACAGGUGCUAAUUUGGCAGAAAAAGAGUCCAGAUGAUAGAGCUUGCCCCAAGGGCAUUUUUGGAAAGGAGAACUUGUGCCCAUCUUGGUAAUUUGGGAGAAAAGGGAAACAGACAAAAUGGGUCUAACAUGGAUUGGAAGCGGCCGCACAGUAGCAGGGAAGAGGGCAGACGUAAAAGCAAUUGCAGGGGGGAAAAGGAGUUUUUUUAGUUUUUAGCUUAGCAUCUGAUUUUCCCUGGGAGACUUUUGUUAAAGAUUUCCUUUUGGCUGAUAUUACGCAUGGCAGAUGGCUUUUAACUUAUUCCUCCAUCUUUGACUUUUCUUCUUUAGCUUGUGGCAGUGGAUUGCUACUUACGAAUGUCAGCACUUAGCCAUUCGUGGCUUUUGAUCUUUUCUUCCUUAGAAAUUCUGAGUAACCUCUUUUCCUUUGUGCGCCAGACGAAGUGAAAACUAUAAACUUUUGUAGUUUUUCUAUUCAUUCAAUAUAUUGAGACGAGUUGGAUUCUACCAAAUUUCAACGGACAUGGCCGCUGGUUUCUCUUCAAUUUUAUAUGGGCUUUGUUCAUCCAACAUGAACUAAUUUCACCACUCUAGUCAAGGAGCAACGAAGGCUCUGAUUUGCCUAAAAAUUGUGAGAUCGUUUUAAUUUAAUCUUUUCCUUUUAUUUAUUGGUAUCCGCACAUUUCUUGAUUGCUAUGCUUAUGGUUAUUUAAUUAAUUGAUUGUCUUGGAUCCAGAUAAUUAAUUGAUCUGAUAGCCUAUUGUCAAUUAGGGCAUUUAAAUCCGUAAUUGUUUAAUUGUCCUGAAAUAGUGACAACUGGCACGAUUAGAUUCGUGCCAGGGGGGAUAUGCGGGCUAAUCUAAAAUAACCCUGGUAGUGUGUUAUUUGGUUAGAAUAGGGCUCCUCUAAUACUAAGGCAAUUGGGGAAUUAAAUUCUACGGGCGUACCUAGGAUUAUUUCUUAAUUAGAGCAGUGAUUAACGGGCGUACCUUGAUCACCGACACAGUAAGGAGGGGUUGACCGUCAUCGCUUGUUUGGCAGUUAUAACCUAUUUAUCAGUAAAUAAUUGGGAUUGCCUUGCAUCAAUGAUCAAUUAGGUGAACCAUUGUUGAAGUUACUUCUUGGUUAGAUCUUUAGUUAAUAUUACCUUGAUUUUGGUGAAUUGCCAUUUGAUUUUUAGUUGCCUACUUUAUUUUAUUUUUAAUUGUUUCCUUGCUUUAAUUGAGUUAGGCCUUUAAUUAUUGUUAUUCUAAGUUUAGUGAAUUGUGGUUUAAUUCCUAAUUAGUUAUUUAUUUUUACUUUCUUAUUUGAAUUUAUUUGCUUGUUAUCAUUCCUACGAAAUCACCCCCCUGUGUUACUUUGGAUUUCUUAAGAAACAAAUAUACCCAAUCCCUGUGGAUACGACCCUACUUGCUCUGUUCACGAAUUCAUAAUUAUUUGUGAAAAGAAAUAACCAUUCCACUCGGGUAUAUCGGAUCAAGCAAAUUCUUCGGGAACAGGGUGAAUCAAGUAACCCAAUGCACACCUAGAGUCCCUGCUCCAGUACUUGGAAUUGGGUUUUGGUCAUUUUAACUGGCAAUUAGGUUUAAUUUUAUUAUUGCACAGGCUGACGACCCUGUCAAUUUUUGGCGCCGUUGCCGGGGACUGGCGUUAUUAUUUGUUUCUUUUUAAAUUCAUUCUUUGUCCUAAUUUUCUGGUUUUCUUCUAGUGUAUGCCUCGAUCUUCUCGUACAGGUAAUUUGAUUUUUGACCCUGAGGUAGAGAAGACCGCAUGUAGAACGAGAAAGGAAACCAGACAGCUCAGAGAAGAGCACUCCAGUGCUACAUCUCAGAGACCCGAGUCAGAAGUUGAACUAACAGAUUCGUUUGGUAACACUUCGAGUGACUCUGACCAGGAGGAAGACACCAUGGCUAAUGCACGAACAUUAAGGGAGUUGGCUGCUCCUGAUUUAACUCAGCAGCCUUUAUGCAUUACUUUCCCCACUUUAAAUGAUAACAUUCCAUUUGAACUAAAAUCUGGUCUGAUUCAGCUUUUACCCUCUUUUCAUGGUUUACCAGGUGAAGAGCCGUAUAAGCAUCUGCAGGAGUUUGAUGUCGUGUGUAAUAGUAUGAAACCCUCGGGAAUCACAGAAGAGCAGAUAAAAAUGAGGGCAUUCCUCUUCUCCUUGAAAGAUUCUGCGAAGGACUGGCUGUACUACCUGUCACCAGGUAGCAUCACCACGUGGGACCAAUUGAAGAAAAAAUUUUUGGAUAAAUAUUUUCCUGCGUCCAGGGCUGCAAGUCUAAGGAAAGAAAUUUGUGGGAUCAAGCAGCAUCCAGGGAAGUCACUUUAUGAGUAUUGGGAACGGUAUAAGAACUUGUUGCGCAGGUGCCCCCAACACCAAAUAAGUGAGCAAUUGAUCAUACAGUAUUUUUAUGAGGGGCUCCUUUUUAGAGACAGGAGCAUCAUUGAUGCCAGGGGGGAGGGUUGGGAUGGGUGGUACGGGGGGAGGGAGUGUAAGCAAGAGGUCUCGGGUUCGAGUCCUCCCGCUUACACACAAAAAAAAAGAUGCUGCAAGUGGAGGGGCACUGGUAAACAAAACCCCUCAGGAAGCACGGGAGUUAAUAGAGGGGAUGGCAGAGAAUUCACAACAAUUCAGUACAAGAGAGGAUGUCCCAAUACGUAAGGUGAAUGAGGUAGAGACACCCUCUAUGCAGCAGCAGCUAACUGAGUUGACCGCGUUUGUUAGGCAACUGGCUGUGAGAAAUGCAUCACAAGCCAGGGUGUGCGGGAUUUGCACUGGUAUGGGUCAUUCUGCAGACAUGUGCCCAAUGAUUCAGGAAGAAACUGCAGAACAGGUGAACAUGGCUGACCACGCGCCCGCGCCAAGGAAGCAGUACGACCCUUACUCAAGCACCUACAACCCCGGGUGGAGAGAUCAUCCCAACCUCAGUUAUGGAGAAAAUAGGCAGCCCAACAUUACACCGAACAGGCAGUCUAACUUUGUGCCAAAUAGGCCACCAGGGUACCAGCAGCAAUAUCAACCCCGACCACCUCCGUCCCCAAGCUCUGGCCCAUCUUUGGAGGAGAUGAUGAAACAAAUGAUGACAACUAUGGCUCAAAAUCAGCAAAUGACGGAGGCAACCAUUAUGCAAAAUCAGCAAAGGACGGACUCCGAAAUGAAGGAUAUAAGGAAUCAGAUAAGUCAAAUGGUCACAACAAUCAACCGUUUGGAUUCCCAGAACCAAGGUAAAUUGCCAUUUCAGCCCGAAUUAAAUUCGAAGAACGUGAGCGCAAUGACCCUAAGGAGCGGGAAAGAAAUUCAGGGGUCUGAACCUGUGAUCCCUAAGGAUAAGGAUGAGGAAAAGAUCGAAAAUGAGCUUGAAAGGGAGGACAGCAAUGGUGCAGAUCUAAAGGUACUUCCUGACCCAAUAAUUACAGCUAAAACUAACCCGCCUCCUUUUCCUAGCAGGUUGGAAAAAUCGAAAAAAGAGGAUAAGGAGAAGGAGAUCUUGGAGGUUUUUCGCAAGGUUGAGAUAAAUAUCCCCCUCUUAGACGCAAUCAGACAAGUACCAAAAUAUGCCAAGUUCCUAAGGGACUUGUGUGUCAACCGAAGGCAGUUGAGGGAAGAUGAACGGGUUAUUGUUGGGGAGAAUGUGUCAGCAGUCCUGCAGAGAAAGCUCCCACCAAAGUGCGGGGACCCAGGUAUGUUUACUAUUCCCUGUAGGAUAGGUAAUACUGUGAUAGAAGGGCCAUGUUGGAUCUGGGAGCAUCAAUUAAUCUCAUACCUAAAUCUAUCUAUGCUUCUCUAAAAUUAGGUCCAUUAAAAGAAACUGGAAUAAUCAUUCAAUUAGUUGACCGAACUAAUGCAUAUCCUGAUGGGUUGGUUGAAGAUGUGUUGGUAAAAGUUAAUGAUUUGAUGUUUCCAGCUGAUUUUUAUGUACUUGAUAUGGAUGAUGAUCACUCCCCUGAUCCCUCACCUCUGUUAUUGGGUAGACCCUUUAUGAGCACAGCACAGACGAAAAUUGAUGUUAAUAAGGGUAUCUUGUUCAUGGAGUUUGAUGGGAAAAUUGUGCAUUUCAAUAUCUUUGAUACUAUGAAAUAUCCCUCAAACUCCAACUUUAGCACAGUUUUCUCUGUGAGUGCUAUUGACCCUGUAGUGCAGGAAGUGUUUGAAACUGAUGGCAGGGAUGAGUUGGAGGUGGCUUUGACCAAGCACCUCGAGUUGGAGACAACUCCUGAGGUGGAAUGGAGCGAGGACCUAAAAUGCACAAUAGGUGCAUUACACUCAUUGCAGUCCACCACGAAAAGGUAUGAAGUCUUACCUAUUUUUACUCCCGAACCUCACCAGAGGGUGUUGCCAUCUGUGGUGCAGGCACCUGUACUAGAAUUUAAACCUCUAUCAGAGCACCUGAAAUAUGCAUAUCUGGGUGAUAAUGAGACACUCCCGGUGAUUAUCUCAUCGACACUGUCAAAAAUCCAGGAGGAGAAACUGAUCCGGGUCCUUAGAGAGCAUAAAGAGGCGAUAGGUUGGACAAUCGCAGAUAUUAAGGGGAUCAGCUCGGCCAUCUGUAUGCACCGGAUUAGACUAGAAGAGGAUGCCAAACCUGUUAGGCAGGCUCAAAGGAGGCUCAACCCCCUAAUGAUGGAAGUUGUAAAGAAAGAAAUUUUAAAAUUGCUAGAUGUGGGGAUUAUUUUUGCAAUAUCAGAUAGCCCUUGGGUAAGCCCGAUCCAGGUAGUCCCAAAGAAGGCAGGGGUGACGGUGGAGGCAAACCAAACGGGUGAGCUCGUGCCAGUGCGCAAACCCACUGGAUGGAGGCAGUGUAUAGACUACCGUAGGCUAAACGCCGUCACCAAAAAGGACCAUUUCCCUCUCCCUUUCAUUGACCAAAUGGUUGAACGUUUAGCUUGUAGAGCUUAUUAUUGCUUUUUGGAUGGAUUUUCAGGAUACUUUCAGAUAGCAAUUGCUCCAGAGGAUCAAGAGAAGACAACCUUCACGUGCCCGUUCGGGACCUUUGCUUAUAGACGAAUGCCAUUUGCGUUGUGCAAUGCACCUGCAACAUUCCAGAGGUGUAUGGUAAGUAUUUUUUCUGAAUAUGUGGAGAAAAUUAUUGAAGUUUUCAUGGACGAUUUCAGUGUGUAUGGUGAUAGUUUUGAUACGUGUUUAGAUAAUCUGAAAUUGAUCCUGAUAAGGUGUAUAGAGACUAAUCUUGUGCUUAAUUGGGAAAAAUGUCAUUUUAUGGUUGAGCACGGGAUAGUCCUGGGUCAUAUUGUAUCGUCUAAGGGCAUAGAAGUUGACAAGGCUAAAAUAGAUAUUAUUUUUGCAUUACCUUACCUCGCGAGUGUGCGGAAGGUGCGUUCUUUUCUUGGACAUGCAGGUUUUUAUCGAAUGUUCAUCAAGGAUUUUUCAAAAAUUGGAGCCCCGUUAUUCCAACUCCUACAAAAGGAUGUGACCUUCGAAUUCGAUGAUAAGUGUGAGGAAGCCUUCAACAAGUUGAAAGAAUUGUUGACCUCACCCCCAAUUAUCCAGCCCCCUGAUUGGAGUCUACCAUUUGAGAUCAUGUGCGAUGCCAGUGAUCAUGCCGUAGGGGCUGUAUUGGGGCAAAGAGUAGGGAAGGCAGCUCACGUCAUCUACUAUGCAUCCCGAGCAUUGAAUGGAGCCCAAUUGAAUUACUCCACUACUGAAAAGAAGCUUCUUGCAGUUAUUUUUGCUUUAGAAAAAUUCAGGUCAUAUUUGCUAGGUGCUAAAGUAAUUGUAUUUUCUGACCAUGCAGCAUUAAGGUACCUAAUGACCAAGAAAGAUGCCAAACUGAGGCUCAUUAGGUGGAUAUUGCUACUGCAGGAAUUUGACCUGGAGAUACGGGAUAAAAGGGGCUCAGAGAAUUUAGUAGCUGACCAUCUGAGUCGUAUACCCGUUGGAGAGGAUAAUGAACCAUUGAGGGAUGCGUUCCCUGAAGAGCACUUAUUUUCUUUAAAUUCUCAGUUGCCUUUGUAUGCCGAUCUGGUCAAUUAUUUGGUAACUGGUAAUUUUCCUGCAGGUUGACCAAAAUCGAAGAGGGAUAAAUUGAAGAGCGACGCCAAGUAUUUUAUUUGGGACGACCCGUACCUAUGGAAGAGGUGUGCAGAUCAAGUGAUGCGGAGAUGUGUAAGUGAAAUGGAAUUUCAAUCGAUUUUAGCUUUUUGUCAUACUUUUGCCUGUGGAGGUCAUUUGGACCCAAGAGAACUGCUCAUAAGGUUUUAGAAAGUGGAUUUUAUUGGCCUUCAUUGUUUAAGGAUGCCUAUGUGUUUUGUAAGUCAUGUGAUCGCUGUCAAAGGGUAGGUAAUAUACCCCGUAGAGAUCAAAUGCCCCAAGUCCCGUUGAUUUUUAUUGAAAUUUUUGAUGUCUGGGGUAUAGAUUUCAUGGGGUCUUUUCCUACUUCAUUUGGUUUUUUAUAUAUUUUGCUGGCAGUUGAUUAUGUGUCUAAAUGGGUGGAGGCUAAGGCCACUCGAACUAAUGACUCGAAAGUAGUUGCAAAUUUUGUCAGGUCUAAUAUUUUUGUGCGAUUUGGAAUGCCUAGUGCUAUUGUCAGUGAUAGGGGAACGCACUUUUGCAACAAAAUCAUAGCUGCGUUGUUUCGCAAGUAUGGUGUACUCCAAUGGGUCUCAACGUCGUACCACCCUCAGACCAAUGGUCAAGCGGAGGUGUCGAAUCGAGAGAUCAAGUCUAUCUUGGAGAAAAUGGUGCGCCCCGAUAGGAAAGACUCGAGUCAAAGGCUGGAGGACGCACUUUGGGCCUAUCGGACGGCGUACAAGACUCCUAUAGGGAUGUCACCGUACAGGUUGGUAUUUGGGAAGCCGUGUCACCUUCCAGUGGAGUUUGAGCACAAAGCUUUUUGGGCGAUAAAGUAAUGCAACAUGAAUUUAGAGGAAGCCGGUGCCCAACGAAAGUUGGAUUUGCAAGAAUUAGAAGAGAUCCGGAACGAGGCUUACGAAAAUGCACUAAUUUAUAAGGAGAGAAGCCGGAUAUUUCAUGAUCAACAAAUUUCAAGAAAAUCCUUUGAAGUUGGUCAGAAGGUCCUACUAUACCAAUCCAGGCUCAAGCUAUUCCCAGGUAAACUACGUUCCCGUUGGAUUGGACCUUUUCUUGUUACUCAUGUUUUUCCAUAUGGUGCAGUUGAAAUCCGGAGCGCUAAAACAGACAACAAAUUUGUGGUGAAUGGACACCGUCUCAAGCAUUACUACGAAGGAUUUUCAGGUGAAAAGGUGGAGACAAUAAGUCUAGACGCGCCACCGUGUCCUAAUCAGUGACAUUUUACUAUGUCUAGCCAAAGACAUUAAAGACAGGCGCUCAUUGGGAGGCAACCCAAUUGUCCCUUUUAAUUAUUUGUUUGAUUUCGUGUGAUAGUUUAAAUAUGUUUUCCUUGAAUUCGACUGAUUUUGGGUUUCAGUUUUCGUUUUUGCUGAAUUGUAGGUGACCUUCAGUCUUGACGCGCCCGCGUGAUGACAUGCAGGAAGCUCACGAUCAGAAUCGUCUGAAAGCUCUCUUGCCCUUUUGACGCACCCGCGUGAUGACGUGCAGGAAGCUCACGAUCAGAAUCGUCUGAAAGCUCUCUUGCCCUCUUGACGUGCCCGCGUCACGUUCGCAGGAAAGGUACGGGUUUCAAAAAUUUAAAGAAAAAAUAAUAAUAAUAAUAAUUUAAAAUUUUGAAAUUAACUUCCGUAAAAAAAAAAAAGAAGAAAAAAAAUUUCACCGUGGCUUAAAUAGAGCCUAAAGAAGAGAAAAAAGAAACAAUUUCUUUCUUUUUUUUUUCUUUUUCUUCUUUCUUCCUUCUUUCUUUCUUUCUUCUUUCUCUUUUCCCUCUCUCUUCUCCCCUGUUUCUUCUCCCCUGUCCGUCGCCCGUGCGCCCCAUCGCUGCUCCACCUCCACACGCACGCCGACGCUGCGAGCCACCUGCGACCCCAGCGCCAGAUCUGGACCAUCGCCGAAACCCGCAGCCUCCGCCACCUCCACCUGAGCUCUGCCUCGCGCGCAACCCAGCUGCUCUGCGCCCGAAGCUCCACCGCCGCCACAGCCUCCCCACGCAGCUCCCUGCUCACGCGGCCACAAGCCCAUUGGAAACGGGACAGAGACUGCCGCCGAGCCACUUGCCCGCGUGACCGCCGCUGUUUUCCACCACCUCCCUCACGCGAGCUCUUUCCCUCUCAGCAGCAAUCCACUUCACAGCGCACCCGCUGCGCGCCGUCGCAGCCCUCGCAGCUCCAGCCCGUCUGGUCUAGUCCGCCGCGCGCACCAACCACCCACGGACGCUACCCCCAUCGCUAACCCACGCGGCCUCCACUCCAGUCUGUCCGCCGCCGCUGCUCGUGUCUCCCUUGCGCACCUCACGCCACCCGCUACUGUCCCCUUCCGUUUGGUUAGCAUCCACGGUGGAGGUAAUUGGAGGUUAUUUUCUCAAUUGUGUGACUUCCGCCUGUGAUACUGGUUGCAUUAUUUUUGCUGGGAAUUGCUACUUCUUUUGGGUUGGGUUCAACUGUGCAAUUAAUUGGCCAACUGGAGCCAUUUGUUGGGAUUUUGGGUGAGCUGAAAUACUGCAUUUGUGUGUUACAUUGGGAGGUUUAUUGGGUACAUUCUAACCGCUGUUUUCCAUUGUUACUCUCGCUGGGGUGUCUAUUAAAUUGCGAUUGAAGUAUUUUGGAUAUUGCAUGUUGAGAUUGAGGUUUCAUUGAAUUUGGCCUACGUUCUGCCCCCAGUGGUACUGGUGGGAAUAUUUUCAAUUGAAUUUGUUACCUCUAGUUGGUUGGCUACAUUAUUAUGGUCGAAUUCCUAAGUUGUCGUCAUUGCAUUUGUUGAUCUUGAUUUGGGGCAUUAACCGGCCAACUGGAGCCAUCUGUGCGUUUUUAGGCGCUAUUAUUGGUUUCUUCUCCCUUAACUUUGUCAACUAUAUUUGGUUGGGUAUUUGGUUGACUGCCACGGACUUGUAACUGUGUUUUGCUUCUAAUUGACCAGUUGCACAGCAGUUUUUUUUUAAUUGAUAGGGUGGUUAUACCUCUGGAUAUUUGUAUCCACUGGUUUGAGGACAUGGUGAGACCAAAAUCCUCCUCUAGGUCUAGGACCCCUAGAACCUCGCAAUCCCAACCCCAAGCCUCUACUCUAGUCAAUACCCCUAUAAAUCAACCUACUGCUCCCGGUGUCCGAACCUGGUUAGGUAGGGGUAGAGGUGCCCACGUGGCUUCCGCCACUCACUUGGGAGGGCAUUUGGAAUUCACUAGAGCCGCCGAUCAGCGACGCUAUGCUCAAGCUUGUGAGCGGCGUAUCAUUCCGUGCAAAUGCGCGGACCACAUUACUAUGGUUUUUCUGGGGAUCCAAGGGGAGGUUGAGCGCAUGUACACCGCCAUUGGAUGGCGCCCCUAUCUGGAUAUUUUCCAGCCAGCCUUUGUCGAGUUGACUAGAGAGUUUUACACCACUUUUAAGUUUGAAUUACCGACUAGGUAUACUGUUGCGACUCCCGAUAUCAUUCACUUCCGUCUCAUGGGCCAGGAAUUCAAUUUCUCUAUCACCCAGUUCAAUCUGGCUUUCGGUUUCAUCACUCGGGAGUAUGCAGAGACUAGGGAAUACGGUGAGAGUGCCUGCGAUUUUGUGGAACCUUUCCUUACCGCCUACCGUGAGGUGUGGGAGGACAUGUCUGUGGACAUGCAGCGUUACGAUCCCUCUCGGUCUCGGAGCUCCUUUCUAGAGGACCCGAGUGCUCGGUAUGUUCAGCGGCUUUUAGCAUAUAGCUACUCGGGCAGAAAGAACAGCUUCGGUAUUAUCUCUCGGCCGGAGCUCUUCUUCCUUUGGUGUAUGAAGAAUGGGUUCAAGGUCAAUUUGGGUUGUUGGUUGGCGGCACAGUUCAAGACCGUCAUGGCAAAGAAGAACAAGCCGUUGAUUCUUGGGUCGUAUAUCACGUACUUGGCGGUCCAGCUAGGCGUUCUGAAUCUACAGGAUCACGAUUUGCACUUGGCCUGCGACAUGGAGUAUCUCACUGCUGACCGGCUAGAGAAGAUGGGGGUUCUGGAGCUUGUCGAUGGCCACUACCGAUUUGUGCCCCCGGGACCGCCCCGCGCCCCGCCUCGCUCUUCCUCCACCCAUUCGGCCCCAGUUGGCGGUGAUCCUGGCCCGUCGACAUCCGCUCAGCUCCCUCCACCAGCAGGGGCUGAAGAUUGGCACCAAAUCAGGACGCAGAUUCAGAAUUUGGACGCCCGGAUGAUUAGCAUCGAGAGCAACGUGGCGGCUAUAUCACAGAAUCUGGCGGCAUUCCUGCAGCACUCGGGUUUCCCGCCCCCAAUCCCACCUCACCCUCCACUAUGACCCGGUUUCAGGGAAGUUUGGUUACUUUCUCCCUCACUUUUGUUGUUUUUUGACACAUUGAGGACAAUGUGUCCUAUAGGUGUGGGGGGGUCUAUAGUCUUUCUAGUUUUUAGUAGUUGUUAGUUUUUAGUUUUUUAGUAGUUUUAGUUUUAUUUCUAGUUGCGUAUUUUCUUUCUUUUCUUAGUGCUUAUUCCCCAUGUGAAAAGAAAAAGAAAACAAAAAAAAAGAGAAAAAAAUGUUGGUUUAUUGACUCUAACUCUACUUUUGCCAAGUUUUUUUUAAAUAAAAAUGUAUCGGGUUAAUGUGGUUGGAUCCAGAAUAUCUCCCUGGUGAAUAUCGGAUUGCUUGGCUCUUUUGAUUUCUGUGUUAAUUUCUCUAGGCAUAGGGAAUGACUGUUGGCAUUUUAAUGUGAACUGGUCCAAUAUUGACUCCAGUUCUCUAUGUUUGGCAAUAAUGAGGCGAGCUGUUCCUAUUUUUGGUUCUUAGUGUUGUUAUUAUGUGUUUUUGGCUUUGUUUGGCUGUGAAUAAUCUGGACUGUACUCCGCUAUGAGUUACUACUGAGUAACCGAGGAUCGGCACCUAAAAGUGUCGAUUCUCGCGUCAAAAGGUGGUACUUUAUAUGAGUACGUGGUCGUAUAGCAGUAGGAGCUGAGUAACCGGGCUCCUUCAUCUAAAAAUGUUGGAGUUCGCGUCAAAAGGCCCCGACGGCUAACGACUAAGUCUUUUUGUGUUAAUUAUUAUUGCUUUGAAAAACAAAAAAAAAAAAGAACGAAAAAAGAGAGAAUAAAUAAUAGGAAGGCUUGCCGGUUUAUGGACUUAAUAUGGAGACUUGUGUGAAUAUUUGGACCAUUAGCUAAUAAAUGUUGUGCGCCAUUCCCUUUUCUUAGAGUAGUUAACCUGGAAAUUGAAGGAAUUUGCAGUUUAGGGGCUAACCGGGGGGGAGGCUUCUUGGAUUUUAAUCACCAAUGCUCGAUAUAUGUUUUUCUCUUGAAGAUCUUGGCAAUAUAGGAGAUUGGACAAUGGCCAUCAUCGAAUUUUGGUGUUCGUUUACUAUUCUUAUGCUUGAGGACAAGCAUGGUUUAGGUGUAGGGGGAAUUGAUAGGGUGUAAUUUUACUAUUUAUUUUAUUAUUAAUUUCUCCUAUCACCUGACCUGAUGUGGAUUAAUUGCUGGAUUCUGCUCACUUUUAGUACUUUGUAUUUAUUUCAGGGAGUAGAACGGAAAUUUGAUAACAGGUGCUAAUUUGGCAGAAAAAAGUCCAGAUGAUAGAGCUUGCCCCAAGGGCAUUUUUGGAAAGGAGAACUUGUGCCCAUCUUGGUAAUUUGGGAGAAAAGGGAAACAGACAAAAUGGGUCUAACAUGGAUUGGAAGCGGCCGCACAGUAGCAGGGAAGAGGGCAGACGUAAAAGCAAUUGCAGGGGGGAAAAGGAGUUUUUUUAGUUUUUAGCUUAGCAUCUGAUUUUCCCUGGGAGACUUUUGUUAAAGAUUUCCUUUUGGCUGAUAUUACGCAUGGCAGAUGGCUUUUAACUUAUUCCUCCAUCUUUGACUUUUCUUCUUUAGCUUGUAGUAGUGGAUUGCUACUUACGAAUGUCAGCACUUAGCCAUUCGUGGCUUUUGAUCUUUUCUUCCUUAGAAAUUCUGAGUAGCCUCUUUUCCUUUGUGCGCCAGACGAAGUGAAAACUAUAAACUUUUGUAGUGUUUCUAUUCAUUCAAUAUAUUGAGACGAGUUGGAUUCUACCAAAUUUCAAUGGACAUGGCCGCUGGUUUCUCUUCAAUUUUAUAUGGGCUUUGUUCAUCGAACAUGAACUAAUUUCACCACUCUAGUCAAGGAACAACGAAGACUCUGGUUCGCCUAAAAAUUGUGAGAUCGUUUUAAUUUAAUCUUUUCCUUUUAUUUAUUGGUAUCCGCACAUUUCUUGAUUGCUAUGCUUAUGGUUAUUUAAUUAAUUGAUUGUCUUGGAUCCAGAUAAUUAAUUGAUCUGAUAGCCUAUUGUCAAUUAGGGCAUUUAAAUCCGUAAUUGUUUAAUUGUCCUGAAAUAGUGACAACUGGCACGAUUAGAUUCGUGCCAGGGGGGAUAUGCGGGCUAAUCUAAAAUAACCCUGGUAGUGUGUUAUUUGGUUAGAAUAGGGCUCCUCUAAUAUGUAAGGCAAUUGGGGAAUUAAAUUCUACGGGCGUACCUAGAAUUAUUUCUUAAUUAGAGUAGUGAUUAACGGGCGUACCUUGAUCACCGACACAGUAAGGAGGGGUUGACUGCCAUCGCUUGUUUGGCAGUUAUAACAUAUUUAUCAGUAAAUAAUUGGGAUUGCCUUGCAUCAAUGAUCAAUUAGAUGAACUAUUGCUGAAGUUACUUCUUGGCUAGAUCUUUAGUUAAUAUUACCUUGAUUUUGGUGAAUUGCCAUUUGAUUUUUAGUUGCCUACUUUAUUUUAUUUUUAAUUGUUUCCUUGCUUUAAUUGAGUUAGGCCUUUAAUUAUUGUUAUUCUAAGUUUAGUGAAUUGUGGUUUAAUUCCUAAUUAGUUAUUUAUUUUUACUUUCUUAUUUGAAUUUAUUUGCUUGUUAUCAUUCCUACGAAAUCACCCCCCUGUGUUACUUUGGAUUUCUUAAGAAACAAAUAUACCCAGUCCCUGUGGAUACGACCCUACUUGCCCUGUCCACGAAUUCAUAAUUAUUUGUGAAAAGAAAUAACCAUUCCACUCGGGUAUAUCGGAUCAAGCAAACUCUUCGGGAACAGGGUGAAUCAAGUAACCCAUUGCACACCUAAAAUCCCUGCUCCAGUACUUGGAAUUGGGUUUUGGUCAUUUUAACUGGCAAUUAAGUUUAAUUUUAUUAUUGCACAGGCUGACGACCCUGUCAUUGUAUUUGUACCAAAAGUGAAAACUUAACUAUUUUAGUUGUAUUUAUUUCAUCAUGUUGGAUUGUAUUCAAAUAAUUUUUGUUUGAUUGUUUUUAUAAGUUUCAAUUGUAAAAUUAAAAUGAAUAAUAACUUGAUGAUGUGUUGAUAUUUUAGUACUUGAUUAUUUAUUAAAAUUUAAUUAUAAUAAAAUUUUAUUAACUCAACGAGAAAAAUUUUAUUAAUCCCGUGGGGGCACCCGCGGGGAAAGCGGGGCGGGGCGAGGGGAGUGGGAGGCGGAGGACGGGGCGGGGGCGGGGGAUGGGGGAGGGGUCCCCCGCCCCAACCCCGCCAUCCCCCGUCCCGUUGUCAUCCCUAGUAAUAGACUGGCAAGCAUUGUGGUGGUCAUUGAGCAACUUAUAGGAGAAAUAGUCCUAUAAGCUGUUCAAUGACCAAUCACAACUUGCUAAUUGGAUGACUAAUAUAGCUCUAGCUGUAAUGUUUUAAUUAAAUUACAUCACUAACGUUGGGAUGACUUUUUAACCAAAAAAAAAAAGCCUUAGUUCAAGCUUUUCCCUUUAUUGUGCAUUUUUUAAAGCAUUUGAAAGGCACUGCAAAUCUGUCAUUUUGGACAUUUUAUUAUUGACUAACAAUGAAAGCCGUGGACGUCUACCCAUAACCAACACAAGAUUAAAUUAAUAUUAGAAAAAAUAAUUGAGUAAUUGGAAAAAAAAAAAAAAGAAGAGUCUAAUUUUCAUUGAAACCCACCGACAAACUAUACGUGUCCAUGGCUUUUGAAUAGUGCAUUCAACGUUUAAUUGUAUGGUCCAGUUCAUUGCAGAUUACAUGGAGUAAAGAUUGCGCUCUUUCCUUUUCACCCCUUUUGGAAUCGAUACUGUGGAGAAUUGGGUUUUUCCCUCCUUUUUUUCUUUUCUUUCCUUCUGUGGUUUGCAAAACAUACGUAAAAAUAUGAAAUCCGAAGCAUUCUUUAAUUGGUAUUAAGUAUUGUUGUUGAAAUUAAAAAGAAAAAAGAAAGAACAACAAAAUUCCCAAUCUGGGUUGAUUGUUGAGCUCUAGAUUGGUUGCAUCGUGCUUCCAUAGAAGCAAGAUUUGUAAAAUCGGAAUCCUACAUAGGAUCGAUUUUAGUUUCACAGGAUCGGAUUGUAAAAUCGUAAGAUCCUACCAAAAGCUCUCAAUUGCAAUUAAAGGUUGCAAUUCUUUAAUAAAUUACAAAUAUACCACAAAUAUUUUCAUUUACUUGCAAAAUGGAGCUUCGUAUUUCACAAAUUUACAAAAAAAUUGUAGGAUCGUACGAUCCUACCGAUCCUACGAUCCUACACGAUCCUACCGAUCCUGCUACGAUUCUAUGCGAUCCUACAAAGAUUAAUAUGAUUUGCGACUCUGCAUACGAUCCGGAUCGAUUUUGGUUAUCCGGAUCGUAGGAUCGUAUGAUCCUACGAUCCGGAUCGCGAUUUUGACAACUAUGCAUAGAAGCUCUCUUAGUGUGAUACACUGCUUUCAAUCAGUUUAACACGGGAAAAAAAAAAAGAGAUGAAAAGCAAAUUUGGUGGAGAUAAUUUCAGAAACCUCCCCUGAAGAUUUUGACUAUUCUACUGGUUUCCCUUCAGAUUUUAAAAAUUACACUAAUCUUCCUUGAAGUUAAUUAUCUUGUAACAUUUAAAUUCAAUCAAUAAUUUAAAAAAUGAUAUUAUGAGAGAGAAAAUAAUAUGAUUUUAUCAUUGCCCCCCAUCUUACUACAUUAUUUAAUUAAUUUAAUAGCAACCCACACAUUAAAGAAAAAUAUUAAAAUUUGUUGUUUAUCAUUAAAGAUCAAAUCGCUUAUAACAUCAAAUAAUAGUAUAUUAUUUAUAUUUUUCACUUAAUAUAAUAUCCAAAUUACUCUUUUCAAUUACAUACCCAUUGUUAGAGAAUCAACAACAAAUAACCAAAAAAUUUGCAACCAAAAUAUUACAAAAAAAAUAAACUUUAACAUCAUAAAUAUUCUUAUCAACAUAUUAAAGUUAGUUACUGAAAUUUUUAUGCUGUUAAACUUCACUCUUUUUGAAUACAGAUUUUUUUGAUUAUUUGUUAUUAAUUAUGUUUGAUGAUGGGUUUAUAAUUGAAAAGAACAAUUUGAAACUUACAUUAAGUAAAAUAUAUAGAGUGAUAUACUAUUUUUUAUAACAUAUGUGAUUCAAUCCUUCUUGAUAGGAUUGGUAAUAGAGGUAGAGGGGGGAGUCGGCUGCAUCCGGUCUUCUUUUCAUAGAUAGUACAAUAUUGCGAAAUCAAUCGCAUUCACACAAUAAUAUUUCGAAGUCAAUGCAUGGCUAAGUUGCAUAAAAGUACGAACACUUGUUAUUAUAUAGCUUAAGAUUCAAAACUUUCGAGCAUAACCCUCCACCCAACACAAUUGAAUAAUGAAUAUUCACGAUUGUCAAAUCUGUCAAAGCACAGUUUGAGGACAACCCAUUCCAACCUGCAAAAGAUUUUUUACUUUUCUAAAGUUGUUGAGAGCUGUAAAAAGACUUACCAUGCUUGCAUCCUCCGAGCCUUGGGAGUUAAAAAUGAAGGCACUGAGUGCUAUAAAAAGGGGAAUAGAGGCUGCCUAGAAGCAUAUCAGCCUAAAACAAGAAUUUGUAGUUAAGAUGGGAAGCAAAGCAAAAGCAAUGGGGUCUGGGCUGACUCCUCUUCUUGCCACUGUUUUAGUGGUGUUUGUUGCUCUUGGCUUGCCCUCACAAACUGCAGCUGAUGAUCACUACAAGUAUUCAUCUCCUCCUCCUCCUUACCACUAUCCCUCACCACCACCACCAGUGCAUAUACCUCCACCUCAUCCUGUUUACAAGUACAAAUCUCCACCACCCCCACCACCACACCCAGUUUACAAGUAUAAGUCACCACCACCACCUCCUCAUCCGGUAUACAAGUAUAAGUCUCCUCCGCCACCACCACACCCAGUUUACAAGUACAAGUCACCACCACCACCUCCUCAUCCGGUACCACACCCAGUUUACAAGUAUAAGUCACCUCCACCACCUCCUCAUCCGGUACCCACAGUUUACAAGUAUAAGUCACCACCACCACCUCCUCAUCCGGUAUACAAGUAUAAGUCUCCUCCGCCACCACCACACCCAGUUUACAAGUAUAAGUCACCACCACCACCUCCUCAUCCGGUGCCACACCCAGUUUACCACUACAAGUCACCACCACCACCUCCUCAUCCGGUACCACACCCAGUUUACCACUACAAGUCACCACCACCUCCUCACCCAGUUUACAAAUACGAGUCUCCACCACCACCAGUUUAUAAGUACAAGUCACCACCACCUCCUCCACCAGUUUACAAGUAUAAAUCUCCUCCACCACCACCACCAGUUUACCACUACAAGUCUCCACCACCUCCUCCCCCAGUUUACAAAUACAAGUCUCCACCACCUCCUCACCACUACUAAGCAAUUGCUUCUGAGGUAAUAACACUUGUUCAAUAUACCCACUUCUGCAUGAUAAAGCAUAUCUCUAUCAACACAAACUGUCAUGUCUAUCAUGCUAAGUGCCUUCACUUCAUCCACCAAAAUGACUGCUAGAAAAUUUUUUUUAUGUUACCAAAGAAAGGCAUCAUUUUUUCCCUCUGUUAUCAAGAACUUGUACAGUAUAUAGAUUAAAGAGUAUUUUUUUAACUAGCUUAUCAACUGAGAAAUGCAUAUAGCUGAUAGCCAGCUGAAUAUUUGCAGGCAAAGGAGAAGGAAACCAUGUUUGAGACCUUCUUGAAGAUGUAGAAGCAUAAGAAUAAAAGCCCAAUGUGAAGAUGAUGAUUUCAAGUUUUUCUACGUUACCAUUUCUUUAUCUAAAUUGGUUGUAGCGCCCAAGUUCCUUUGUUUAUGGGAUUUGUAUCGUUUUACGUACCAUGCAGUACAUGUCAUGUUUGUAAGGUUUUCUAUCCUGCCGGCAAACCGCAGGUUCCAUGUGAUAAAUGAAUACUAUUUAUGUUACGACACUUUUCUCUGUUUCUCUUAUAUUUUGUCUUUAAUAUUCUUAAUCAUAUUUUUAACAAAAAUAUUCAAACACUUAGGCAAUCUGGUCUAAUGCUAAUUGUAUGUUUUACUUUUCUUUUUCACCUGCUCCCCUUUUCAACUCAAAAGGAUGCAAUAGUUUGUGAUCACUGUUUAAGACGGAAGCAUGAUACUAAUGAAUAUCUCAUUGAAACUCAAGGAAACUAACAUUGCGAAAAGUGUAAAUCUUGAUUUGAUGCAACUAUUUAUUCGUGGAAUCUAUAGUUACAAAACUCAAAUUCUGACUGCGCCAUUGAUAAAUUAUUAAUGACGCUAUCAUCAUUAUUUAUCCCUAACUAGUUUCGACUACAACUGAACCCAAUAUUUUCCCCAUGAUAAAAGUUUUUGACUAUUUUACUGGCCUCUCUUCAAAUUUUAAAAAUUACACUAAUCUUCAUUGAGAUUAAUUAUCUUGUAACAUUUAAGUCCAAUUAAUAAUUAAAAAAUGAUAUUAUGAGAGAGAAAAUAAUAUAAUUUUAUCAUUGCCCCCCAUCUUGCUAUAUUAUUUAAUUAAUUUAAUAGCAACCCACACAUUAAAGAAAAAUACUAAAAUUUGCUGCUUUUCAUUAAAGAUCAAAUUGCAUAUGCCAUAAAACAUAGUAUAUCAUUCUAUAUGUUUCACUUAAUGUAAGAUCCCAAUUGUUCUUUUCAAUUACAAACCCAUUGUCAAACAUGAUCAAUAACAAAUAAUCAAAAAAUUUGCAACCAAAAUAUUACAAAAAAAAACUUUAACAUCAUAAAUAUUCUUACCACCUCUAGUGCAUUCACCCUCAUAAAAUAAUUCAAGACCCUACUGUCAUAAAAUGACUGAUCAACUCCUGUAAACCUAAUUUGACAACAUUUAAAUGGAGAACUUUAGCUAAAAGAAUUAUGGUCAAGCUAAAGAAAAAACCAGUUAUUUUCCAACAUAUGCAACCAUUGAUCAGGGGAAAAAAAAAAGCAAAAAGACAUCUUCAAUCAUUUAAUAGCUUACAGGGCAAAUUAACCCUUGAGUGAAAACUGGUUGCUCUAGAAUUAAAAUUUUACCUUAGUUACCCAGGCAACUUUUUUGUUGCCUUUUCUUUUUCUUUUUUGGGUAUAUAGCUCCAGUUUUGCCCCCUCUGUCAAGCUUAUAUAAUUAUUAAGAUAAUAAAAGUGCCUUUAAUAGUAUUAAUAUAUCCAUUGACUUGAGCUGUCAUCGAUCGGUUUGGGCUACUUCGAUUCCAUGAGAACAAAUGGUAAUAAAAGUACUCAGAAAAUGGGGAGUCAUGAAACCCUUUUGUUCUAUUCAUUGCUAAGAUGCUUUUCUCUAUAAAGAGACUUCCUAACGAAAAUACUUUGUAGAUUUCUUUACUCCAAGUGGUGCAUGGAAAAUUAAUAUUUUCAAUUAUCAAAUAAAAUUCCCUUUUUUCGGCGUAGAUUUCAUCCAUCCAGCUGUUAACACAUUCUAUAAAUCCGAAUUGACUAAUCUUUUCGUUUCCAUUUUCCAACUUGCGAAUACGGCAUAUAGUGUCUGCUAAACACUAUAUAUUCUCUGCCAAAUAUGAAUACAUAUCACUUUUCUGAGCAAGUGCAGAGUCAUUAUCAUUUUUAUUCCCACCUAACAAAUUAGGGAUAAAAAAGUUAAUAAUCUUUACAUGCUAUCAGGUCACAAGUUAAUAAUCUUUUAAAGAACAUGUUAAAUUAAUUUAUUGGUAUGAAUAGUAGUCAAAGAAGUAUGUUAAAGUUAGUAAUCUUUAAAAUAAUAUGUUAAAAUCAUUCGUACAAAUUAGUCAGAGAAGUAGCAUAAACACCGCGAUGCAAUUAAUACUUUCAAUCUCAAGGUCUCUAUUAUGGAAAUUUGCAUCGGUCAAUAUACACUUGGCAUAAUAUAAUCUCCCAACUCAUUUCUUUACAAAUGCACCUUUAAUCACCACCAAAAGGUGUGGACAUGAUCUUUACCCUAGAAAACUAUUCACCGACAGGCAAAUUGACGUCAGAAAUACUGAGGAAUUCUAGUUUCCUUCGGGUUCAUGCCAUGUUGUAUCCUUCAACUGUAACUCGAUUUCUAAGCUGUAAUUUGUGACAUAAUAGUCCUUAAACUAUGAAACCCUUCUUACUUAAUUACAAUGGUUAAUACAAUGCCCGUGACUAGACAAGUAUGAAGCAACCAUAACAGAAAAAAAAUCCAAAAUUAGAGAAAAGAAAGAAGUUUCGCGACCACCACCAGUUUACAAGUCACCUCCACCACCUCCUCCAGUUUACAAGUCACCUCCACCACCUUACCAUUAUUCCUCACCACCACCUCCAGUGCAUUCACCCCCACCACCACCAGUUUACAAGUCUCCGCCACCACCUUACCAUUAUUCCUCACCACCACCUCCUGUGCAUGCACCUCCACCACCAAUUUACAAGUCACCUCCUCCAGUUUACAAGUCUCCACCACCACCUUACGAUUAUUCCUCACCACCACCUCCAGUGCAUUCACCCCCACCACCACCAAUUUAUAAGUCUCCCCCACCGCCUCCCCCAGUAUAUAAGUCACCACCACCACCUCCUCCAGUAUACAAAUCACCUCCACCACCUCCUCCAGUUGACAAAUCUCCACCACCACCAAUUUAUAAAUACAAGUCUCCUCCACUACCUCCUCCAGUGUACAAGUCAUCACCACCACCUGCUUACAAGUCUCCACCUCCUCCAGUUUACAGUUCCCCACCACCACCAAUCUACAAGUCUCCACCUCCACCCUACCAUUACUACUACAAUUCUCCUCCUCCUCCUCGUCACUACUAAGCAAUUGUAUCCAAGUUUUUGAGGUAAUAACGCUUAACCAAUAAAUUAACUUUCGCAUGAUAAACCUUAUCUCUAUCAAGACAAACUGCCAUGUGUAUCAUGCCAAAUACGUACACCUAGAUCCAUGAAAAUGAAUGGUAGAAAGUUUUCUUAAGAACCAAGAACAGCAUUAGUAUUCCCUCUGCUUCCAAAAACUUGUGUAUUAAAUAGAUUAAUGAAUUGUUUAACAUGCUCAUCUACUUGAAAAUGCACAAUACCCAUAACCCACUGAAAUUUUUGCAGGAAAAGGGAAAGAGAAUCUGUGUUUGAGAGCUUCAUGAAGAUGUUGAAGAAUAAGAAUAAAAGCCCAAUGCAAGGAUGUUUUCAAGUUUUUCUAUGUUUCCACUUUAAUUUGUAAAUUGAAUUUUGCGACUCAAUUAAUUCCCUGUUUGUGAGGUACGUAUUGUUUUACGUACCAUGCCGUACAUUUUUUUUUUCCAACAAACGGUAUCAUGUUAUAGAUAUUAACACUUGACCUUACAAGGAUUAGUUACAAAAAGGGGAUACUACCCUCAACUCUGUCCUAGCUAAAUCAGUCAGCCAUAUUGGGAAAUUAGUUUCCCAUUCAAUAUCAUGUACAAGCUUCACAGCAUAUUGUGCUAAUUGAUGGCUGAUGUGAUUUUCAGUUCUAGGUAUAAACACAAAAGAACAUUUUUCAAAAGCUAGACUAAGUUCCUGCACAUCUUCUAAGAUAGUUGCAGUCGUGUAGUCAUACUCCUUGCGUUUAGUAAUCUGCUCUACCACUGAUUUGCAGUCUGUAUGGACUAUAAUUUGUGUCCAACCUGCUUGGGUAGCCAUCAGCAGAGCAUUUCUCACAGCCCGAGCUUCCACUUCACUUGCCGAUCCCUUUCCCUGUGUGACAAUUCCUUUUGCUUUCAAAAGCUGUCCUUUCCAAUUUCUUGCUAUAAUCCCUUGUCCGGUCCUGACUCGUUUAGCUGAUAUCGCUGCAUCGGUAUACAGCCUUAUCUCUUCCUUCCUUGGCCGCACUCUCCUGGUAGGUAAGGCAUCAUUCAGCUUCCCUGCGAUCUCCUUCUGGUCUGUACUCCCUACCUGUUCAAACUCAAGCCAUUCCUCCUGUGCUUUCCUUACUAUUUUUACUGGAUCCUGGUUGGCUUGUUCAAAAAAUUUUUUGUUCCUGGCUUUCCAAAUUUGCCAAAGGAUAUUGAUAGUAAGACUAACUCUCUCCUGACCUUGGUUCAGUGCCAGCGAUUGUGUGACUUGUUCCCACCAUAACCAAAAGUUAUAUUGCAUACCCAGUAAUCCAUCCCACCUGACCGGUGCUAGCUUCCACGUUUCCACAGCCUUUUCACAGAAGAAAAACAAAUGCUCAAUAGUUUCCAUAUCUUCACCACAGCAACCACAUCUGCCUUCCCCUCUAUGUAGCCUUUUCGACAUCUGUUCAUUGACUGGCAGACAAUUUUGUAAGCACUUCCACAUGAAGUGUUUUAGUUUGGCCUUCACCUUCAAAUGCCAUAGCUGCUUCCACACAUUUCGUUUUCGUAUCUCCCAACUUGUUUCUGCCUCUUGGCCUGUCCUUGUACCUGCUUUUCCUUCCCGUUGCCUUGCUAAAGCAUAACCAGAUUUCACGCUAUAAAUUCCAGCUUUGGAAUGCCCCCAUACCAACCUAUCCUUUCUUCUUCCUAUACUUGUUGGAAUUCCCUUUAUGUGCUCUGCAUCUUUUGCACAAAACCACUUGAGAAGCAAAUCAUUUUUCCAUUUCCCUUCCUCUAUCAGCUCACUUACCCAUUCCAACUUGCAUCCCACAGGUUGUGUGGUUGAUGCAAAGCCGGUAUCUGAACCAACUAUCCAUCUGUCCCGCCACAUGUUGACUGACUUGCCAUCUCCAAUUCUUUUCCAAAGACCAUCAUACAGAAAGGAGGCUGCACUAUGAAUACUCUUCCAACACCAUGAGGCUGAAGAGACUGGCUUCUUGUCCAUCCAUUUUUCAUCACUCAUAUACUUCGCCUUCAUUACCUUACUUACUAACAAAUUUGGAGCCAUUAAGAAUCUCCAAAUUUGUUUUGCCAGUAAUGCUGUGUUGAAGGCCUCCAAAUCUCUAAAGCCUAAACCUCCUCUUCCCUUAACUUCUAAGAGCUUCUUCCAGCUUGCCCAAUGUACACAGGUACCCUUUUCUCCCUUCCCCCACCAGAAACUCGCUAUUUUACCUGUGAUUUGUCUACACAAACCCCUUGGAAGUCUAAAGCAAGCCAUCACAUAUGUUGGCAUAGCCAUAAUCACUGAUUUGACCAGAAUUUCUUUCCCUCCUUGGCUCAACAGUUUUUGUUUCCAACCUUGCAACUUGUUACUAAUUUUGUUCUGGACAAAUGCAAAGACCUGUGUCUUUGAUCUUCCAAUUGCCAUUGGGAGUCCUAGGUAGGUUCCAUUCCUUGCCUCUUUAAUGUUAUCUAAUACCUCCCUCACUCCAUUCUUCCUUUGAUCAGUGGUAUUUUUGCUAUAGAAGAUAGCUGACUUUUCAAAAUUCACCACCUGUCCGGAUGCUUGACCAUAUCUUUCCAAUAUGCUUUUGACCUUCCUCGCCUCCUGCUUGGUUGCUUGGCAGCAUAGUAGAGAAUCAUCUGCAAAAAAUAGGUGAGAAACCAUCGGACUGUCCUUGCAUAUUUUGAUCCCUGUAAUUUCCUUGUUCAUCAUAGCUUUAUGGAUCAAACAUGAAAGACCUUCAGCGCAUAUAAUAAACAAGUACGGGGAUAGGGGGUCUCCUUGUCUAAGCCCUCUACUCGGUUGAACACAGCCUACCUUUUGCCCAUUUAAGUUGAAGGAGUAAGUCACAGUAGAUAGGCAAGACAUGAUCCAUUUAACAAAAAUUGGACAAAACCCCAUUUUCAUCAUAACUCUCCCCACAUAUUUCCAUUCGACUCUAUCGUAAGCUUUGGACAUGUCCAGUUUAAGAGCCAUAAAUCCUACCCUUCCCUUUCUCCUAUUUUUCAAAAAAUGCAGGAUUUCAUGUGCAACUACUACAUUAUCAAGAAUUUGACGGCCUGGGAUAAAAGCGGAUUGAGAGGGACUAAUACAAUGAUGCAAGACACCUUUCAAUCUAUUAGCUAUGAUUUUAGAAAUGAUUUUAUACAGGACAUUGCACAAGCUAAUAGGUCUAAAAUGCACCACAGAUUCAGGAGUAUCAACUUUAGGAAUCAACGAAAUAAUAGUAUCAUUCACAGCUUUGAGCAAAUGCCCAGUAUGAAAGAAACUCUUAAUAGCUGCUACCACAUCAUCCUUGAUAAUAUCCCAAUAGUGUUGAAAAAAUAGAGGAGACAUACCAUCCGUUCCUGGUGCUUUAUUAGGGUGCAUCGAGAACAAAGCUUUCCUGAUCUCACUUUCCUCCACUUGUCGUAUCAGUUGUCCAUUCAUAUGACUCGAAAUAGUGCUUGGAAUUUCAGCUAGAAUGUCCUCAAAGCAGUCCGGGUUAGUAGUGGUAAAAAGGUCUUUAUAGUACUCACAAAGUUCCUCCUCAAUCUCAUGUUCCUCCUUGCACCAUGUCCCAUCUUUUUUCUGCAAUAUAGUGAUCUUAUUUCUCCUCCUCUUUGCCAUGACCGAAGAAUGGAAAAAAGCUGUAUUCUUGUCCCCUUCUUUGAGCCACUUGUUCCUGGAUUUUUGACUCCAAAACAUCUCUUCCUCUGCAUAAGCUUUAUUCAAUUGUGCUUUUAGUUCAGCCACUUGUACUCUUUUCCCUUCAUCCUUUCUUGCUUUCACUUCAGCCAAUUUCUCCUUUAACACUUUAAUUCUAACCUUUGAGUUUCCCUGCACCUUUUUCCUCCAAUCCAGAAUAGCCAUGCGACAUUCCUUUAUUUUUGUAGCCACUCUAAACAUCCUGGACCCUGACUUCACCUUUGUCCAUGCUCCUUGAAUCACCCUUUUUGCUUCUGGAUUUAGCGUCCAUCGUUGAUCAAAGUAAAAUCUCCGUUUUCUCCUUGUGUUUUCCGGGUUUGUAUCCACAAGAAGCAUUAGAUGAUCAGAGGCUUCAGUAUCUAAAUGAGUACACUGUGCCUUUUCAAAUCUUUGCAGCCAUUCGGUGCUGCAUAAACAUCUAUCCAACCUCUCUUUCACUUCCCCAUCCCCCUCCCAACUAUUGCACCAAAUCCACGGGACCCCUUGAUAACCUAAGUCAACCAGGUUAUUGUCUUUGAUAAACCUGUUGAACUCCCUAAAACAUCUUUCAGCUCUAUCCCUUCCUCCCCACUUCUCCUCACUAGACCUCAAAUCAUUAAAAUCUCCUACAAUGAUCCAGCCAUCCCCCCAGUCCCUCAUCCUGUCCUCUAAAUAUUUCCAUUGUGCUUUUCUAAUGUUACUAUCUGUGCUUGCAUAAACACACACUAGCCCCCAGUAUCCUUUAGUAUCCUUGUCCUCAACUCUAGCACUAAUACACCAAUCAGUACUUACAAUCUGGUCUAAAAUCACCUCAUUGUUCCAGAAUAAUGCUAGACCGCCUGCUUUACCUAUUGAAUUCACAAAAAAGCUAUUGUCAUACUGAAUCUUCCUUUGAACCUUGCCCAUAAACCCUUCCUGAUUCUUAGUUUCACAAAGGAACACCACCUUAGGAGAGUGGAAGUUAGUCACUUCCUUUAGUUGGGGACUUGUCAAGGGGCCUCCUACACCUCGACAAUUCCACACCACAACCUUCAUUUACACUUUGGAGGCUUUCCGGGGCUAGCCUCCAUUUCCCCUAUUGUACUAACAUUUAUUAGAUCCAGUUUCAUAACCUUUACCUUCGGUACAUUAUCAUCAUCCUCCUCUAUCGGUUGUGUUCCCUGAAACAUACCAUCAGCCUUCCUUUUAGCACACGAAACCUGCGUUACUUGUCCAUUUGUAUCUGCCUUUAAGGAUGUUUUAGCCGGCCUCCCUCUUCUUUUAAAACUGCUUCUUUUUUCAGCUUUGUUAUCUUCUUCCCCUGGAGUAGCCUCCUUUCUUGGCAUUCUUGCAUUUGUCUCCUCCUGCUUUAUUGACCCUACCCGCAAACUUUCACAUUCCUGUUUUGAGCUGUCCGUUUCCAUAUCCUCAUAAUCUACUGGUGGGAUUACGCUGCUCCCUCCUUUACUCCCUUCCUGUACCCUACCCUCCUUUUCACCAUUUCCCUCCAUUAAGACCACAGCCAAACUUUCCACCCGUUGGUUUGCCUUUCCAUACUGCCUGCUGUCUUUUAGAAUCUCAUCCCACCUCUCUUCAUAUUGUCUCGUCAUCAUUUUCUCCUUAUCCCCCCUUUCCUUUCCCCCCAAGACUCUACCAUUUUUUCCCCCAAGAGUUAAUGUAUCUCCAGCCAUUUGUACUCCAGUUUGAACUUCACUACUAGGAGACCCUGCCCCCACCCUCCUUGCAUCAAUUUCACUUACUCCUUCCAGCCGUCCCUUUAAGGGAGAUACCAUUAUAUUUCCAGCUCUCAUCCAGGCACCAUAUUGUUCCUCUCGCUUCUCCCCCCCACCCUUCCUACCACAGUACAAGUCCUAUCACUAUGCCCAAUGAUACCACACCUAUAACAGAAAUCAGGGCAGCGUUCAUACCUGAACUCAACCCACACUGCCUGGUUCUUACAGUUGAUCUUUGUCCCUCUAACCAGUGGUUUCGUUAUAUCUACCUCAGCCAUAAUCUUCAUGUGGCGACCCUCUUUCCCACCACUUCCUGGGAGAAUCACUCCCCUCACUGAUUUAAAGAUCCCUCCUAUUUUCAAACCCACUGCUCUGCUCAACCAGUGCACCGGUAGGUUCCAUAGUUGAAUCCAAAGAAAGGAAUGCUGGAAAAAGCUGCUGUUUGUAUCAUACCCCUCUACCCACUCCUUCACUAUCAGCAACUGGUUGUCCAUGACCCAAGGCCCUCCAGAUAAGAUCUUUUUCUUUUCCCCUUCAUCUCCCAGAUGGAAAUGGAAUAAGUUAGGACCUAACUCAGUCACUUUCAUCUUUGAGGGGUAUCCCCAUGCAUGAUUUGUAAAGUUCUUUAACCCCGUAAAGUUGGCAAUUUUUUCACCAAUCAGCUUUCCUACCAGGCUUCCUUGACACUCAGAGACGCCUUCUUCCAGGUCCUCACCACUCAGAUCGACACCUCCUAACUCUGUUUCAGACAAGUCAAAAUUUUGAAAGGCUCUUUCUAAAGCAUCCGCCAUUGCUGUGACGAGAGCUCCUUGAGAAACCAAGCACUAUUUCUGAGCUAUGAGUGACCCACUGACAGACCUGUGAAGAAUUGCAAAGACAGACAAAGCUGUGUUAUCCGUACACACUAAAAACCAACCAGAAAAACAGAGAGGAACUCGACAGAAAAAGCACAGGCACAAGAAGAAACGAAAGAAAAAAGAAAAACCAACAAACCACUAUCCCACUCCCGACCACAUAACAGCAUUAAAGAAAGGGACACAAAUACGACACUCCAACUUCCGAUCACAUGCUCUGACUCAAUGGAUCAUAUCUUGCCCAAAGCGUUUACUCCUCCAACCGAUUCCAAACCACUACAGACAUUGUCUCCCAUUUUGAAGCCGGAAGAAAGGUGGCUUCUGGACAGGGAACAUGAAAGCAAAGGUUGAACUAAAGAUUUGAUUUUAGAUCUGAAAAUUACGCUGUAGGAAAAAGUGCUAUGUGUUUGUACCUCACCCACUCUCCCACACCGAGGAGGGGAACCUCUAAAGUUAGAGAGAGAAGCUCUCAAGUUAGAGAGAAGCUUUGGAAGUUAAUUACCAACGUACCAUGCCGUACAUGUUUGUAAGGAUUUCUAUCCUAUUGGCAAAAGUCGGUUCCAUACAAUUAAUCAAUUCAUUUCACUUCUAUUGGCUCUACUAUUUAUGCAUGUUACGACACUCUUUCCCUUAUAUUUUGCCUUUAAUAUUAUGAGUCAAUAGUAAUAAUGGGCCUUUUUCUUAAAAUUAUACUAUUAUACAUAGGUAGUUUGGUCUAACGCUAAAUUCAUGUUUGUCUUUCUUUUAUUCCCUUUACAUCUCAAAGUAUACUAUAGUUUGUAAUCAUUGUGGUGAUGAUAUUACCAGCUGGUACUUAUAGUUUAAGGCAGAGACAUGAUAUUAACAACUAUCUCAUUGAAACAUAAGUCAAAAUCAUGACAAGUGUGAGUCUUGGUUAAUGCACAAUUUGUUAGUGGAAUUUAUAUUUAUAAAACUCAAAAAAAAUUUUUGACAAUGCUAUUACUAAUUAAUUAAGGACUUCAUUGCUAUAAUUUAUCGCUUACUAAUUUAAACUAUAAAUGAUCUCAAUACUUUUCUCCAUGAUGUCGAUUUCUUUAGACUACGAAAGGGAAAAAUUAGUGACAUAUCCCUUACUGAUUACAACAUCAGCAAAAAUUAGUUAUAAACUUUUCCGGUGGUUUUAAAUCCCUCGGGCACUAAGGUUUUUUGCACAUCGAGUGAAUUAAGGAACAUAGGCAAUUCGUUCUGCAUACCAAGUCCUUGUUUAAGAUGCACGUACUAAAAUGCAUCCACUUCAUUAAUUUGGAAAAUUGCCAUAGUUUUUUUUAAGCAUUUUGAUUUUUUACAUGAUUCAAAAUUUUCUUAUUGGAUACAAUCACUUUGUGUCAAGAACACAUUUUCAAUCAUCUUUUUUAUCUUCUCAAUAAGAAAAUAAAAAUUUAUUCAUGCUUUUCUAACAUAUCCAAUCAUUGAUCUGAAAAAUAAAGAAUUAAAAAAAAAAGACAUUUUCAAUCAUUGCUUACGGGGCAACUUCCCCAUGUGAACCUCAUCAAACAAAGCCAAUAAUAUGAAGGAACAUCUAAAUACACUUUUGCCCUAAAGGCUGGUUGCCUUGGGGUCAAAAUUUAACCUUCGGGAGUAUAAUUACCCGCCAAAUUUAUUAUUUUUUUUAUGGGUAUAUAGUUCCAAUUUUGCCUCCUGUUAAGCUUAUAAAUAUAUUACGACCCAGAAAAUAAAGGAAUCUUGAAUAGUAACAUGUCCAUUGACUUGAGUUGUUAUCAAUUUGGCUACUUCGAUUCCAUGAGGCCAAUCCAAUUCACACUAGCUAGAGAAAAUGGUGAUAAAGGCACUUAGAAAUUUAUAUGUAAUAUUGAUUGGUAGUAACUGAUAAGUAUAUAUUUUACGUGUUUUAAAUAUGUUUUAUUAGUUAGUUUUGGUGUGUUUUAACUACUUUUAUAACUAAUUAACUAGGAAUCUAGUGAAAAUAUGCAUUUUGUGGUUUGAAGUGUAAAAAUUGUAUUUCUAUGGAUUUUAAUGGUGAAAACUUCAUGUUUUUGUAGGUUUAAUGAUUCAAUCAUCAAAUGACAUGAUUUGAGAAGAUAAUUAGAUGAUUGAUGAUGUUUUGAAGUGAUAAAAAGAGAAUACAAAGUGCAAGAGAGGAAAUGCAAUCAAGAAUAAAAGAAGAAAAUUUUUGUAGCUUUGACAUAUUGUCGUAUUUCGGCAAUAUAUUGAGCUACAAUGAUCGGAUUAAGGUGAUUCUUAAACCAUUUGAAGCUAAAAUAUAGAUCUACAUUUGGCAUGAAGGCAUCGAAACCCAUGUCAGUCAUUUUCCUUGUCAAAAUGUUGAAAUACAGAAGUGCAACUCUGUUCUCGAAAGCUAAAACAGAGCUCUGGCUAGUCGAGGGUAUUUUCAUCAUUUCUUAGUCCACAGAGCUCCAAAUGAGAUGAUUCUUAAGGCAUUAGAACCCUAACUCAAAGAGCUACAACUUUCAUAUUUUGUACAAGAGUUAGUUCGGCCUCUAUCAUUAAGAAAAUAGUAGUUGAAGUGGUGCCAAAUGCAUAGAAGUGAAAACGCGAGCUAUCAAUACUCGACCUGAAGUCGCGUAUUCCUGAGGUCAUGCAUUCUCUUCUAUUUUCUGCAACUUGCCCUGCUUUCACAUAACUUUUUCAUCUCAAUUCCAACUAUCAAUUUCGGCUAUAUCUGAUCAAGAAAAGUGUGGAAAGUUUGAAAGACAACUCAUAGGAGUUUCAAGAGUCAAAAAUUACAAUUAGAAACAACUCAUUUGGCUCUUGAAUCCUCUAUAAAUAGAGGCCUUUGAAGAACAUUUUCACAACUUUGGAAGGUUAGAGAAACUCCACAAAAACAUAGUCUUCACUAGAAUUUCCUUAGUUCAUUAGUUAGGGUAGUAUAGUAUAGUUAGUGUAGCUUUUCCUUCUUGUAUUUAUAGUUAGGUUUGAAUGAAGAUUCAGGAGCAAAGAUAGAGAGGUUGAUCUCAUGUGACAAGGGUGAUAUCUCUUCUACUACUUUCUCUUUUGUAUUUGAUUUCAUAUUUAACUAUACUACAAAUUUGGCUUUGUUUUUUUUUUUUUAUCAUGUUUAGUUAAAGUUUAUGCCUAGAGUAUGGAUGACCUUUUUAUAUCUUGUUUGUGAUAUUUAACUGGUUAUUUGAUGAUGUUAUUUUUGAGCAAGUUAUUUAUCACUUUUGCUUUUCUAAUCAUGAUUAACUGGCCAUUAGUUGUGAUUAUCUAAAAGUGUUAAGUUUGUAAUGAGAAUUGGAGUUUAACACUAGUUCAAGGAAGUGAUAAAUUUAGGGAGUUCACUCAUGAGAGUAGAGGAACACCUUUGUGACCUAAGUGACUUGUUUCAUAUAAUUUCAUAGAAAAAAUGAACUUGUAAUUAAUUUCAUAACCACGAGAGUAAGUAUGGUUUAGCUAUAUGUAUAGUUGAUUCACUACGAGAGUAGGUUUCACAUACAUUAGAAAAUUACAUCAUAACUAGUCAAGAUAAUAUCAUUCAUUUAAUCAGUAAUCUCAUUUGCAUGAGUAGUAAGGCAUUCCAUAUCUCUAGGAGGUUUUUAGUAUUAUUUUCAUUACUUUUAUGUUUAUGGUAGUCUAGAUAAUAAUGGAGUUCGAAAACUACUAGUAAUUGAAAAUUUUCCCUGUGGGAUCGACCUUUAAUACCCUAUACUCGCUCUCGACUCGUAUACUUGAGAAAAAUCACGUGUGCGGUAUUUAGAAUUUAUAAAUGUAAAACUUGACUGUAGAUGAACUAAUUGAUAUAUGUAUACCCCGCACUCGUCAGUAACCAGCUUGUAUUGAUCCCACUAUUGUGGAUAAUUGUGCUCUUAUGAAAAAAAAUUAUAAAAAAAUUAGCAAAAUUUAUGAUAACAAAUUAAAUUUAUUCAUACAAAUCAGUGAAAGAAGUAGAAUUUUAAAGUCCAUGAUGAAAUUAAUACUUUCAAGGGCUCUAUUAGGAAGACUUCACUUGUUGGUGAAACUACACUAGCACAGUUAUAUGCACAUUUACUGUUUUGGUAUCUAAUUUCCUUGCCUUAAGUUGGGUGCAGAUGUUUAUAUUACAAAUAGAUGGUAUCAUAAAAUUGUUGUAUUCACGUUUGUUCUUUUUUUUCUUCCUUAAGUUUUUUUCUUUAUUCUCGUGACUUCAAAAAUACGAACUCAAGAAAUUGGCUGCUUAAUCAAUAUGUCAUACAGGCUUCGCUAGUGAGGUAUAACUUCACAACUAGAGUCAAUAGAAAUUAUCAAAUGAUUUUUUAACAUCCAAAUUAAGCAAUAAAUUUUGUUUUCAUUUUAUGACAUAUAAUAGUACUACUUCAUGAGAGAUUUUAUAGUUUCUUUUAGGUAUCAUACCUACAAGUGAUAUUUGUCAUUGGAUAGUGACAGAAGUGUUAAUGAUUGUAAGAUUAAAUAUUGUUAAAUAUUGAAAUUUAAACUAUUUAUCUUUAUUGAAAGAUACAAGUUAAAGAAUCGUUCAAGGGGGCAAUUUUCCAUCUUGUCUUUUUGAAAAAACGCUAUCACAUUGUAUAGGCAUGAUAGGUUCAAAUUUGUCAUUAAAUUUAUGAUUGAUUUUCCUUUUAUUCAAGCCAAAUAUUGUUUUAAUUAUCAAAUUCUACUUAUAUUUGGUUAAUUGUACUAAUUGUAGGGCGGUAGAGCAAAAGUUGCUAAAAAUAGGCGAUUUUCUGCAAAUUGGUUGUCAAGGCUGAAGGAUUUGGGAUUCGCAUGUUCAAGGCCUGUUUCCAAGUUUGAUUCAAACUCUGGACAGUUUUAGAGGAAGAUUUGGAAGAUUUGAAAUUUCAUUAUUAGUUUUAUGGUUGAAUUAGGAAUCUUGGAAUAAUUUCUUUUGUGAUUUAUUUUUCUAUUUAGGAGACUAGUUGUUAUUUAGUAGUAGACUUCAAUUAGAAAACAAAGAGAAAAAGAAGGCCGGAAUCCCGCUUGAUUAAUACCUUGGCCAGGGAACAAUCUCGGUGGGGAGGACGGCCACUUAGCCUCUCAAUUCAUCUUGCUUUUCGUUAGUUUGAGAGGAAAACCAAUUGCAACUAGAUUCAAUGGAGUCUGGCAGAAUUUCUUCUAGGAUGCGUAGCUAAAUCCUCAAUUUUUAGUCGAAGGUCAAUUUGAAAAUUCGGUUCCAAAUAUCUGUGAAAUCGAAUUAUUUUACUUAUUUCUUUUAUUUAUUGGUAUUCGCACGUUUUCUGAUUUAACUUUUUAUGAUUGUUUUGUUAUUUGAAUGUCAAGGGUCCGAUAUUCGAAUUAACUUAAUAAUCUACUGCCAAAUUAACCGGUUAAAUCCGUAAUUGUUUGAUUGAUUAAUAUCAGUGGCGACUAGCGUGAUUGGUCCCAUGUUAGGAAAACGUCUGAUCUAAUUUAAACAAACCGUCGUAGCGUGUUUGUUGAUUAGGGUUGGGCUUUUCUAAUUCUUAAUUCAAUUGAGAAAUUAAAUCCCCCGGUCGUACCUAGGAUUAUUUUUUUGUUAGCGAAAUAGUUAAUGGUCGUACCUUGACUAUCGAAAAAGUAAGGAAGAGUUGAUUGUUUAUCGCGUGUACGACAACUAUAAUCAAUCUAUUAAUGAGUAAUUGAAUUAUCUUUGCAUCAGUAAUCAGUUGAAUGGACCGUGUCUGAAAAGUUGUACCUUUGGCUAGAGUCUUAUCUGUUGUUGAUUCAUUCAUAUCUAUCUUCAUGCGUUGUUUUAAUUUAGUUAAUUAGUUAUUUUUAUAAAAACCCCUCAUCUCUGGACUCUAAAAGAAAUAAAUUAUUUCUAGUUCCUGUGGAUUCGAUCCUACUCACCAUACAAUCCAACCUGCAAUUGUAUGAACCCCAAUCUCGCUUCCUAGUCCACCAUUUUUCUCUAGGUAAUAAUCUCCCUUCUAAUUUCUUCACAAAAUGCACCUUUCAUCACCUCCAAUAGCGUCGACAUGAUCUUUACCCCAGAAGACUAUUCACCGACUCUCAAUUGACGUUAGAAAAUCUAAGAGUAAUUCUACUUUACCCUAAGAUUGAUAUCAACAAGACAAGGACAAUUUAGAAUUAUUACACGCCUCUUCUUAAUAGGAAAAAGAAAUAGAGAAGAAAGUCAGGCCAGGUCUAAUUUCUUUUCAAAGGCAAUACAACAUUACGAAAUCAAGCAUUCAUUCAUACAAAUAUUUCAUAGUCACCGGUUUGCUGAGUAGAAAAAUUUAGACAAAAACUUAAUAUUAUAUUGUUUAAGAGUUAACAAUUUAGAGCUUAAUCUCCUUGUACUUUGGAGUUAACAAUUUAGAGCUUAAUCUCCUUGUACUUUGGACUAAACUUGAACGUGAAAGGAAAUCCCAAAACCAUAUUGGGCAUGAAUUCACACUUAAUAUACCCAAUAAAAGAUGGCGACUGGUGAAAGGCAGUGGAGACUGGUGGAGAGAUUUGAGGAAUAGAAGCAGACGGAAAAGCAACAAAUUUUUGCCGAAAAACGGUCACUUUCAUGGUUAAUUUUGCUACUCUCCAAUUGUACUUGACCAAUUACAACAAUUUCAUGGAGUUUGAUACGUGAAAAGAAUUUUUUAUAAAUUUUAUUUUGAUCCAUAAUGUUAUCUUUACAUAUAUAAAACAUUUUACAAUUUUGAUUUUGGCGCAGUUAACUUUUGGUAAACAAAAAUGCUCAUGUUUAAAAAACCGGAAAUAAAACAAAACAAGAAACAAAAGAAAUAAGAGGGUAGCAUAGACAUUUUGGAUUUUUCCGUUAAUUUGGAUGAUUUCCACCCACGUUCUAAUUUAAUCCAAAACACAAAGGAAUUACGUAGAGGUUUUAAAUAAUGAGGGAGCUUCAUGAUCGAACCCCAAACCACAAGGCGAUUUACUAUAUUUUACUCUUAAAUUUUGGUUUCAUCUCAUAGCAUACAAGAGUUCUAUUUCACUAUCUGUAGACAAAGACUUUCUAUGGUUGAUGUACCAUAGGAAAAAAUCUGCCUAUACAACGUGAUAGCAUUUUUUCAAAAACACAAGAUGGAAAAUUGCCCCCUUAAACGGGGAAAUUCAUGAUCUUUCCUCGAACAAAGAAUACUCACGCCUAUUCAAGAUGGAAAAUUGCCCCCUUAAACGUCUAUUUGUCAAUUCUUGAAAAAAGAAUACUCACGCCUAAAACACGGCCUCUUCAUCUGCAGAAUUCUAAAAAGUUAGGUAAACUCUAUAAACAAGUUGAUAGGUACAAUCGUACCCAAGAUCAAGUACAGAUAGUUGUACAUUCACUGCUGCAAUAACUAAUCUGAUGACUUACAAACAUAUCAUGGUCAAUCGUUGAAUGGUAAUGAGUCUUUUGUUAUGCAUUAGUAUUAGUGUGUACACUCUAAUAGAUUGAUACUUAUACUCUUUAAAUUAUCAUAAUAAUACCCUUAAUUAACUUUAACUCUUAAAAAGAAUACGUGUUAAUACACGAGAGUGUGUAACCUGAAUUGUUACUUAUACAUUAGUGUGUAAUAGAUAGGGAUGGCAAUGGGGGCGGGUGCCCGCAGGCAACCGCCCCGCGGGGGGCUCUCGGGGCGGGGAGGGGGGAAUUUUUUCCCCCCGUUUAGAAACGGGGCAGGGGACGGGGGAGUAUACCCCCGCCCCAUCCCCCGCAAAAAAAAUUAUAUAUAUAUAAUUAUAUAUAAUAUGUAAUUUAAUUAGUUAUAAACUUAUGAUAAUGAUAUUAUUAGUUAGAUGUAUUAUAUAAUGUAUAUUAGUGUAUGUAAUAUAAUUAAUAUUAUCAAUUAUACGAAUAAUUAGACAUGUCUACUAAUAGAAUUUAUUAAUUAGUUAUACUAAAUUUACUAAUACAUUUAUACUAAAUUUCUAAUUACAUUUAAUAGAAUAACACUUUUUUCUAAAAAAAAAAGCACAAACACAAUAAUGAAUUAGUGAUUGUAUUUUUACCAAAAAUGAAAACUUAACUAUUUUAGUUGCAUUUAUUUCAUCAUGUUGGAUUGUAUUCAAAUAAUUUUUGUUUGAUUGUUUUUAUGAGUUUCAAUUGUAAAAUUAAAAUGAAUAAUAACUUGAUGAAUAAUAAUGUCAAUCGUUGAAUGGUGUGUACACUCUAAUAUUAUGCAUUAGUAUUAGUGUGUACACUCUAAUAGAUUGAUACUUAUACUCUUUAAAUUAUCAUAAUAAUACCCUUAAUUAACUUUAACUCUUAAAAAGAAUACGUGUUAAUAACUCUUAACCUGAAUUGUUACUUAUACAUUAGUGUGAAAUAGAACGGCAAGCAUUGAGCAACUUAUAGGAGAAAUAGUCCUAUAAGCUGUUGGAUGACUAAUAUAGCUCUAGCUGUAAUGUUUUAAUUAAAUUACAUCACUAACGUUGGGAUGACUAAUGGUUUAAAAAUAAUUGAGUAAUUGGAAAAAAAAAAAGAGACUAAUUUUCAUUGAAACCCACCGACAAACUAAACGUGUCCAUGGCUUUUGAAUAGUGCAUUCAACGUUUAAUUGUAUAGUCCAGUUCAUUGCAGAUUACAUGGAGUAAAGAUUGUGCUCUUUCCUUUUUCACCCCUUUUGGAAUCGAUACUGUGGAGAAUUGGGUUUUUCCCUUCUUUUUUUCUUUUCUUUCUUUCUGUGCUUUGCAAAACAUAGGUAAAAUUAUGAAAUCCGAAGCAUUCUUUAAUUGGGAUUAAGUAUUGUUCUUGAAAUUAAAAAGAAGAAAGAAAGAACAACAAAAUUCCCUGAUUGGUUGCAUCGUGCUUCCAUAGAAGCUCUCUUAGUGUGAUACACUGCUUUCAAUCAGUUUAACAUGGAAAAAAGAAAGAGAUGAAAAGCAAAUUUGGUGGGGAUAAUUUCAGAAACCUCCCCUGAAGAUUUUGACUAUUCUACUGGUCUCCCUUCAGAUUUUAAAAAUUACACUAAUCUUCCUUGAAGUUAUAACAUUUAAAUUCAAUCAAUAAUUUAAAAAAUGAUAUUAUGAAAGAGAAAAUAAUAUGAUUUUAUCAUUGCCCCCCAUCUUACUACAUUAUUUAAUUAAUUUAAUAGCAACCCACACAUUAAAGAAAAAUAUAAAAUUUGUUAUUUAUCAUUAAAGAUCAAAUCGCUUAUAACAUCAAAUAAUAGUAUAUUAUUUAUAUUUUUCACUUAACAUAAUAUCCAAAUUACUCUUUUCAAUUACAUACUCAUUGUUAGACAAUCAACAACAAAUAACCAAAAAAUUUGCAACCAAAAUAUUACAAAAAAAAAUAAACUUUAACAUCAUAAAUAUUCUUAUCAACAUAUUAAAGUUAGUUACUGAAAUUUUUAUGGUGUUAAACUUCACUCUUUGUAAUAUUUUGGUUACAGAUUUUUUUUGAUUAUUUUUUAUUAAUUAUGUUUGAUGAUGGGUUUGUAAUUGAAAAGAAUAAUUUAAAACUUACAUUAAGUGAAAUAUAUAGAGUGAUAUACUAUUUUUUAUAACAUAUGUGAUUCAAUCCUUCUUGAUAGGAUUGGUAAUAGAGGUAGAGGGGGGAGUCGGCUGCAUCCGGUCUUCUUUUCAUAGAUAGUACAAUAUUGCGAAAUCAAUCGCAUUCACACAAUAAUAUUUCGAAGUCAAUGCAUGGCUAAGUUGCAUAAAAGUACGAACACUUGUUAUUAUAUAGCUUAAGAUUCAAAACUUUAGAGCAUAACCCUCCACCUAACACAAUUGAAUAAUGAAUAUUCACGUUUGUCAAAUCUGUCAAAGCACAGUUUGAGGACAACCCAUUCCAACCUGCAAAAGAUUUUUUACUUUUCUAAAGUUGUUGAGAGCUGUAAAAAGACCUACCAUGCUUACAUCCUCCGAGCCUUGGGAGUUAAAAAUGAAGGCACUGAGUGCUAUAAAAAGGGGGCUAGAGGCUGCCUAGAAGCAUAUCAGCCUAAAACAAGAAUUUGUUGUUAUGAUGGGAAGCAAAGCAAAAGCAAUGGGGUCUGGGCUGACUCCUCUUCUUGCCACUGUUUUAGUGGUAUUUGUUGCUCUUGGCUUGCCCUCAGAAACAGCAGCUGAUGAUCACUACAAGUAUUCAUCUCCUCCUCCUCCUUACCACUAUCCCUCACCACCGCCUCCAGUGCAUUUACCUCCACCAGUGUACAAAUACAAGUCCCCACCACCACCUCAUCAUGUUUACAAGUACAAAUCUCCACCACCCCCACCACCACACCCAGUUUACAAGUAUAAGUCACCACCACCACCUCCUCAUCCGGUACCACACCCAGUUUACAAGUAUAAGUCACCACCACCACCUCCUCAUCCGGUAUACAAGUAUAAGUCUCCUCCGCCACCACCACACCCAGUUUACAAGUAUAAGUCACCACCACCACCUCCUCAUCCGGUACCACACCCAGUUUACAAGUAUAAGUCUCCUCCGCCACCAGUUUACAAAUAUAAGUCUCCUCCACCACCACCUCCAGUGUACAAGUACAAGUCUCCACCACCACCAGUUUACAAGUACAAAUCACCACCACCUCCUCCCCCAGUUUACAAAUACAAGUCUCCACCACCACCAGUUUACCACUACAAGUCACCACCACCUCCUCACCCAGUUUACAAGUACAAAUCUCCUCCACCACCAAUUUACCACUACAAGUCACCACCACCUCCUCCCCCAGUUUACAAAUACAAGUCUCCACCUCCUCCUCACCACUACUAAGCAAUUGCUUCUGAGGUAAUAACACUUGUUCAAUAACACUUGAUAGCCAGCUGAAUAUUUGCAGGCAAAGGAGAAGGAAACCAGUGUUUGAGACCUUCUUGAAGAUGUAGAAGCAUAAGAAUUAAAGCCCAAUGUGAAGAUGAUGAUUUCAAGUUUUUCUACGUUACCAUUUCAAUAUCUAAAUUGGUUGUAGCGCCUUAGUUCCUUUGUUUAUGGGAUUUGUAUCGUUUUACGUACCAUGCAGUACAUGUCAUGUUUGUAAGGUUUUCUAUCCUGCCGGCAAACCGCAGGUUCCAUGUAAUAAAUCAAUACUAUUUAUAUUACGACACUUUUCUCUGUUUCUCUUAUAUUUUGUCUUUAAUAUUCUUAAUCAUAUUUUUAACAAAAAUAUUCAAACACUUCAGCAAUGGUUCACCUAGUUGAUCAUCGAAGCAGAGGCAAUUCCAAUUAUUUAUCAAUAAAUAGGAUAUAACUACCAAACAAGCGAUGGCAGUUAACCCCUCCUUACUGUGUCGGUGAUCAAGGUACGCCCGUUAAUCACUGCUCUAAUUGAGAAAUAAUCCUAAGUACGCCCGUAGAAUUUAAUUCCCCAAUUGCCUUACAUAUUAGAGGAGCCCUAUUCUAACCAAAUAACGCACUAUCAGGGUUAUUUUAGAUUAGCCCGCGUAUUCCCCUGACAUAAAUCUAAUCAUGCCAGUUGUCAUUAUUUUGAGGUAAUUAAACAAUUACGGAUUUAACACCUCAAUUGACAAUAGAUUAUUAAAUUAAUUAAUUAUUCGGAUCCAAGACAAUCAAUUAAUUAAACAACCAUAAGCACUACAAUCAGAGAAUAUGCAAAUACCAAUAAAUAAAUAAAAAAUAAAAUUAAAUCGAUCUCACAAUUUUUAGGCGAAUCAGAGCAUCCGUUGUCCCUUGACUAGAGCAAGGAAAUUAGUUCAUAUUUGAUGAACUAAACCCAUACAAAAGGGAAGCGAGAAAUGCAGCCAUUAUCCUUUGAAAUCUGGAAAAUUCAACUUGUCCGAAUAUCGAAUAGAUAGUAAUACUACAAAAGGUAAUUCAUAGCUUCCCUUUCGUCUGACACACAAGAAGAAAAAAAAGGGCUGCUAAUAACUAAAGGAGGAAAAGUCAAAGUCCUAAGCUAUGCUACAAGACGAAAAACUAAAGAAGACAAAAAGGCAGUGCUCAUUCCCUGCAAUCUCAAUUCCUAUUCUAUCUAAGUGCUCUCCAAUGUGCGGCGGCUCCCCUUCCGGAGAGGACGAAGUGGCACCCUUUUUUCCUGCGCAAUUUUCCUAUAUAAAGUAGUGCUCCUUGCAGCGGCUCCUGUGCGAAAAAAUGAAGACUUCGGCCCAAUUUGCCUAACAAGGGCUCACGUUUUGUUGUUCUAAAAAUGUCCCUAGGACAAACUCUAUCAUCUGAACUCUUUUCUUGCCAAAUUAGUACCUGUUAUUAUAUUUUCGUUCUACUCCCUGAAAUAAAUGCAAAAUAUCAAAAGUGAGUAGAAUCUAGCAAUUAAUCCACAUUAGGUCAGGUAAUAGGGAAAAUUAAUAAUAAAAUAAAUGAUAAAAUUGCAAUCUAUCACGGGACCACUGUGGUAAGGUGUGUUUCGCCUAUUAUAAGGAGUUCGGAGAGUUAGACGUGUUGGAGGCGGAGGCGCGGUCACUCCUGCACGCCCUCCAGCUGUGUGCAGAUCGCGAGGUACGGGCGUUGACUGUAGAAUCUGAUUCAAAGGUGCUUGUUCAACUAGUUUGCUCGGAUAUGAGGUCGAAGUGGCCGGUGUGUAUCGUAUUGCGGGAAAUAAGACAUUUGAUCCGGCGGAUGGGUGCAUCCCUUCAUCAUAUAUUCCGUGAGGCCAAUUCGGUGGCGGACGCAUUGGCUUCUCUGCAAUUGGGAGGGCAGCAGUACUACACCUCAGGCGUGGCGCUGCCUUUCAGGCCCAGAGGAGAGGCUCUGCUGGAUCGUCAAGGAGUACCUCGCAUCCGUGAGGCGCUCACUAAGGUUUGAUAGGCUAUGUCCUCCUUUCAAAAAACUUAUUUCAUCUACUCCUUGUAAUCAUUUUUCUUAUCAAUAAAUUGAGGCUUUUUAUUUAAAAAAAAACAUAUAAUUUAAGGCAAAAAUAUGAUCCUAGCGAGUAUCGCACUGAGACAUUAGGAAACAUCAUUAAAAGAGUAUUUCUUGAGUUAGUGCAACUAUUUCUUAGGGGAAUUUAUAGUUACAAAAUUCAAAAAUUUGAGAUUCUAUUACUGAUUAAUUAAGGGCGUUAUCACUAUUUUUCUUAUUAUCACCAUUAUUUACCCCACAUACUAUAAGUUUUUUUAGGGCACAGGAAAAGAGGUGGGCCGAUGUUUAGUUAUGUACAAAAGUUCAAAAUUUGUAGAUAACUUAUCAUGUGCCCUUAGAGCGUAGAAUACAGAAAAAAUAUCUUAAACUAUAACUAAUCCUAAUAUUUUUCUCUAUGAUAAACUAGCUCUUAUCCAUUUCUUUAGAUGAUGAAAGGAAAUAGUUAGUCACCUGUCCUCUAGUGAUUACAACAGCAUCAAAACAAAUUAGCACUCUUUUCCCGUAGUUUAAAAAUCCCUCAGCCACUAAGAUUUUGCAUGUCGAACGAAUUAAGGAACAUAGAAGGUUCGUGCUGCACCACAGUGUCCUUGUUGACGAUGCAAAGACAGAAAUGCAUCCGCGUAUACUUCCUUAAGCAUUUUGAUUACUUUAUGAUUCGAACUUUUCUUGUCUGACAGCUGGACUUAAUUGAAAAACACAAGUAACAAUAUUUCAAAGUUGAUUCGUCAAAGUUUACCCAAUUGGUGAAACUUUCUUCAUAGAGCUGACUUUGUAUUAGGUGACAAUGAUAUGGAAUUGAUGUCCUUCCCUUUUUCCUUUUUUUGUGUUGAAGACGCACAACGUUUUCAAUGGCAAAUUUAUAUGGGCUUUUCACGACAAAAUGUGUUCUGAAAAGUUCAUUCCAGAGGUUAAAAUUUUGUGUGUUAAAAAUUUGCUUCUCAGGACUUUGAUGGGAAAGUCUUGGUGUUUCCAAAAAGUUUAAGCAGGAUGCUUCUGGCUUUCUCUCCAUGUAUUUGUGAGUUAGAUCUAAAAUUAUCAGGGCUCCAGAGAUCUCUUGAAAUCGCAGCAUAUAUUGAAGUCUUUCCAGAAGGAGUCUUUUUUUUUUUUUUUAUGAAUUAUGAUAGAUAAUUAAUCUGACGGUGCAUAUAUAUAUAUAUGUGAUUUGCAGUAGGGUGUUUGACGAAAUGGUUAGGCUUCCUAAGUAAUGAUAGGAAUGCCAUUUGCAAAGAAGGACAGGGGGCUGGUGCUGUCAUAUUUUAUGCGAUUUGAUCCGUUGUUGUAUAAGUUUAAACUUUUGACGUGCAAUUGUGCUAUAAUAUUAUACUAAAUAUAUGUGUGAAAUAUUUUGUCUAUAUACAUCACUUUUAUCAUGAAUACAACAGCUGAGUAUAAUAAUAUAGUAUAAUGUAAUUGUACACCAAAUAAUGUAGCAAAUAUAACAAUUGAUCCGAAUUACACGGAACCAUAACAACAAGAUCACCGCCUCCCAAAUUUUACAAAAUUAGGUUUUUUUUUUUUCUCUUAGAUUAUUGAAAAUUUUCAAAAAUAAUCUACAUAAUUUAAGCUUUUGUCCUACAAAAAUUUGAAGAGAUUUUACAUUACAAGCUUAAGCUUAGAUAUAUUAAACUUUGCCCCCAAGAUUAAUUUUCCGUUUUUAUCUAUGAACCGAUCCAUAUAGCUAGUUAGACUGUAGUCCUCACAUUUGUGGGAUUUAACACCCAAGAUUCUCCUUCUUGGAAUGUAAAAUGUAGAUCUUCUAUGUUAAUAAUUCAAGACCCUACUGUCAUAAACGAAAUGACUGAUCAACUCCUGUAAACCUAAUUUGACAACAUUUAAAUGGAGAACUUUAGCUAAAAGAAUUAUGGUCAAGCUAAAGAAAAAGCCAGUUAUUUUCCAACAUAUGCAAUCAUUGAUCAGGAAAAAAAAAAAAAAGCAAAAAGACAUCUUCAAUCAUUUAAUAGCUCACAGUGCAAAUUAACCCCUAAGCGAAAACUGGUUGCUCUAGAAUCAAAAUUUUACCUUAGUUACCCAGGCAACUUUUUUGUUGCUUUUUUUUUUUUCUUUUCCUUUUUGGGUAUAUAUAUAGCUCCAGUUUUGCCCCCUCUGUCAAGCUUAUAUAAUUAUUAAGAUAAUAAAAGUGCCUUGAAUAGUAUUAAUAUAUCCAUUGACUUGAGCUGUCAUCGAUCGGUUUGGGCUACUUCGAUUCCAUGAGAACAAAUGGUAAUAAAAGUACUCAGAAAAUAGGGAGCCAUGAAACCCUUUUGUUCUAUUCAUUGCUAAGAUGCUUUUCUCUAUAAAGAGACUUCCUAACGAAAGUACUUUGUAGAUUUCUUUACUCCAAGUGGUGCAUGGAAAAUUAAAAUAUUCAAUUAUCAAAUAAAAUUCCCUUUUUUCGGUGUAGAUUUCAUCCAUCCAGCUGUUAACACAUUUUAUGUAUCCGAAUUAUAUAUUCUCUACCAAAUAUUGUAACUUUUCUGAGCAUCUUUACAUUUUUAUUCCCACCUAACAAAUUAGUUGUUGAGCAUCUUUACAUGCUAUCGGAUCACAAGUUAAUAAUCUUUUAAAGAACAUGUUAAAUUAAUUUAUUGGUAUGAAUAGUCAAAGAAGUAUAUUAAAGUUAGUAAUCUUUAAACACCACGAUGCAAUUAAUACUUUCAAGCUCAAGGUCUUUUUUUUUUUUUUUUUUGGUACUGUACUUCCUUGCUUUAUAGUAUGCACGUUUAUUUCUGUGGAUUGCUUAAGCUUAUAUUGUUAAUAAUUGGGCAUUUAACCAUAAAUUAUAAUGAUUAUGAAGUCAUAUAUAUAUAUAUAUAUAUAAGAAAAUUACCACAAUUAUUCAAUUUUUUUUGCAAAUUCAAAUUUUAUUAAUAAGAAAUAGGCAGUAAGCUUUUACAAACGGAAAAAAAAAAUCCUACAACAACUCUAGGACCUUUGAAAGAAAGAAAAAAAAAAGAAAAGAAAAGCUUAAGGACUCUACCUCAUAGAAGCUAAACAAUCCUACAAAUAAACUGCAAAAUAAAUCACAAUAACGCAAAAUUUUUGUCUUUCUUCCGUAUGAAAUGAAACUACGAAGUCAAGAAUUGACUCCUUUAACCGCUAUUGCCAGCGGGCUCCGUCAGCAAGAUACAACUUUGCAAUUUGAUUCAAUAGAAAUCCUCAAAUAGCUAUUUUGACAGGCAAAUUAAGCAUUAAUUUUGGUAUCCCUUCAUAAAAUACAAGAGUACUUUUGAUUAUAUCUAUAGAUCAACUUUCUAGGCUAUUUUGAUGUAUUAUAAGAAAAUCUGCCUCAACAAUUUUGAUAGCAUUUUUCCAAAAGCAGAAGAUGGAAAAUUGCCCAUUUGUACUGGGGAGUUCGUGAUCUUUUCCUCCUUCUAGUCUACUUACAAUUCUUGGAAAAAGGAAUACUCACAUCUCAAACAACUGCCUGUUCAUCUGCAAUGUCCUGCCGAAUUCUAGAAAGUUAGGUGGCAAUGCUAAUUACAUUUCAAAAUUGACUGCUGCGAUGACUAAUUCGAUGGCUUACUACAUGGUCAACGUUUGGAUCCCUUCCUGUCCUUUUUGGAUGCACAUUUUUUUUCUCUAGGCAAUAUAUAAUCUCCCAACUCAUUUCUUUACAAAUGCACCUUUAAUCACCACCAAAAGGUGUGGACAUGAUCUUUACCCUAGAAAACUAAUCACCGACAGGCAAAUUGACGUCAGAAAUACUAAGAGGAAUUCUAGUUUCCUUCGGGUUAAUGCCAUUUUGUACCCUUCAACUGUAACUCGAUUUCUAAACUAUAAUUUGUGACAUUAUAGUCCUUAAACUAUGAAACCCCUCUUACUUAAGUACAAUGGUUAAUACAAUACCCGUGACUAGACAAGCAACCAUAACAAAAAAAAAUCCAAAAUUAGAGAAAAGAAAGAAGUUUCGCGACCAAAGUAUGUAUCAAGGCAUAGUAUAGAAAUAAAAGUGUCCAAAUUAAGAGUUUAGGGAUAAAAGAGAUCAAGAUAUAGUUUAGGGAUUGAUUUGUCUCAAUUAGAGUUUUGAUGUCAACUAAGAAGAGAGAUAUAGUUGAAGGGUAGAAUAUAGAUAUAACAGUUCAAUGAUUGAUAUCAACGAGACAAUGACAACUUUGGAUUAUUACCAACCUCUUCUUGAUGGGAAAAGGAAAUAGAGAAGAAAGUCGGGCCUGGUCUAAGCCUGCUUCGGAGGCAAAACAACAUUAUGAAAUCACCGGCAUUCACACAAAUAUGUCAAAGUCACCGGCAUGCUAAGUUGCAUAAUUUAUACAAACACUGAAUAAUAUAUUGUUCUUAAAAUUUUUGUUUAAGAUUUAACAAUUAGAGCACGGUACACGAAUUAGCAAUAUUAAAUAAUGAAUGUUCACGAUUGAUAAAGUUAUCAAAGUACAGUUUGAGGACAACCCAUUCCAACGUGUACAAGAUGUUUAGCCUUUGAAAAGUUAAUUAGAGAAGGUGACGAGAUUUUACUAGGCUUAAAUCUUCUAGGCCUCGGAAGUAAAAAAUGAAGGCCUUUGAGUGCUAUAAAAAGGGGGCUAGAUGUUGCCUAGAAGCAUAUCAGCCUCAGACCACAUUUUGUAGCAAUGGGGAGCAAAGCAAAAGCAAUGGGGUCUAGGCUGACUCCUCUUCUUACCACCGUUUUAGUGGUAUUUGUUGCUCUUGGCUUGCCUUCAGAAACUGUGGCUGAUUACUACAAGUAUUCAUCUCCUCCUCCUCCUUACCAUUAUUCCUCACCACCACCUCCUGUGCAUUCACCUCCACCACCGCCAAUUUAUAAGUCACCCCCACCACCUUACCACUACUCCUCACCGCCACCUCCAGUGUAUUCAUCUCCACCACCACCUUCGCCAGUUUACAAGUCUCCGCCACCACCUUACCAUUAUUCGUCACCACCGCCUCCGGUGCAUUCACCUCCACCACCACCUGUUUACAAGUCACCUCCACCACCUUCGCCAGUUUACAAGUCUCCGCCACCACCUUACUAUUAUUCGUCACCACCGCCUCCGGUGCAUUCACCUCCACCACCACCGAUUUACGAGUCACCUCCACCACCUCCUCCAGUUUACAAGUCUCCGCCACCACCUUACCAUUAUUCCUCACCACCACCUCCAACGCAUUCACUCCCACCACCAGUUUACAAAUCACCGCCACCACCUCCUCCUAUGUAUAAGUCCCCUCCACCACCUUAUCAUUAUUCCUCACCACCACCUCCAGUGCAUUCACCCCCACUGCCACCAAUUUACAAGUCUCCGCCACCUCCAAUCUACAAGUAUAAGUCACCACCACCUCCUCCCCCAAUUUACAAGUCACCACCACCACCUCCUCCAGUAUAUAAGUCCCUACCCCCACCAGUGUAUAAGUACAAGUCUCCACCACCACCUCCUCCAGUAUACAAAUCACCUCCACCACCUCCUCCAGUUUACAAAUCUCUACCACCACCAAUUUAUAAAUACAAGUCUCCUCCACCACCUCCUCCGGUUUACAAUUCCCCACCACCACCAAUCUACAAGUCUCCACCUCCACCCUCCCAUUACUACUACAAUUCUCCUCCUCCUCCUCCUCAUCACUACUAAGCAAUUGUAUCCAAGUUUUUGAGGUAAUAAUGCUAAACCAAUAUAUUAACUUUCGCAUGAUAAACUUUAUCUCUAUCAAGACAAACUGCCAUGUGCAUCAAGCCAAAUACGUACACUUCGAUCCAUGAAAAUGACAAGUAGAAGGUUUUCUUAAGAACCAAGGAACAGCAUUAGUAUUCCCUCUGUUUCCAAAACUUGUGUAUUAAAUAGAUUAAUGAAUUGUUUAACAUGCUUAUCUACUUGAAAAUGCACAAUACCCAUAACCCACUGAAAUUUUUGCAGGUAAAGGGGAAGAGAAUCUGUGUUUGAGAGCUUCAUGAAGAUGUUGAAGAAUAAGAAUAAAAGCCCAAUGCGAGGAUGUUUUCAAGUUUUUCUAUGUUUCCACUUUAAUUUGUAAAUUGAAUUUUUCGACUUAAUUAAUUCCCUGUUUGUGGGGUACGUAUUGUUUUACGUACCAUGCCGUACAUGUUUGUAAGGAUUUCUAUCCUAUUGGCAAAAGUCGGUUCCAUACAAUUAAUCAAUUCAUUUCACUUCUAUUGGCUCUACUAUUUAUGCACGUUACGACAUUUUUUCUCUCUUUCCCUUAUAUUUUGUCUUUAAUAUUAUUGAGUCAAUAGUAAUACUGGGCCAUUUUUUUUAAAACUUAUACUAGUAUACAUAGGUAGUUUGGUCUAACGCCAAAUUCAUGUUUGUCUUUCUUUUAUUCCCUUUACAUUUCAAAGUAUACUAUAGUUUGUGAUCAUUGUGGUGAUGAUAUUACCAGCUGGUACUUAUAGUUUAAGGCAGAGACAUGAUAUUAACAACUAUCUCAUUGAAACAUAAGGAAAAAUCAUGACAAGUGUGAGUCUUGGUUAAUGCACAAUUUGUUAGUGGAAUUUAUAUUUAUAAAACUCAAAAAAAAAAUUUUGACAAUGCUAUUACUAAUUAAUUAAGGACUUUAUUGCUAUAAUUUAUCGCUUGCUAGUUUAAACUAUAAAUGAUCUCAAUACUUUUCUCCAUGAUGUCGAUUUCUUUAGAUACGAAAGGGAAAAAUUAGUGACAUAUCCCUUACUGAUUACAACAUCAGCAAAAAUUAGUUAUAAACUUUUCCGGUGGUUUUAAAUCCCCGGGCCCUAAGAUUUUUUGCUCAUCGAGUGAAUUAAGGAACAUAGGCAAUUCAUUUUGCAUACCAAGUCCUUGUUUAAGAUGCAAGUACUAAAAUGCAUCCACUUCAUUAAUUUGGGAAAUUGCCAUAGUUUUUUUAAGCAUUUUGAUUUUUUACAUGAUUUAAAAUUUUCUUAUUGGAUACAAUCACUUUGUAUCAAGAACACAUUUUCAAUCACCUUUUUUUAUCUUCUCAAUGAGAAAAUAAAAAUUUAUUCAUGCUUUUCUAACAUAUUCAAUCAUUGAUCUGAAAAUUAAAACAUUAAGAAAAGGACAUUUUCAAACAUUAAGAAGUAGUAUUUUAAAGACCAUGAUGAAAUUAAUACUUUCAAGGUCUCUAUUAGGAAGACUUCCUUUAUUAAUACUCUACUAGGCAGAGUUAUAUGCACGUUUACUGUUUUGGCCUUAAGUUGGGUGCAGAUGCUUAUAUUACAAAUAGAUGGUAUCAAAAAAUUGUUGUAUUCACGUCUGUUCUUUUUUUCUUCCUUAAGUUUUUUUCUUUAUUCUCGUGACUUCGCUAGUGAGGUAUAACUUCACAACUAGAGUCAAUAGAAAUCGUCAAAUGAUUUUUUGACAUCCAAAUUAAGCAAUAAAUUUUGUUUUCAUUUCAUAACAUAUAAUAGUACUACUUCAUGGGAGAUUUUAUAGUUUCUUUAGGGUAUCAUACCUACAAUUGAUAUUUAUCAUUGGAUAGUGAAAGAAGUGUUAAUGUCUCUAAGAUUAAAUAUUGUUAAAUAUUGAAAAUUUGAACUAUUUAUCUCUAUUGAGAGAUACAACUUAAAGAAUCCUACCCAAAAGAGACUAGAAUUUUCUCUGUUUUUCAUCAUCUGUAGACAUAAACUUUCCACGGUUGAUAGCAUUUUUCAUCAUCUAUAAGGAAAUUUUGCCUAUACAAUGUGAUAGCAUUUUUCAAAAAGACAAGAUGGAAAAUUGCCCCCCUUGAACGGAAAAUUGCCCCCUUGUCAAUUCUUUAAAAAAGAAUACCGUCCCGCAGAAUUCUAGAAAGUUAGGCAAAACUAGACAAGUUGACAGGUAUAAUCAGACCCAAGAUCAGGAACAAGCAGUUGCACAUUUCAAAAUUCGCUGCUGCAACAACUAAUUUGAUGACUUACAACACUAAAUGGUCAAACUUUGAAUGGCAAUGAAUCUUUUGUUGUACAUCAUGAUGUAAUUUUCAUGUUACAUAAUAGAUUGAUAUCUAUGUUCUUUAAAUUAUCAUAAUAAUUAAAUUUAACUGAAAAAAAGAACACAUAUCAAUACACAAAAGUGUGCAACGUGAAUGUUAUUUUAGUGUAUUGCAGAAGACCUAUAGUCUCUUCAUAUCUCUUCCUGCACGUAUCAAUUCGUUUCCUCUAGAUAAUAAUCUCCCAACUCAUUUAUUUACAAAUGCACCUUUUAUGUUUUAUUACCUCCAAAAGCCUAAAAAUCAAUUCACCGACUCGCAUUUGGUAUCAGAAAUUCUUAUUACGAAUUCUACUUUACUCAAAGAUUGACUGUUAAUAAUGAGACAACGACCAUUUUGUAUUAUUACACCGUCCUUCUUGAUAGGCAAAAGAAAUAGAGAGGAAAGCGGGUCCGUAUAUGGUCUUUUAUUCAUAGAUAAUACAACAUUACGCCAUCGAGCAUUCACACAAUAUUUCAAAGUCAUUGCAUGCCUAAGGCCUGCUUGAUAAUCUAAUUCCGUACUUAAAUUUAAUAAAUUCAAAUCUUAACACAUUCAAAUCGUUUGAUAACAAAAAAUUGAACAUCUAAAUUAAUUAAGUAACACUGAAUUUUCUAGGCAAAACUUGCUCCCAAAAUUAAGUGAUAAGUUAUUCACUUAUCACUGAAUAUGAUAUGUAUUCAAAUGUAUUAGAUUUAAUACUUAAUAAUUUAAUGAAUUCAAAUUUCAUAUUUCAUAUUUCAGUUUUAUCAAACACACCUUAAGUUGCAAAAUAAUACCAAAACUUGUUAUUACAUAGCUUGAGAUUCAAAAAUUUAGAGCAUAAUUCUCAACCAAACACAAUUGAAUAAUGAAUAUUCACGAGUGUCAAAUCUAUCAAAGUACAAUUUGAGGACAACCCAUUCAAACGCGUACACGAUUUUUAACUUUUCUAAAGUUGUUGAGAGCUGUUGAAAGAGAUUUACCAUGUUUACAUCUUCCAAGUCUUGGGAGUAAAAAAUGAAGCCACUGAGUGCUAUAAAAAGGGGGGUAGAGGCCACUUGAGAUCCUCGGUGACAUGUUUUCUAUGCCAAUCCAAUGCCACCAAUAGUGUUGCGCCAAGUGUCAUGUUAUUAUUUACACUUGUGUUAAACUAAGCCAAGUUGAAUUAUUAGAAAAUUAAAGUGUAAAUAAUAACAUGACACUUGGCGCAAUACUAUUGGUGACAUUGGGUUGGCAUAGAAAAUAUGUCACCGAGGAUCCCAAGUGGAUAGAUGCUGCCUAGAAGCAUAUCAGCCUAAAACAAGAAUUUGUAGUAACAAUGGGGAGCAAAGCAAAAGCAACGGGGUCUAGGCUGACUCCUCUUCUUACCACUGUUUUAGUGGUAUUUGUUGCCCUUGGCUUGCCCUUGGAAACUGCAGCUGAUUAUUACAAGUAUUCAUCUCCUCCUCCUCCUCCUUACCAGUAUUCCUCACCACCACCUCCAGUGUAUUCACCUCCACCAACCCCUGUUUAUAAGUUACCCCCACCAUCUCCUCUAGUUUACAAGUCCUCACCACCACCUUACCACUACUCACCACCUCCUGUGUAUUCACCUCCACCAUCACCAAUUUACAAGUCACUGCCACCACCCCCUCCAGUAUACAACUCCCCGCCUCCACCAGUGUACAAAUACAAGUCCCCACCACCACCUUCUCCAAUUUACAAAUCUCCACCGCCACCAGUUUACAAGUACAAGUCACCCCCACCACCUCCUCCGGUAUACAAGUCUCCUCCGCCACCUGUUUACGAGUACAAGUCUCCUCCACCACCUCCUCCAGUGUACAAGUCCCCACCACCUCCAGUUUACAAGUACAAGUCACCACCACCUCCUCCCCCGGUUUACCAAUCUCCUCCACCACCAGUUUACAAAUACAAGUCACCACCACCUCCUCCCCCAGUUUACCAGUCUCCACCUCCACCCUAUCAUCACUACUACGGUUCUCCUCCUCCUCACCACUACUAAGCAAGUGCAUCUAAGUUUUGAGGUAAUAAUACCGAUCCAAAACUUUAUCAACGCAAACUGCCAUGUAUAUCAUGCUAAGGACGUACACUUGAUCCAUGAAAAUGGCUAGUAGAAGAUUUUUUUUAAGAACCAGAGAAAUACAUUAUUUUUUCGCUCUGUUUUCAAGAAUUUGAGCAGUAUACAGAUUAAAGAGUGUUUUUUUUAAACUUGCUUAUCAACUUAGAAAUGCACAUAGCUGAAAGCCAACUGAAUAUUUGCAGGCAAAGGAGAAGGCAAUCGGUGUUUGAGACCUUCAUGAAGAUGUAGAAGAAUAAGAAUAAAAGCCCAAUGCGAGGAUGAUUUCAAGUUUCUACGUUACCAUUUCUACAUCUAAAUUGACUUUAGCUCCUGAGUUCCAUGUCUAUGGGGUUUGUACUGUUUUACGUACCAUGCAGUACAUGCUUGUAAGGUUUUCUGUCCUGUUGGCAAGCCGCAGGUCCAUAUAAUAAAUGAAUACUAUUUAUAUUACGACACUUUUCUCUCUUUCUCUUAUAUUUUGUCUUUAAUAUUGUUGAUCAUUUUUUUUUUUUAUCAAAAGUAUCAAAUGCUUAGGCAAUUUGGUCUAAUGCUAAUUGUUUUACAUUUAUUUUUCACCUACAUCCCUUUUCAACUCAAAGGAUGCUACAGUUUGUGAUCAUUGUUUAAGACCGAAGCAUGGUACUAAUAAAUAUCUCAUUGAAAGUCAAGGAAACUAACAUUAUGAAAAGUGUAAAUCUUGAUUUGUGAAACUAUUUAUUCGUGGAAUUUAGAGAUACAAAACUCAAAUUGUGACGGUGUUGUUGCUAAAUUAUUUUUUUUUUAUAAUAAAACACAGUUCAUUCAAGGAUUACUGGAAAUCGUCCAGCACAAUUGAGAUACAUUGUUGCCCAGGUGGCAGAUAAAUAUGCACUAAAAUUAUAGAUAUGCAAUUUAACAAAUACAUAAGAUUUGAGAAAUUAAGGACAAAUCUAAAAAGGACCAUAAAUUUGAAAAACAUUUCAUCCUAGAAUAAGUCGCUGCAACUCUCUUUGUGCAUGCUGUAAUCGUCAGAUCUACUAAUCAACAGUUGUAAGGUCCAGUAAAGAUGGUGAGAUCUGCCGAGAUUGAUCCAAAUCUGAAAUAUUCCCUCAGAUCUGCUAUCCAAUUGGUUCAAACUCAAUACUGAAAGUGAAAUCUGAUGAGAAGACUGAAAAAAUUGUAGAUCUAACAUAUAGAUCUAAAAAAACUCCAAGAUUUGAAAAAGUAAAGAAACAAAACUAAAUAAAACUCUCAUUAAGAUAGUUUAGGAGAGACUAAAACUCUCAAUAGGACACCCUAGGAGAGAAGAAAACUCUCACUAGGAUAACCUAUGAGAGACUUUAUUGAAUGAAAGGAAAAGCAAAGGACAAAGGAAGAAGAAGGGAGACCUUGGCUUAAGGCCAAGGUCUCCCUCCUAUGGAGGAGGAAGGGUAGAGGAGGAAGCCUAGAGAGAAGGAAGAGAAUCCCUCCGCUAGAGGGAAGGAAGAGCCUCUGAGAGGGUACCCGUGUUGUUGCUAAAUUAUUAAGGACAUUAUCACCAUUACUUUUCCCUUACUAGUUUCAACUGCAAUGAUCUCAAUCUUUUUGUGACUAAUUCUUUUCUUAAUAAUUUAUAAAUACAAAACUCACAAAGAAUAUGUGACUUAUUCUUUCCUUUCGUCUUCUAAAGAAAAUGCCAACUGUUAGUUUAUCAAGGGAAAAAGGAUCGACAUCAGUUGUUAUUGAAACUAGUAAGGAAUAAAUAAUGGUGAUAAUGUCCUUAAUAAUUUAACAACAGCACCAUCAGAAUUUGAGCUUUGUAUCUAUAAAUUCCACGAAUAAAUAGUUUCAUCAAAUCAAGAUUUACACUUUUCAUAAUGUUAAGUUUCCUUGACUUUCAAUGAGAUAUUUAUUAGUAUCAUGCUUCGGUCGUAAACAACGAUCACAAACGAUAGCAUCCUUUGAGUUGAAAAGGGUAGUGAAAAAGAGAAGUAAAAAAUACAAUUAGCAUUCCCUCAAAUUGUAGAAAGUUAGGUAGCAUUAUAGACAAGUUGAUAGCCGUAAUUAUACUAAAAAUCAGGCAAAAGCCAGCAAUUUUACAUUUCAAAAUUCACCUAUUCAAUAACUAAUUCGAUGGCUUGCUACAUGGUCAAAAUUCACCACAUAUCCCUUUCCUCAAUCAGGGGCUUCUACAAUUACCAGUUCCAAUUGUAUGGUAUAGUGUAAAUAUCAACAAAUUAGAUGUAGACACUAAUAUAAUAAAUAUGGAUGCUAAGGCAACAACAUACAAAAACAUAAUAAAUUUUGGCAUUCCUUAAAAAAUUACGUCCCCAAAUCAAUCUCAUACACCCAAUUUCUAAUUUAUUUAACUCAUUCCGUCUAUUAACUGCACCAUACAAUCCAACCUGCAAUUGCAUGAACCCCAAUCUCGCUUCCUAGUCCACCAUUUUUCUCUAGGUAAUAAUCUCCCUUCUAAUUUCUUCACAAAAUGCACCUUUCAUCACCUCCAAUAGCGUCGACAUGAUCUUUACCCUAGAAGACUAUUCACCGACUCCCAAUUGACGUCAGAAAAUCUAAGAGUAAUUCUACUUUACCCUAAGAUUGAUAUCAACUAGACAAUGACAAUUUAGAAUUAUUACACGCCUCUUCUUAAUAGGAAAAAGAAAUAGAGAAGAAAGUCAGGCCAGGUCUAAUUUCUUUUCGAAGGCAAUACAACAUUACGAAAUCAAGCAUUCAUUCAUACAAAUAUUUCAUAGUCACCGGUUUGCUGAGUAGAAAAGUUUAUACAAAAACUUAAUAUUAUAUUGUUUAAGAGUUAACAAUUUAGAGCUUAAUCUCCUUGUACUUUGGACUAAACUCGAACGUGAAAGGAAAUCCCAAAACCAUAUUGGGCAUGAAUUCACACUUAAAUAGACCCAAAAAAAGAUGGCGACUGGUGAAAGGCAGUGGAGACUGGUGGUGAGAUUUGAGGAAUAGAAGCAGACGGAAAAGCCACAAAUUUUUGCCGAAAGAGGGUCACUUUCAUGGUUAAUUUUGCUACUCUCUACUUGUACUUGACCAAUGACAGGUUGUCAGUCUGUGCAAUAAUAAAAACCUGUUCAAACUAAAAGUAAUUUCUGUAGAUAGUGGUAAGCAGGGUCGAAUCCACAGGGAUUAGGUGUAACUGUUUCUUUUCAAAUUCACAAUAACAAAGGGGGUGUUUUUAUGCAGAAUGUGACAAUCAAAGAAAUUCAAUUAAAAGUAAAAUAAUAAAAAUAAAAUAGCCAACUAGAAAUUAAAUAACAAUUUACUAAAAUCAAAUGAGUGAUAAUUAAGGAUCUAGCCAAGGAAUAACUUCAGCAGUGGUUCACCUAAUUGAUCAUUGGAACAAAGGCAAUUCCAAUUAUUUACUAAUAAAUAGGUUAUAACUGCCAAACAAGCGAUGACAGUCAAUCACUCCUUACUGUGUCGGUGAUUAAGGUACGCCCGUUAAUCACUGCCCUAAUUGAGAAAUAAUCUUAGGUACGCCCGUAAGAUUUAAUUUUCCAAUUGCCUUACAUAUUAGAGGAGUGUCAGGAACAAGGAAAUAGAAUGGGACGUCGUUUAAUGCAAAGGGUUGUGCGUUUAAGGCCUUAGAAGCAAUACUACGUCGUUCUAAUAACAUAGGCGGUGCUGGUGUGAUAGGCCAAGUUAGUUGAGGGUCAAUUACAUAAAUAGCCUUCUGUAACAGAUUUUUGGUUAUGUUUUUGAAUGAAAAGUAUCUCGCUGCUUUCUCUCUCUUGUCUGUUAUUUCCCUCCCUUUUCUUCUUUCUCUCUUCCCUCUUCUUAAUCUUGUUUCUUUCUUCUGAUUCUUCCCCCAAAUUCAAUACAAUUCCAGAAAUUAACCUGCAAGUCUGACAUUUGGUAUCAGAGCGGUCGAUUCUUGGCCGCGAAGGUAUCAGAAAUGGCUGAGAGCACGCGAUUCAGGACACUGGAGGAGCAACUCAAGAAGCAGGAGAAUCGGUUGCAAGAACUGGCGGAAUCCAUGGCUGCACUGCAGAGUACGAGUUCCGAGGAGUUGCGGCAUAAGCUACAGGCGGAAAUGGAGCAGAACAAUGCAAAAUUGGACGCGGUGGUGGGAAGUCUGGACCAGAAGUUCAAUAAAAUGGAACAGAGACUCAGUACAGUGUUGAAGCUGCUGAUGAAGGAGAAAGGUCUCCCUGAUGUCGAAGGAGGAAUUUCUGAUCCAAUCUUGCCGACUCCUCCAUCUCAUCUGAGGUUAGCAUCCUCAGUCGAAGGGAUUGGGCACCAACAAGAGUACAGAGGUAGGCAAUUCACUCCUAAUGUACCUCGAUUAGAACUGCCAAUGUUUAACUCUGGAAACCCUAGGGAAUGGACCAGGAAAUGCCAGAAAUAUUUUUUGAACUAUCAGAUAGCAGAGAGUCAAAAGGUAGAGGUAGCAGAGAUGUUUUUGGAAGGUAGAGCUGACAAUUGGUUUCAAGGAGUGAAAUUGGUGAGGCCAGGGUUGUCUUGGGGGGAAUUUAGUGAACUUUUGUGUGAAAGAUUUUCUGGAAGUAGUUCUCGUGACAUUGUGGAGGAAUUUAACAAGUUACAGCAGAAAGGAACUGUUGAGGAAUAUGAGGAGAAAUUUGAAGAACUAAAAGCUCUAAUGCUGAUGAAAACCCCCAGGUUGGAUGAACUUUACUUUGUUUCCAGUUUUAUUAGUGGCCUCAGGGAAGAAAUUAGACCUAUGGUGAAGAUGUUUAAGCCUCAAACACUGAUGAAGGCCUUUGAAGUUGCGGAGUUGCAGGAGUGUUCCCUGGAAAUCCAAUCGAAACAAAACAGAACUUCAAGGAGGACAGCAAUGGAACCCAAGUUUGGAAUGUAUAAGGGCACUACGAGUGAUUAGGGUCGCCAAAAUUCAUAUAAGUUGCCUGGAGUCACUCCUGUCUCCAGGAGGACUAAUGCAGUACACAAGGAAUUUAGUAAGAUAUCAGCGGAGGAAAUGCAGUAUAAGCGUAAGCACAGCCUGUGCUAUAGGUGUGGAGAGAAGUUUGGAAUAGGUCAUCAGUGUAAGAAAGGAAGUCUGAACUGUGUGAGCACUGAGGAAGAGGAGGACACUGAAUUUGAGGAUGCGGAAGGGGAACAGGAUGAGUUAACAGGAAGGGUCGGGGAACUUGCAGAAGUCUCUUUGAAUGCUUUAUCUGGUGCCAUAAGGAGGAAAUCCAUCCUGUUGAUAGGGAACUUAGGGGGGCUUCCAGUCAAAAUUUUGGUGGACACAGGCAGUUCUAACAGCUUCAUUCACCACAGGAUUGUCAACCUACUGCAUCUACCAUAUCAGGCAGUCAGUCCAUUUACUGUGACUCUAGCAGAUGGAACUGACAUUACCAGUGGAGCCAUCAGUCCCAGCGUGUCUUGGUUAAUUCAGGACUAUCAAUUCCAAUUUGACUUAAAAGUAAUGGAAUUAGGGGGAUGGGAUAUAAUUCUGGGGGUGGACUGGAUGUGCCAGUAUAGUCCCAUUACAUUUGAUUUCCACUCUCUUAGCAUUGCCCUUAGUGAUAGGGGUUCUUUACUACACCUCCAAGGACUUGUGAAGCAACCUACUAUGGAACUGGUGAGGGGCAGGGAUCUCAGCUCGUUUAUACAGGAGAAGCAAAGAAACUGUGCAGCCAUGCAUGCUGAUAGGGCCAGGGAAACAGGAGAGCAGCUUCCAAAAGCUAUAGAAAGGAUCCUGGAACAGCACUCUCAGGUUUUCUCCACCCCAACAGGAUUACCCCCAGAGAGGGAAUUGGACCAUCAGAUCAACCUCAAACCAGGAGCUGAACCCUUCAAGCUCAAACCUUACAGGUACCCCCACUCACAUAAAGCAGAAAUUGAAAAAAAAGUUGCUGAGAUGCUCACUAAUGGAAUUGUUAUACAUAGCACAAGCCCCUAUGCCUCCCCUGUAUUGUUAGUAAAGAAAAAGGAUAACUCCUGGAGAUUAUGCAUAGAUUACAGGAAGCUGAACGAGCUGACUAUAAAGGAUAAGUUCCCUAUUCCCAACAUAGAUGAACUAUUGGAUGAAUUACAUGGAACCAGAUACAUGUCCAAACUGGAUCUCAGAGCUGGUUACCAUCAGUUGAGGGUGAAAGCUGUUGAUACCCCUAAGACUGCCUUCCAGACACACCAUGGCCACUUUGAAUUCUUAGUGAUGCCUUUUGGACUCACAAACGCGCCAGCUACAUUUCAGUCCUUGAUGAACAGAAUAUUUCAGCCAUAUCUCAGAAAGUUUGUCCUAGUCUUCUUUGACUACAUAUUAGUGUACAGCCCCACACUAGAGAUGCAUGCACAGCAUCUACAGAUUGUGCUCAAUAUUUUAGAAGAAAAUCAGCUGUAUUACAAGAGGUCAAAGUGCUCUUUUGCCCAGUCCUCAAUUGAAUACUUGGGGCACGUGAUCUCAGAGGCAGGAGUGAGUAUGGAUGUGGCUAAGGUGGAGUGUAUCAAGUCCUGGUCUGUUCCUAGUACAGUCAAGGAGCUGAGAGGGUUUUUGGGAUUAAUUGGUUACUACAGGAGAUUCAUUAAAGGCUAUGGAGUGAUUAGCAAACCCUUGACUGUAUUGUUGAAAAAGGAAGGUUUUGCAUGGAACCAUGAAGCUCAAAUGGCCUUUGAAGAUUUGAAAAAGGUUAUGACCACAGCCCCAGUGCUGAGCAUGCCUAAUUUCGAACUUCCUUUUGUCAUAGAGACUGAUGCCUGUGGAAUAGGUAUUGGAGCAGUGUUGAUGCAGCAAGGACAUCCUAUUGCUUUCCUUAGCAAGGCAUUAUCAGUUCAGAAUUUGGGGUUAUCAGUCUAUGAAAAAGAGCUUUUUGCCUUAGUGCUAGCUGUAACUAAGUGGAGGCAUUACCUGGUGGGUCAUCACUUCAUUAUCAGGACAGAUCACCAAGCUCUCAAACAUUUGAUAGAGCAAAGGCUUACUCAUCCACUCCAGCACAAGUGGCUAACUAAGCUACUUGGUUUGGACUAUGAAAUACAGUAUAAAAAGGGUGCAGACAAUGGGGUGGCAGACGCCCUCUCCAGGAGAAGGAUUGAGGGAAACACUGUUGACUGUGGAGAGACUGGGCAUCAGACCUGCGCCAUAACCUCAGCUCAGCCUAGUUGGAUGCAGGAAAUGCUAGAAAGCUACAUUGGAGAUGCAGAGGCUCAACAGAAGUUAUCUGAGCUAUUGCUGGAUCCCAAUGCAGAUCCAGAUUAUCAGUUAAAGAAUGGGAUGCUCAAGUUUAAAGGGCGGCUGUACAUAGGAUCUGCUAACAACAUUAGGACCAAGGUGGUCAGAGCAUUGCAUGACUCAGCCCUUGGGGGGCACUCAGGUCCUGGAAUCCGUAAGGAUGUCCUUCAAUAUGUGAGAUCUUGUGAUGUGUGUCAAAGGAACAAACAUGAAAAUGUUCCUUAUCCUGGGUUGCUGCAACCAAUUCCUGUACCUCAGCAGGCUUGGUCACACCUCACCAUGGAUUUUAUUGAGCAACUACCCCCAUCCCAUGGAUUUGAUACCAUUUUGGUGGUGGUGGAUAGGUUAACCAAGUUCAGCCACUUCAUUCGACUCACUCACCCUUUUUCUGCACAGCAGGUAGCACAGCUUUUCCUUGACAACAUAUACAAGCUGCAUGGACUUCCUGAGACCAUUAUAACUGACAGGGACAUAAUCUUUCUUAGUAAGUUUUGGCAAGAGUUAUUUGGUAUGGUAGGGGUAAAGCUGCACUACAGUUCAUCGUAUCACCCUCAAUCAGAUGGUCAAAGUGAAAGGGUCAAUCAGUGUUUGGAAAACUAUCUCAGGUGUAUGUGCAGUGAGCAUCCUUCUCACUGGAGCAGUUGGCUUCCUACAGCUGAGUUAUGGUACAACACUAACUUCCAUACUAGCUUGCAGGUGACACCAUUCGAAGCACUAUACGGGUAUAAACCAAAUCACCUUCCCUUAGGACCUUUUCAUGAUAGCCUGGUACCUGCUGCUGGUAACAUGGUGCAGACUAGGCUCCAAAUUCUAUCCCUCAUCAAAGAGAAUCUAGCCACCGCCCAGAAUCGAAUGAAAAUGUUUACUGAUAAGCACAGGACUGAACGUGUCUUCCAAGUGGGGGAUUGGGUAUUUCUCAAGCUGCAACCUUACAGGCAACAAUCAGUGGCCUUACGGAAGAAUUUGAAGUUGGCUGCCAAAUACUUUGGACCUUUCCAGAUCCUUGCGAGAGUAGGGGAAGUCGCCUACAGACUUAAGUUGCCAGAGGGAGCUCGAGUUCAUUCCGUGUUCCAUGUGUCCUUACUUAAAAGGAAAGUGGGAGUUACACAGCAGGUAAAGCCCAGCUUGCCAGAAGUAGACGCAUCAGACCAAUGUUUGCUGAAGCCAGAGAAGAUUCUCCAGAGGCGUGUUAUCAUACGAGCUGCCAAACCAAUCAUCCAGUACCUGGUGAAGUGGAACAACUUACCAGAAUCCGAAGCAUCAUGGGAGGAUAAAAGCUUCAUUGACAGACAAUUUCCGGAAUUUCAAGCUUGAGGACAAGCUUUGCUUAAGGGGAAGAGAUUGUCAGGAACAAGGAAAUAGAAUGGGACGUCGUUUAAUGCAAAGGGUUGUGCGUUUAAGGCCUUAGAAGCAAUACUACGUCAUUCUAAUAACAUAGGCGGUGCUGGUGUGAUAGGCCAAGUUAGUUGAGGGUCAAUUACAUAAAUAGCCUUCUGUAACAGAUUUUUGGUUAUGUUUUUGAAUGAAAAGUAUCUCGCUGCUUUCUCUCUCUUGUCUGUUAUUUCCCUCCCUUUUCUUCUUUCUCUCUUCCCUCUUCUUAAUCUUGUUUCUUUCUUCUGAUUCUUCCCCCAAAUUCAAUACAAUUCCAGAAAUUAACCUGCAGAUCUGACAAGGAGCCCUAUUCUAACCAAAUAACACACUACCAGGGUUAUUUUAGGUUAGCCCGCGUAUUCCCCUGACAUGAAUCCAAUCAUGCCAGUUAUCACUAUUUUGAAACAAUUAAACAAUUACGGAUUUAACGUCCCAAUUGACAAUAGAUUAUCAAAUUAACUAAUUAUCCGGAUCCAAAACAAUCAAUUAAUUAAAUAAUCAUAAGCACUGUAAUCAGGGAAUAUUUGAAUACCAAUAAAUAAAAAGAAAGGACAAAAUUAAAUCGAUUUCACAAUUUUUAAACGAACCACAACCUCAGUUGUUCCUCGGCUAGAUUGAGAAAAUUAGCUCAUGUUCGAUGCGAAAAAUCCACAAGAAAUUGUUAAGAGAGCCGCGGCCAUUGUCCCUUGAAAUUGGGGAAAUUCAAUUCGGUUGAACUACGAAAGAAAAGUAAGCUACAGAGAGUUGCCGAUUGGGUUUUGCUUGUCCCUAACAUGCGAGGGAGCAAAGCCACGAAAGGACGACAAAGGUCAAAAAGAAAGGCUACAGAGCAUGUUCCAGGUCUUUUUGUGCUCUCCACAUCCGAGCCAACGAAAAGAAAUAAAAAACUACCAGGAGCUAAAGGAAAACCGCAAGAAAAGUCAAAGGCUAAAAAAACUUCCUAGUGCUUGUUCUCUGCUUAUCUCUUUAUCUAAUUCUAAGUCCCCGAUUUUUUGCUCCGUGCGGCGGCUCCCCCGGAGAGAAAGGAUUGCAUCCGCUGCCCUCUUCCACCAAUUACCAAAAUGGGCACACCGCUUCUUUUUCAAAAAUGCUCCUGGAUAAACUCUAUCAUCUGGACUUUUUUUCUGUCAAAUUGACAUUUAUUAUUAUAUUUUCGUUCUACUCCCUGAAAUAAAUGUAAAAUAUUAAAAAUGAGUAGAAUCCGACAAUUAAUUCACAUCAGGUCAGAUAAUAAAGAAAAUUAAUAAUAAAAUAAAUAAAUAAAUUGCAACCUAUCAACCAAAUACAACAAUUUCAUGGAGUUUGAUACACAAGCCCAAAUACACGAGAGUGUGUAACCUGAAUUGUUACUUAUACAUUAGUGUGUAAUAGAACGGCAAGCAUUAUGGUGGUCAUUGAGCAACUUGUAGGAGAAAUAGUCCUAUAAGCUGUUCAAUGACCAAUCACAACUUGCUAAUUGGAUGACUAAUAUAGCUCUAGCUGUAAUGUUUUAAUUAAAUUCCAUCACUAACGUUGGGAUGACUUUUUAAUCAAAAAAAAAAAAGCCUUAGUUCAAGCUUUUCCCCUUAUUGUGCAUUUUUUAAAACAUUUGAUAGGCACUGCAAAUCUGUCAUUUUGGACAUUUUAUUAUUAACUAACAAUGAAAGCCGUGGACAUCAACCCAUAUCCAACAAAAUAUUAAAUUAAUAUUAGAAAAAAUUAUUAAGUAAUUGGAAAAAAAAAGAAGAGGCUAAUUUUCAUUGAAACCCACCGACAAACUAUACGCUGCUUUCAAUCAGUUUUAACACGGGAAAAAGAAAAGGCAUGAAAAGCAAAAUUUGUGGGGAUAAUUUCGGAAACCUCCCAUGAAGUUUUUGACUAUUUUACUGGCCUCCCUUCAGAUUUUAAAAAUUGGACUAAUCUUCCUUAAAGUUAAUUAUCUUGUAACAUUUAGAUCCGAUCAAUAAUUUAAAAAAUAAUAUUAUGAGAGAGAAAAUAAUAUGAUUUUAUUAUUGCCCCCAUCUCACCACAUUAUUUAAUUAAUUUAAUAGCAACCCACACAUUAAAGAAAAUGACAGGUCGUCAACCUGUGCAAUAAUAAAAUUAAACCUAAUUGCCAGUUAAAAUGACCAAAACCCAAUUCCAAGUACUGGAGCAGGGACUCUAGGUGUGCAAUGGGUUACUUGAUUCACCCUGUUCCCGAAGAGUUUGCUUGAUCCGAUAUACCCGAAUGGAAUGGUUAUUCCUUUUCACAAAUGAUUAGGAAUUUGUAGACAGGGCAAGUAGGGUCGUAUCCACAGAGACUGGGUAUAUUUGUUUCUUAAGAAAUCCAAAGUAACACAGGGGGUGAUUUUGUAGGAACGACGAUAAUUAAAUAAAUUCAAAUGAGAAAGUAAAAAUAAAUAAUUAACUAGAAAUUAAACCACAAUUUACUGAACUCAGGAUAACAAUAGUUAAAGGCCUCAAUUAAUUAAAAUAAGGAAACAAUCAAAAAUAAAAUAAAGUAGGUAAUUAAAAGUCAAAUGGCAAUCCACUACAAUCAAGGAAAUAUUAACUAAAGAUCUAGCCAAGAAAUAACUUCAGCAAUGGUUCACCUAAUCGAUCAUUGAUGCAAAGCAAUCCCAAUUAUUUACUAAUAAAUAGGUUAUAACUACCAAACAAGCGAUGGCAGUCAACCCCUCCUUACUGUGUCGGUGAUCAAGGUACGCCCGUUAAUCACUGCUCUAAUUGAGAAAUAAUCCUAGGUACGCCCGUAGAAUUUAAUUCCCCAACUGCCUUACGUAUUAGAGGAGCCCUAUUCUACCCAAAUAACACACUACCAGGGUUAUUUUAGAUUAGCCCGCGUAUCCCCCUGACACGAAUCUAAUCGUGCCAGUUGUCACUAAUUUGAGGUAAUUAAACAAUUACGGAUUCAAUACCCCAAUUGACAAUAGAUUAUCAAACCAAUGAAUUAUCCGGAUCCAAGACAAUCAACUAAUUAAAUAAUCAUAAGCACUGCAACCAAGGAAUAUGCGAAUACCAAUAAAUAAAGGAAAAGAUAAAAUUAAAUCGAUCUCACAAUUUACAGGUGACCCAAAGCAUCAGUCGUUUCUUGACUAGAACGAGGGGGUUAGCUCAUAUUGGAUGAACUAAGCCCGCGGGAAAUUCCAGCAAAAGUCACGGCCGUUGUAUGCAUUUCAAGAGCCGCAAUUCGUCAAACACUUGGAAAGCGAAUGUAAGGCACGGGUAACAAUUGAAACUUUCUAAUUGUUCCUAGCAUUCGUAAAGCAAAUUCACUCCAGAAGUACAGUGAGGAAAAGUCAAAGAAAGUGGGCUUCAAUUCCUUGCUCCUGACAUGCGUGGAGACAAGCCAAUGCAAGACUACAAUAAACUAACAAGGAAAAGUCAAGAAUUGGAGCUAAGCUCCCCUGCCAUGCGCAGGAAUCCCAAAAGUAAAAAGUAAAGCUUCAAAGAAAAGUCAACAAUUCUUCCUAAGCUACAGACGGAAGAUCCAGCACAAAAGCCAGCUCCCUUUUUGAUCCCUUUUUCCCCCUUCUUAUUGCGGCGGCUCACCAGGAGAGGAGAGCCCUCCGUCCGUCCUUUCUUCCGGAAAUUACCAAAAUGGGCAUGACAUCUUCUCUUCCAAAAGUGCCCCUGGGACAAGCUUUCUCAUCUGAAUUCUUUUUUUUUCCAAUUUGGCACCUGUUAUCAUAUUUAUAUUCUACUCCCUGAAAUAAACGUCAAAUACUAAAAGUGAGUAGAAUCCAGCAAAUAAAUCCACAUCAAGUCAGGUAAUAGGAGGAAUUAAUAAUAAAAUAAAUGAAUAAAUUGCACCCUAUCAAUUCCCUCCACACCUAAACCAUGCUUGUCCUCAAGCAUAAGAAAAGUAAACGAACACCAAAAUUCGACGAUAGCCAUUGCCCAAUCUCCUAUAUUGCCAAGACAUUCAAGAGAAAAACACAUAUCGAGCAUUGGUGAUUAGAAUCCCAGAAGCAUCCCCCCGGUUAGCCUCUAACCCCCAGAUUCCUUCAAUUUCCAACUUAACUACUCUAAGAAAGAGGAAUGGCACACAACAUUUAUCAGCUAGUGGUCCGAAUAUUCACACAAGUCUUCAUAUCCAAUCCAUAAACCGGCAAGCUUCCCUAUUAUUUAGUCUCUCUUUUUUUCCGUUUUUUUUCAUUUUCAUUCUUCCCCUCUUUUUUUUUUUUUUUUAAAGCAGUAGCAAUCAACACAAAAGACUUAGUCGUUAGCCGUCAGGGCCUUUUGAUGCGAACUCCAACAUUUUUAGAAGGAGGAGCCCGGUUACUCAGCUCCUACCGCUAUACGACCACGCACUCAUAUAAAAUACCACCUUUUGACGCGAGAAUCGACACUUUUAGGUGCCGAUCCCCGGUUACUCAGUAGUAACUUAAUAGCGGAGCACAGUCAAGCUUAUUCUCAGCCAAACAAUGCACAAACGCAAAAUAACAGCACUAACAAUCAAACAUAGGAGCAGCUCGCCUCAUUAUUGUCAAACAUGGAGAACUGGAGUCAAUAUUGGACCAGUUCACAUUAAAAGGCCAUAUUCAUUCCCUACGCCUAGAAAAGUUAACAAAGAAAUCGAAAGAGUCAAACAGUUAAAUAUUCACCAAGGGGAUAUUCAGGACCCAACCACACUAACCCGAUACAUUUUGUAUUUUAAAAACUUGGCAAAAGUAGAUUUGGAGUCAAUGAGUCCACAUCUCAAUUUUAGCCUUCACAUGAAAGGCAAUCACCAAGAAGAAAGAACGGAAAAAUAAGCAACUAGAAAUGAGACUACGAAAAACUACUAAAACUAAAAACUCACUUUUUUUCUUUUUCUCUUUUUUUUUCUUUUUGAAUUUUUUUUUCAUUUUUAUUUUUUUUUAUUUUUUUUAUUUUUUAAACAUUAACUAUAAACAUUAACUACUAAAAACUAAAAACUAAAACUACUAAAAACUAAAAACACUAAAAACUGCUAAAAUGAAAAGCUGAAAACUGAAAACUACUAAAAACGGAGCACACUAGCAUAACUUUAGAUCCCCCCCACACCUAUAGGACACAUUGUCCUCAAUGUGACAAAUAAGAACCAAAAGUGAAGCACAAGUGAGAGGGGAAUCAGCCAAACUUCCCUGAAAUCGGGUCACAGCGGAGGGCGAGGUGGAAAUGGAGGUGCAAAGCCUGUAUGCAUCAGGAACUGUGCCAAAUUCUGUGCUAUGCCGGCGACAUUGGCGUCGACGUUGGUCAUCCGGGCCUGCAAAUCCUGAACCAGCUCCCUGAGAUGCUGCCAAUCAUCGGUCCCAGGUGGUGGAGGUGGCGCAGAAGUAGAGGUAGACGGCCCAGCAGUGUCCGCGGCCGACCCAGGGAAUGAAGAUGGCCCUGCCCGGGCCGAAUGGUGUGCACCCGGGGCUCGAGGUGGUCCCGGACGGGUAAACUGGUGAAAACCAUCUGGCAGACGCUCGACGACCCCCAUUUUCUCUAAGCAAACUACGUCCAAGUGCUCCAUCUCAAAUGCCAAAUGGAGGUCGUGGUCAUCCAGGUUAAGAACUCCCAACUGGGUCGCCAAGUGAGUGAUGUAGGACCCAAGGAUCAGUGGUUUGUUCUUCUUGGUCAAGACCGUCUUGAACUGUGCGGCCAACCAACAUCCCAAGUUCACCUUGAUAUUGUUCUUCAUACUCCAGAGAAAGAAGAAUUCGGGCCGAGAGAGUAUACCGGAGCUGUCCUUGCGCCCCGAGUAGCUAUAAGCUAAGAAUCGCUGAACAUAGCGGGCGCUAGGGUCCUUAAGAAAGGAGCUCCUGGACCGGGAAGGAUCGUAGCGUUGCCUAUCGACGGACAUGUCCUCCCAUACAUCAUGGUAGUGGGAGAGGAAAGGCUCUACGUAGUCACAGGCACUCUCCGCAUACUCCCUAGUCUCAGCAUACUCUCUAGUGAUAAACCCAAAUGCCAGAUUGAAUUGAGUAAUGGAGAAAUUGAAUUCUCGACCCAUGAGCCGGAAAUGAAUGACAUUCGGUGUUUCACCCGUGUAUCUCGUAGGUAAUUCGAACUCAAAGGUGGAGUAAAACUCCCGGAUCAGCUCAACAAAAGCGGGACAAGAAAUAUGGAAAUAUGGGCGCCACCCAAUGGCUGUGAACAUUUGCUCAACCUCCUCCCGUAUACCCAGGGCAGUUAGAGAGAGUCUAUGACAAGACUUACAGGAUAUUAUACGCCUCUCGCAGACCUUAGCGUACCUCUGCCGAUCGGCGGGUCUGGUAAAUGUUAAGUGCCCCCCAAAAUGAACAGGUGCAUCUACCUGAGCACCCCUAUCCCUACCCAAACGGGUUCGAACACUAGAAGAGGAGGGUAGGUUGGUAGGUGAGUUGACAGGAAUAGAGGCUUGUGGAGGGGGUUGAGACUGAGAGGUCCUAGACCUAGAGGAGGAUUUCGGUCUCACCAUUCCCCCCAAAGUAAGUUCAAGGCAACAGAAAAUCCGACAAGUAUAGAAACCAGCAAUUGACAAAGCAAAAAUCUCCCAGUAGUAACCCAGCCAAUAGCAAACAAAAGAGUUCCAGCAAGUAAUCAACAAGCAAUUCAGAAAUAUCUCAACUAAAAUCUCAAGAGAAACCCCAGCGAGUUAUCCAGCAAUUCAAGCAAUAUCCCCAAGCAAUGUGGUGGUCAAAAUGUCAUCUCCAAAUUGAACAAAUAAUCAGAGCAUUGCAACACAUUGAAAAUCUCAAUAAACGGCUCCAGUUGGCCAAGAAAAAUUGCUAACUCAUACUCAGCAAUAGUAGUGCAGCAAAGGGACAGUAACCACGCAAUAAAAACACUUAGCUUGCACUCAAAUGGUCACCCCAAAUAACAACCCAGUAUGAAACCCGCAGGCAGAGUAUUCCUCAAACCGUUAGCCUAAACCCAGUCAACAACCACGGCCAGAAAUAACCCCAUAAAUAGUGCAAUGAGUAAUCCCCAGCAACAUAAUCAGGUGUAAUCAACUGGAGCAAGCAAUUUACAUGGCAUAGAAACCUCCCAAUCAAACAAGUGCAUUAUUCUAGCGCACCCCAAAAUUCCAAGAAAUGGCUCCAGUUGGCCAAUUAAUUUCACAAUGUCACCCAACUCAGGAGAAAUAGCAAUUCCACACAAAAAUAGUCAAACCAGUACCACUGGCGAAAAAUCUUUCAAAUAUGCACAAUUUGCUACCAAAUAUCACCGGCUAACACUGAAAAAUUGAGGGCAAGUGUCAAAUACCUCCACAGGGACUACCCCAGGCGGCAGACAGAGAAGCGGCGUUGAAGCUGGUGGUCGAGCGGGGCGGCGCUCGCGUCGGCGUGCGCAGCGGCGACGGCGCGCGAGGAUGGAGUUUCGGGAGGUUGCGUGCGGGCUUGGCUGAAGACGCGGCGCGCGCUAGGGCUUCGCUGCGGCAGGCGUGCAGCAGGGGAGAAGAAAGAAAAGAGAAAGAAAGAAAGAAAAAGAAAGGAAAGAAAGAACAGAAAAGAAGGAAAAGAAAAAGGAAUUUUUCUUUUUUUUCUUUUUCUUUAGGCUACGGUUUAGAGGACAAAUUUUUCUUCUUCUUGUUUUCUACUUUUUUAUUUUUUUAUUUUUUAGUUUUUAAUUUAUUACUAUUAUUAUCAUAUUUAAUUGAGGAAAAAAAAUGUUUUUUUUUAAAUCCCUACCUUUCCCACGAACGUGACGCGGGCACGUCAAGAGGGCAAGAGAGCUCCCAGAAGUUUCAGAAUUUUCUGAUCGUAAGCGUCCUGCACAUCACCACGCGGGCACGUCAUGAGGACAGGAGAGCUCCCAGAAGUUCAGAAUUUUCUGAUCGUGAGCGCCCUGCACGUCACCACGCGGGCACGUCAUGAGGCCAGGAGAGCUCCCAGAAGUUUGAAGUUUCUGAUUCCUGCCCGUCAUCACGCGGGCGCGUCAUGACUGAAGGUCACCUACAAAUCAGCAAAAACGAAAACUAACACCCAAAAUCAGUCAAAUUCAGGGAAAGCAGAUUUAAACUAUGCUACAAAACCAACAAACAAUUAAAAGAAAUAAUUAGGUUGCCUCCCAAUGAGCGCCUUUCUUUAAUGUCUUUGGCUAGACAUGGUAAAGUGUCACUGAUUAGGACACGGUGGUGCGUCAAGCCUUAUUGUCUCCACCUCUCUACCUGAAAAUCCUUCGUAAUAAUAUUUGAGACGGUGUCCAUUCACCACAAAUUUGUUGUCUGUCUUAGCACUCUGGAUCUCAACUGCACCAUAGGGAAAAACAUGAGUAACAAUGAAAGGUCCAAUCCAACGGGAACGUAGCUUACCUGGGAAUAGCUUGAGCCUGGAUUGGUACAGGAGGACCUUCUGACCAACUUCAAAUGUUUUUCUUGAAAUUUGUUGGUCAUGAAAUGCCCGGCUUUUCUCCUUAUAUAUCAAGGCGUUUUCGUAUGCUUCGUUCCGGAUCUCCUCCAAUUCUUGCAAAUCCAACUUCCGUUGAGCACCGGCCUCCUCUAAAUUCAUAUUGCAGUGCUUUAUCGCCCAAAAAGCCUUGUGCUCGAACUCCACUGGAAGGUGACACGGCUUCCCAAAUACCAACCUGUACGGUGACAUCCCAAUAGGAGUCUUGUACGCCGUCCGAUAGGCCCAGAGUGCGUCUUCCAACCUUUGGCUCCAGUCUUUUCUAUCAGGGCGCACCAUUUUCUCUAAAAUGGACUUAAUCUCCCGAUUCGACACCUCCGCUUGACCAUUGGUCUGAGGGUGGUAUGACGUUGAGACCCUGUGGAGUACACCAUACUUGCGAAACAACGCAGCUAUGGUUUUGUUGCAAAAGUACGUUCCCCUAUCACUGACAAUAGCUCUAGGCAUUCCAAACCGCACAAAGAUAUUAGACCUGAUAAAAUCUGCAACUACUCUCGAAUCAUUAGUUCGAGUGGCCUUAGCCUCCACCCAUUUAGACACAUAAUCAACUGCCAGCAAAAUAUAUAAAAAACCAAAUGAAGUAGGAAAAGGCCCCAUGAAAUCUAUACCCCAGACAUCAAAAAUUUCAACAAAAAUCAACGGGACCUGGGGCAUUUGAUCUCUACGGGCUAUAUUACCUACCAUUUGACAGCGAUCACAUGACUUACAAAACACAUAGGCAUCUCUAAACAAUGAAGGCCAAUAAAAUCCACUUUCUAAAACCUUAUGAGCAGUUCUCUUAGGUCCAAAAUGACCUCCACAGGCAAAAGUAUGACAAAAAGCUAAAAUUGAUUGAAAUUCCAUUUCACUUACACAUCUCCUCAUCACUUGAUCGGCACACCUCUUCCAUAGGUACGGGUCAUCCCAGAUAAAAUACUUGGCAUCGCUCUUCAAUUUAUCCCUCUUCGAUUUCGGCCAACCUGCAGGAAAAUUACCAGUUACCAAAUAAUUGACCAAAUCAGCAUACCAAGGCAACUGAGAAUUUAAGAAAAAUAGGUAUUCUUCGGGGAAUGCAUCCUUCAAUGGCUCGCUAUCCUCUUCAACUAGUAUGCGACUCAAAUGGUCCGCUACUAGAUUUUCUGAGCCUUUUUUGUCCCUUAUCUCCAAGUCAAAUUCCUGUAGGAGCAGUAUCCACCGUAUGAGCCUCGGUUUUGCAUCUUUCUUGGUCAUCAGGUACCUCAAUGCUGCAUGAUCAGAAAAUACAAUCACUUUAGCACCUAACAAGUAUGACCUAAAUUUUUCCAAAGCAAAAAUAACUGCCAGAAGCUCCUUCUCAGUGGUGGAAUAAUUCAACUGGGCUCCAUUCAAGGCCCGGGAUGCGUAAUAGAUGACAUGAGCCGCCUUGCCUAUUCUUUGCCCCAGUACAGCCCCAACAGCGUGAUCACUGGCAUCGCACAUGAUCUCAAAUGGCAAAUUCCAAUCGGGGGGUUGGAUGAUUGGGGGUGAAGUCAGCAAUUCCUUCAGCUUGUUAAAGGCUCUCUCACACUUAUCAUCAAAUUCGAAGGCUACAUCUUUUUGUAGGAGUUGGAACAACGGGGCUCCAAUCUUUGAAAAAUCCUUGAUGAACCUUCGAUAAAAACCUGCAUGUCCAAGAAAAGAGCGCACCUCCCGCACACUCGCGGGGUAAGGUAAUGCAGAAAUAAUGUCUAUUUUAGCCUUGUCAACUUCUAUGCCCUUAGACGAUACAAUAUGACCCAGGACUAUUCCGUGCUCAACCAUAAAAUGACAUUUUUCCCAAUUAAGCACAAGAUUAGUCUCUAUACACCUGAUCAGGAUUAAUUUCAGGUUAUCUAGACAAGUAUCAAAACUAUCACCAUACACACUGAAAUCAUCCAUGAAAACUUCUAUUAUUUUCUCAACAUACUCGGAAAAGAUGCUUACCAUACAUCUUUGGAAAGUCGCAGGUGCAUUGCACAACCCAAAUGGCAUUCGUCUGUAGGCAAAGGUCCCGAACGGGCACGUGAAGGUUGUCUUCUCUUGAUCCUCCGGGGCAAUUGCUAUCUGAAAGUAUCCUGAAAAUCCAUCCAAAAAGCAAUAAUAAGCCCUACCAGCUAAACGUUCAACCAUUUGGUCAAUGAAAGGGAGAGGGAAAUGGUCCUUUUUGGUGACGGCGUUUAGCCUACGGUAAUCUAUACAUUGCCUCCAUCCAGUGGGUUUGCGCACUGGCACGAGCUCACCAGUUUGGUUGGCCUCUACCGUCACUCCUGCAUUCUUUGGGACUACCUGGACCGGACUCACCCAAGGGCUAUCAGAUAUUGCAAAAAUGAUGCCCACAUCUAGCAAUUUUAGAAUCUCUUUCUUUACGACUUCCAUCAUGAGGGGAUUGAGCCUUCUUUGAGCCUGCCUAACAGGUUUGGCAUCGUCUUCCAGCCUAAUCCGGUGCAUACAAAUGGCCGGGCUGAUCCCCUUAAUGUCUGCGAUUGUCCAGCCUAUUGCCUCUUUAUGCUCCCGAAGGACCCGGAUCAAUUUCUCUUCCUGGGUCUUUGACAGUGCCGAUGAGAUAAUCACUGGGAGUGUCUCAUUAUCACCUAGGUAUGCGUAUUUCAGGUGCUCUGGUAGAGGUUUCAACUCCAGUACAGGUGCCUGCACCACAGAUGGCAAUACCCUCUGGUGAGCCUUGGGAGUAAAAAUAGGUAAGACUUCAUACCUUUUCGUGGUGGUCUGCAACGAGUGUAAUGCACCUAUUGUGCAUUUUAAAUCCUCGCUCCACUCCACCUCAGGAGUUGUCUCCAACUCGAGGUGCUUGGUUAAAGCCACCUCCAGCUCAUCCCUGCCAUCAGUUUCAAACACUUCCUGCACUACAGGGUCAAUAGCACUCACAGAAAAAACUGAGCUAAAGUUGGAGUUAGAGGGGUACUUCAUAGUAUCAAAAAUAUUAAAAUGCACAAUUUACCCAUCAAACUCCAUGGACAAGGUACCCUUAUUAACAUCAAUUUUCGUCUGCGCAGUGCUCAUAAAAGGUCUACCCAAUAACAAAGGUGAGGGAUCAGGGGAGUGAUCAUCAUCCAUAUCUAGUACAUAAAAAUCAGCUGGAAACACCAAAUCAUUAACCUUUACCAACACAUCUUCAAUCAACCCAUCAGGAUAUGCAUUAGUUCGGUCAGCUAAUUGAAUAAUUAUUCCAGUUUCUUUUAAUGGACCUAGUUUCAAAGAAGCAUAGAUAGAUUUAGGCAUGACAUUAAUUGAUGCUCCCAGAUCCAGCAUGGCCCUUCUGAUCACAGUAUUACCUAUCUUACAGGGAAUAGUAAACAUACCUGGGUCCCCGCACUUUGGUGGGAGCUUUCUCUGCAGGACCGCAGACACAUUUUCUCCAACUAUGACCCGUUCAUCUCCCCUCAACCGCCUUCGGUUGACACACAAGUCCCUUAGGAACUUGGCAUAUUUUGGUACUUGUUUGAUGGCGUCUAAGAGGGGGAUAUUUAUCUCAACCUUGCGAAAAACCUCCAAGAUCUCCUUCUCCUUAUCCUGCUUCUUCGAUUUUUCCAACCUGCUAGGAAAAGGAGGCGGGUUAGUUUUAACUGUAAUUAUUGGGUCAGGAAGUACCUCUGGAUCUGCACCAUUGCUGUCCUCCCUUUCGAGCUCAUUUUCGAUCUUCUCUUCAUCCUUGUCCUUGGGAAUCACAGGUUCAGGCCCCUGAAUUUCUUUCCCACUCCUUAGGAUCAUUGCGCUCACGUUCUUCGGAUUCAACUCCGGUUGAGAUGGCAGCUUCCCUUGGUUCUGGGACUCCCAACGGUUCAUUCUGGUGGCCAAUUGACCUAUCUGAUUCCUUAUGUCCUGCAUUUCGGAGUCCGUCUUUUGCUGAUUUUGCAUAAUAGCUGCCUCCGUCCUUUGCUGAUUCUGCGCCAUGGUUGUCAUCAUUUGUUUCAGCAUCUCAUCCGUAGAUGAACCAGAUUGAGGGAGCGGAGGUGGUCGGGGUUGGUAUUGCUGCUGGUACCCUGGUGGCUUAUUUGGCACAAAGUUAGACUGCCUGUUUGGCGUGAAGUUGGAUUGCCUAUUUCCACCAUAACUGAGGUUGGGAUGAUCUCUCCACCCGGGGUUGUAGGUGCUUGAGUAAGGGUCGUACUGCUUCCUUGGCGCGGGCGCGUGGUCAGCCAUGUUCACCUGUUCCGCAGUUUCUUCCUGAAUCAUUGGGCACAUGUCUGCAGAGUGACCUAUACCAGUGCAAAUCCCGCAUACCCUGGCUUGUGAUGCAUUUCUCACAGCCUAUUGCCUAACGAACGCAGUCAACUCAUUUAGCUGCUGCUGCACAGAGGGUGUCUCUAUCUCAUUCACCCUACGUAUUGGGACAUCCUAUCUUGUACUGAAUUGCUGUGAAUUCUCUGCCAUCCCCUCUAUUAACUCCCGUGCUUCCUGAGGGGUUUUGUUCACCAGUGCCCCUCCACUUGCAGCAUCAAUGAUGCUCCUGUCUCUAAAAAUGAGCCCCUCAUAGAAAUAUUGUAUGAUCAACUGCUCACUUAUUUGGUGAUGGGGGCACCUGCGCAACAAGCUCUUAUACCGUUCCCAAUACUCGUAAAGUGACUCCUCGGGAUGCUGCUUGAUCCCACAAAUUUCUUUCCUUAGACUCGCAGCCCUGGACGCAGGAAAAUAUUUAUCCAGAAAUUUUUUCUUCAAUUGGUCCCACGUGGUGAUGCUACCUGGUGACAGGUAGUACAGCCAGUCCUUCGCAGAAUCUUUCAAGGAGAAGGGGAAUGCCCUCAUUUUUAUCUGCUCUUCUGUGAUUCCCGGGGGUUUCAUACUGUUGCAAACGACAUCAAACUCCUGCAGAUGCUUAUACGGCUCUUCACCUGGUAAACCAUGAAAAGAGAGUAAAAGCUGAAUCAGACCAGAUUUUAGUUCAAAUGGAAUGUUGUCAUUUAAAGCUGGGAAAGUAAUGCAUAACGGCUGCUGAGUUAAAUCAGGAGCAGCCAACUCCCUUAAUGUUUAUGCAUUAGCCAUGGUGCCUUCCUGCUGGUCAGAGUCACUCGAAGUGUUACCAAACGAAUCUGUUGGUUCAACUUCUGACUCGGGUCUUUGAGAUGUAGCACUAGAGUGCUCUUCUCUGAGCUGUCUGGUUUCCUUUCUCGUUCUACGCGCGGUCUUCUCUACCUCAGGAUCAAAAACCAAAUCACCUGUGCGACAAGAUCGAGGCAUACACUAGAAGAAAACCAGAAAAUUAGGACAAAAUUGAAUUUAAGAAGAAACAAAUAAUAACGCCAGUCCCCGGCAACGGCGCCAAAAAUUGACAGGUCGUCAACCUGUGCAAUAAUAAAAUUAAACCUAAUUGCCAGUUAAAAUGACCAAAACCCAAUUCCAAGUACUGGAGCAGGGACUCUAGGUGUGCAAUGGGUUACUUGAUUCACCCUGUUCCCGAAGAGUUUGCUUGAUCCGAUAUACCCGAAUGGAAUGGUUAUUCCUUUUCACAAAUGAUUAGGAAUUUGUAGACAGGGCAAGUAGGGUCGUAUCCACAGAGACUGGGUAUAUUUGUUUCUUAAGAAAUCCAAAGUAACACAGGGGGUGAUUUUGUAGGAACGACGAUAAUUAAAUAAAUUCAAAUGAGAAAGUAAAAAUAAAUAAUUAACUAGAAAUUAAACCACAAUUUACUGAACUCAGGAUAACAAUAGUUAAAGGCCUCAAUUAAUUAAAAUAAGGAAACAAUCAAAAAUAAAAUAAAGUAGGUAAUUAAAAGUCAAAUGGCAAUCCACUACAAUCAAGGAAAUAUUAACUAAAGAUCUAGCCAAGAAAUAACUUCAGCAAUGGUUCACCUAAUCGAUCAUUGAUGCAAAGCAAUCCCAAUUAUUUACUAAUAAAUAGGUUAUAACUACCAAACAAGCGAUGGCAGUCAACCCCUCCUUACUGUGUCGGUGAUCAAGGUACGCCCGUUAAUCACUGCUCUAAUUGAGAAAUAAUCCUAGGUACGCCCGUAGAAUUUAAUUCCCCAACUGCCUUACGUAUUAGAGGAGCCCUAUUCUACCCAAAUAACACACUACCAGGGUUAUUUUAGAUUAGCCCGCGUAUCCCCCUGACACGAAUCUAAUCGUGCCAGUUGUCACUAAUUUGAGGUAAUUAAACAAUUACGGAUUCAAUACCCCAAUUGACAAUAGAUUAUCAAACCAAUGAAUUAUCCGGAUCCAAGACAAUCAACUAAUUAAAUAAUCAUAAGCACUGCAACCAAGGAAUAUGCGAAUACCAAUAAAUAAAGGAAAAGAUAAAAUUAAAUCGAUCUCACAAUUUACAGGUGAUCCAAAGCAUCAGUCGUUUCUUGACUAGAACGAGGGGGUUAGCUCAUAUUGGAUGAACUAAGCCCGCGGGAAAUUCCAGCAAAAGUCACGGCCGUUGUAUGCAUUUCAAGAGCCGCAAUUCGUCAAACACUUGGAAAGCGAAUGUAAGGCACGGGUAACAAUUGAAGCUUUCUAAUUGUUCCUAGCAUUCGUAAAGCAAAUUCACUCCAGAAGUACAGUGAGGAAAAGUCAAAGAAAGUGGGCUUCAAUUCCUUGCUCCUGACAUGCGUGGAGACAAGCCAAUGCAAGACUACAAUAAACUAACAAGGAAAAGUCAAGAAUUGGAGCUAAGCUCCCCUGCCAUGCGCAGGAAUCCGAAAAGUAAAAAGUAAAGCUUCAAAGAAAAGUCAACAAUUCUUCCUAAGCUACAGACGGAAGAUCCAGCACAAAAGCCAGCUCCCUUUUUUAUCCCUUUUUCCCCCUUCUUAUUGCGGCGGCUCACCAGGAGAGGAGAGCCCUCCGUCCGUCCUUUCUUCCGAAAAUUACCAAAAUGGGCAUGACAUCUUCUCUUCCAAAAGUGCCCCUGGGACAAGCUUUCUCAUCUGAAUUCUUUUUUUUUCCAAUUUGGCACCUGUUAUCAUAUUUAUAUUCUACUCCCUGAAAUAAACGUCAAAUACUAAAAGUGAGUAGAAUCCAGCAAAUAAAUCCACAUCAAGUCAGGUAAUAGGAGGAAUUAAUAAUAAAAUAAAUGAAUAAAUUGCACCCUAUCAGAAAAAUGCAAAAAUUUGUUAUUUAUCAUUAAGGAUCAUAUCGCAUAUAACAUCAAAAAAUAGUAUAUUAUUUAUAUCUUUCACUUAAUAUAAUAUCCAAAUUACUCUUUUCAGUUACAUACCCAUUGUUAGACAAAAUCAACAACAAAUAACCAAAAAAUUUGCAACCAAAAUAUUACCAAAAAAAUAAACUUUAACAUCAUAAAUAUUUUUAUCAACAUAUUAAAGUUAGUUAUUGAAAUUUUUAUGGUGUUAAACUUCACUCUUAGCAAUAUUUUGGUUACAGAUUUUUUUGAUUAUUUAUUGUUGAUCGUGUUUGACAAUGGAUUUGUAACUGAAAAGAAUAAUUUGAAUCUUACAUUAAGUGAAAUAUAUAAAAUAUUAUACUAUUUUUUAUGGCAUAUGUGAUUCUUUUUUUUUUUUUUAUCAGAACGGCAACAUUGUAUUAAUAGUAAACCAAUUACAGUAUAGGUGGGCAACCGCCCUCACAAUCUGCCUGGACUUGUUCCAGCAGCCAAACUGGGAAGUUUUCCUUCCAUUCAGUAUUUUGUUCCAAAGUAAUAGCUACUUUAGCUAGUUUAUGGCUAACAAAGUUGUUCACCCUAUUUGCAAAGGUAAAACAACAUUCAUCAAAUUUUAUUCAUGUACAAUUGUUGCUAUCACCACGUCCUCCUCCUCCUCCUCACUGCACACUACUUGACUACCACCCUUCGCCAACCUUGCUGUUGCAUGUGCAACUAUCAUGGCCUCUCUUAGCGCCUUUGCUUCUUCGACCUUUGGACUGGCACAGCUAAAAUUUGGAACAGCCCAGGCCCACCCGCAAUCUUCCCAACCAAUCCCUGGCCACCCUUUUCCCACCCAGCUUCUAUGGCAUGUGUGAUUCAAUCCUUCUUGAUAGGAUUGGUAAUAGAGGCAGAGGGGGGAGCCGGCUGCAUCCGGUCUACUUUUCAUAGAUAGUACAAUAUUGCGAAAUCGAUCGCAUUCACACAAGAAUAUUUCGAAGUCAUUGCAUCGCUAAGUUGCAAAAAAGUACAAACACUUGUUAUUAUAUAGCUUAAGAUUCAAAACUUUAGAGCACAACCCUCCACCUAACACAAUUGAAUAAUGAAUAUUCACGAUUGUCAAAUCUGUCAAAGCACAGUUUGAGGACAACCCAUUCCAACCUGCAAAAGAUUUUUGACUUUUUUAAAGUUGUUGAGAGCUGUAAAAAGACUUACCAUGCUUACAUCUUCCGAGCCUUGGGAGUUAAAAAUGAAGGCACUGAGUGCUAUAAAAAGGGGGCUAGAGGCUGCCUAGAAGCAUAUCAGCCUAAAACAAGAAUUUGUAGUUAUGAUGGGAAGCAAAGCAAAAGCAAUGGGGUCUGGGCUGACUCCUCUUCUUACCACUGUUUUAGUGGUAUUUGUUGCUCUUGGCUUGCCCUCAGAAACUGCAGCUGAUGAUCACUACAAGUAUUCAUCUCCUCCUCCUCCUUACCACUAUCCCUCACCACCACCUCCAGUGCAUUUACCUCCACCAGUGUACAAAUACAAGUCCCCACCACCACCUCAUCAUGUUUACAAGUACAAAUCUCCACCACCCCCACCACCACACCCAGUUUACAAGUAUAAGUCGCCACCACCACCUCCUCAUCCGGUAUACAAGUACAAGUCUCCUCCGCCACCUCCUCAUCCGGUACCACACCCAGUUUACAAGUAUAAGUCACCACCACCACCUCCUCAUCCGGUACCACACCCAGUUUACAAGUAUAAGUCUCCUCCGCCACCAGUUUACAAAUAUAAGUCUCCUCCACCACCACCUCCAGUGUACAAAUACAAGUCUCCACCACCACCAGUUUACCACUACAAGUCUCCACCACCUCCUCCCCCAGUUUACAAAUACAAGUCUCCACCACCACCACCACCAGUUUACCACUACAAGUCACCACCACCUCCUCCCCCAGUUUACAAAUACAAGUCUCCACCACCUCCUCACCACUACUAAGCAAUUGCUUCUGAGGUAAUAACACUUGUUCAAUAUACCCACUUCUGCAUGAUAAAGCAUAUCUCUAUCAACACAAACUGUCAUGUCUAUCAUGCUAAGUGCCUUCACUUCAUCCACCAAAAUGACUGCUAGAAAAUUUUUUUUAUGUUACCAAAGAAAGGCAUCAUUUUUUCCCUCUGUUAUCAAGAACUUGUACAGUAUAUAGAUUAAAGAGUAUUUUUUUAACUAGCUUAUCAACUGAGAAAUGCAUAUAGCUGAUAGCCAGCUGAAUAUUUGCAGGCAAAGGAGAAGGAAACCAGUGUUUGAGACCUUCUUGAAGAUGUAGAAGCAUAAGAAUUAAAGCCCAAUGUGAAGAUGAUGAUUUCAAGUUUUUCUACGUUACCAUUUCUUUAUCUAAAUUGGUUGUAGCGCCUUAGUUCCUUUGUUUAUGGGAUUUGUAUCGUUUUACGUACCAUGCAGUACAUGUCAUGUUUGUAAGGUUUUCUAUCCUGCCGGCAAACCGCAGGUUCCAUGUAAUAAAUCAAUACUAUUUAUAUUACGACACUUUUCUCUGUUUCUCUUAUAUUUUGUCGUCUUUAAUAUUCUUAAUCAUAUUUUUAACAAAAAUAUUCAAACACUUAGGCAAUCUGGUCUAAUGCUAAUUGUAUGUUUUACUUUUCUUUUUCACCUGCUCCCCUUUUCAACUCAAAAGGAUGCAAUAGUUUGUGAUCACUGUUGAAGACGGAAGCAUGAUACUAAUGAAUAUAUCAUUGAAACUCAAGGAAACUAACAUUAUGAAAAGUGUAAAUCUUGAUUUGAUGCAACUAUUUAUUCGUGGAAUCUAUAGUUACAAAACUCAAACUCUGACUGCGCCAUUGAUAAAUUAUUAAUGACGCUAUCAUCAUUAUUUAUCCCCAACUAGUUUCGACUACAACUGAACCCAAUAUUUUCCCCAUGAUAAAAGUUUUUUACUAUUUUACUGGCCUCUCUUCAAAUUUUAAAAAUUACACUAAUCUUCAUUGAGAUUAAUUAUCUUGUAGCAUUUAAGUCCAAUUAAUAAUUAAAAAAUAAUAUUAUGAGAGAGAAAAUAAUAUAAUUUUAUCAUUGCCCCCCAUCUUGCUAUAUUAUUUAAUUAAUUUAAUAGCAACCCACACAUUAAAGAAAAAUACUAAAAUUUGCUGCUUUUCAUUAAAGAUCAAAUUGCAUAUGCCAUAAAACAUAGUAUAUCAUUCUAUAUGUUUCACUUAAUGUAAGAUCCCAAUUGUUCUUUUCAAUUACAAACCCAUUGUCAAACAUGAUCAAUAACAAAUAACCAAAAAAUUUGCAACCAAAAUAUUACAAAAAAAAACUUUAACAUCAUAAAUAUUCUUACCACCUCUAGUGCAUUCACCCUCAUAAAAUAAUUCAAGACCCUACUGUCAUAAAAUGACUGAUCAACUCCUGUAAACCUAAUUUGACAACAUUUAAAUGGAGAACUUUAGCUAAAAGAAUUAUGGUCAAGCUAAAGAAAAAACCAGUUAUUUUCCAACAUAUGCAAUCAUUGAUCAGGGAAAAAAAAAAGAAGCAAAAAGACAUCUUCAAUCAUUUAAUAGCUUACAGGGCAAAUUAACCCCUAAGCGAAAACUGGUUGCUCUAGAAUCAAAAUUUUACUUUAGUUACCCAGGCAACUUUUUUUGUUGCCUUUUCUUUUUCUUUUUUGGGUAUAUAUAUAGCUCCAGUUUUGCCCCCUCUGUCAAGCUUAUAUAAUUAUUAAGAUAAUAAAAGUGCCUUUAAUAGUAUUAAUAUAUCCAUUGACUUGAGCUGUCAUCGAUCGGUUUGGGCUACUUCGAUUCCAUGAGAACAAAUGGUAAUAAAAGUACUCAGAAAAUGGGGAGUCAUGAAACCCUUUUGUUCUAUUCAUUGCUAAGAUGCUUUUCUCUAUAAAGACACUUCCUAACGAAAAUACUUUGUAGAUUUCUUUACUCCAAGUGGUGCAUGGAAAAUUAAUAUUUUCAAUUAUCAAAUAAAAUUCCCUUUUUUCGGUGUAGAUUUCAUCCAUUCAGCUGUUAACACUCCGAAUUGACUAAUCUUUUCGUUUCCAUUUUCCAACUUGCGAAUACGGCAUCUUACAUAUUGUCUGCUGAAUAUGAAUACAUAUCCCUUUUCUGAGCAGGUGCAGAGUCAUUAUCAUUUUUAUUCCCACCUAACAAAUUAGUUAAUAAUCUUUUAAAGAACAUGUUAAAUUAAUUUAUUGGUAUGAAUAGUAGUCAAAGAAGUAUGUUAAAGUUAGUAAUCUUUAAAAUAAUAUGUUAAAAUUAUUCGUACAAAUUAGCCAGAGAAGUAGCAUAAACACCGCGAUGCAAUUAAUACUUUCAAUCUCAAGGUCUCUAUUAUGGAAAUUUGCAUCGGUCAACAUACACAAAGCAUUAUUGUAUGCACGUCUCUCUAUUAUGGAAAUUUGCAUAGGUCAAUAUACACUUGGCAUAGUUGCAUGCACGUCCAAUUUUUUUUUAUUUUUAUUUUUGGUAUUUUACUUCCUGCCUUAAGUUGCCUGCAGAUGUUUGUAUUACAAAUAUAUGGUAUACUAAAUAUAUAGUAUGCACAUUAAUUUCUUUGGGUUGCUUAAGGGUAUAUUGUUAAUAAUAGGGGGUUUAACCAUAAAUUAUAACAAUGAUGAAGUAAUAUAUAUUAGAAAAUUAACACAAUUAUGAUUUUUUUUUUUGUAAAAUUCAAAUUUUAUUAAUAAGAAAUGAAAUAGGCAGUAAGCAUUUACAAACCGAAAACAAAAUCCUACAACAACUCUAGGACUCUACACCUUAUUAAAAAAAAACAUUUUGAUAGCGUUUUUCCAAAAGCAGAAGAUGGAAAAUUGCCCAUUUGUACUGGGGAGUUCGUGAUCUUUUCCUCAUUCUAGUCUACUUACAAUUCUUGGAAAAAGGAAUACUCACAUCUCAAACAACAGCCUGUUCAUCUGCAGUGUCCUGCCGAAUUCUAGAAAGUUUGGUGGCAAUGUUAAUUACAUUUCAAAAUUGACUGCUGCGAUAACUAAUUCGAUGGCUUACUACAUGGUCAACGUUUGGAUCUCUUCCUGUCCUUUUUGGAUGCACAUUUUUUUUCUCUAGGUAAUAUAUAAUCUCCCAACUCAUUUCUUUACAAAUGCACCUUUAAUCACCACCAAAAGGUGUGGACAUGAUCUUUACCCUAGAAAACUAUUCACCGACAGGCAAAUUGACGUCAGAAAUACUAAGAGGAAUUCUAGUUUCCUUCGGGUUAAUGCCAUUUUGUACCCUUCAACUGUAACUCAAUUUCUAAGCUGUAAUUUGUGACAUUAUAGUCCUUAAACUAUGAAACCCUUUCUUAUUUAAUUACAAUGGUUAAUACAAUGCCCGUGACUAGACAAGUAUGAAGCAACCAUAACAAAAAAAAAAUCCAAAAUUAGAGAAAAGAAAGAAGUUGCGACCAAAGUAUGUAUCAAGGCAUAGUAUAGAAAUAAAAGUGUCAAAAUUAAGAGUUUAGGGAUAAAAAAGAAUCAAAAUAUAGUUUAGGAAUUGAUUUGUCUCAAUUAGAGUUUAGAUGUCAACUAAGAAGAGAGAUAUAGUUGAAGGGUAGAAUAUAGAUAUAACAGUUCAAUGAUUGAUAUCAACGAGACAAUGACAACUUUGGAUUAUUACCAACCUCUUCUUGAUGGAAAAGGAAAUAGAGAAGAAAGUCGGGCCUGGUCUAAGCCUGUUUCGGAGGCAAAACAACAUUAUGAAAUCACCGGCAUUCACACAAAUAUGUCAAAGUCACCGGCAUGCUAAGUUGCAAAAUUUAUACAAACACUGAAUAUUAUAUUCUUCUCAAAAUUUUUGUUUAAGAUUUAACAAUUAGAGCACGGUACACGAAUUAGCAAUAUUAAAUAAUGAAUGUUCACGAUUGAUAAAGUUAUCAAAGUACAGUUUGAGGACAACCCAUUCCAACGUGUACAAGAUGUUUAGCCUUUGAAAAGUUAAUUAGAGAAGGUGACGAGAUUUUACUAGGCUUACAACUUCUAGGCCUUGGGAGUAAAAAGUGAAGACACUGAGUGCUAUAAAAAGGGGGCUAGAUGUUGCCUAGAAGCAUAUCAGCCUCGGACCACAUUUUGUAGCAAUGGGGAGCAAAGCAAAAGCAAUGGGGUCUAGGCUGACUCCUCUUUUUACCACCGUUUUAGUGGUAUUUGUUGCACUUGGCUUGCCUUCAGAAACUGCAGCUGAUUACGACAAGUAUUCACCUCCUCCUCCUCCUUACCAUUAUUACUCACCACCACCUCUUGUGCAUUCACCUCCACCACCGCCAGUUUAUAAGUCACCCCCACCACCUUAUCACUACUUCUCACCACCACCUCCAGUGUAUCCAUCUCCACCACCAUCUGUUUACAAGUCACCUCCACCACCUUCGCCAGUAUACAAGUCCCCACCACCACCUUAUCAAUAUUCCUCACCACCACCUCCAGUGCAUUCACCUCCACCACCACCGAUUUAUAAGUCACCUCCACCACCUCCUCCAGUUUACAAGUCCCCGCCACCACCUUACCAUUAUUCCGCACCAUCACCUCCAGUGCAUUCACCUCCACCACCACCGAUUUACAAGUCACCUCCACCACCUCCUCCAGUUUACAAGUCUCCAUCACCACCUUACCAUUAUUCCUCACCACCACCUCCAGUGCAUUCACCCCUACCACCACCGGUUUACAAGUCUCUGCCACCACCUUACCAUUAUUCCUCACCACCACCUCCUAUGCAUGCACCUCCACCACCAAUAUACAAGUCACCUCCACCACCUCCUCCAGUUUACAAGUCUCCACCACCACCUUACCAUUAUUCCUCACCACCACCUCCAGUGCAUUCACCCCUACCACCACCAGUUUACAAGUCUCCGCCACCACCUUACCAUUAUUCCUCACCACCACCUCCUGUGCAUGCACUGCCACCACCAAUUUACAAGUCACCUCCACCACCUCCUCCAGUUUACAAGUCCCCACCACCACCUUACCAUUAUUCCUCACCACUACCUCCAGUGCAUUCACCUCCACCACCACCGAUUUACAAGUCACCUUCACCACCUCCUCCAGUUUACAAGUCUUCACCACCACCUUACCAUUAUUCCUCACCACCACCACUCUUCAAUUUGGAUGUAAUUCAAUUUUCCUUGUAAUCGGUGGCCCUCCUUCGGAAUCCAAAUAGUCAUUGAGUGCAGCCUUCUUUCUUUAUUUUUUACUCAUUUUCACCUCAUAAAUUGCUUUCAUCCCCUAAAACUUGUUCGCUGGAAUUUUGAAUUUACCCAUACAACUAAACUCAGAAAAUUCUUACACAAAGGGAUUAGUAGCAUGAAUAGCAAACACAGAAUAAGAGAUAACAGUAUGUUUUAUUGUAUUAAAAAUAUUAAAGUGGAUUAUUUCUCCAUCGAAUUCCAUUGUGAGAGUAUCGUUACUAACAUCAAUCUUAGUUUGAGCAGUACUCAAGAAUGACCUUCCUAAUAUAAUGGGUGAUGGAUUUGGGACACUUUCAUCAUCCAUAUAAAACACAUAAAAAUCAACAGAAAAAAUUAAUCCAUCUACUUGAACUAAAAACAUCCUCAACUACCCCAUUUAGAUAAGCAAAUAUACGAUCAGCCAAUUGAAUUAUUAUCCCUAUUUCUUUUAAAUGUUCUAAAUUUAGGGAAUCAUAAAUUGAUUUAGACAUCACAUUAAUAGAAAUCUUUAAAUCUAUCAUGGCAUUUUUUAUAUUAGAAUGUCCAAUCUUACAUGAGAUAGUAAACAUACCUAGAUUCUCGCAUUUAGGUGGUAGUUUCCUUUGUAAAAUUGCUGAAACGUUCUCAUCUACCACAAUAUGCUUGUCCUCCUCAAUUUCUUCUUGUUGACACACAAGUUUUUCAAGCAUUUAACGUAUUUUGGAACUUAUUUGAUUUGCGUCCAACAAAGGGAUAUUGAUUGCCACCUUGCGAAAAUCUCUAAAAUCUCCUUUUCUUUAUCUUGUUUCUUUGAUUUCUCUAACCUGCUUGGAAAAGGUGGUGAGUUAGUUCCAACUCUAAUUAUAGAAUCAACAAUUACCUUUGGAUUCACAUUUCUCAUUCCUUCCUCCUCAAGCUCUUUGUCGAUUCGAUCUUCAUUUUUAUCCUUUGGAAUCACAACUUCGGAUCCCUGAAUUUUCUUCUCGCUCCUUAAGGUCAUUACACUUACAUUCUUCAGGUUCAGUUCAGGUUGAGACGACAAUUUUUCAUAGAUUUGGGAUUCCAGGCGGUUGAUUGCUAUUACCAUCUGACUCAUCUGACUCUGCAGUGCUUGCACCUGUCCCAAUUGAUUCCUCAUACUUUGCAAGUCAAAAUCCAUCUUUUGUUGAUUAGCAAUUAAUUGCUUCAUUAUCUCUUCUAUAGAUGGACUUGAGUUUGAAAGAGGUGGUGGCGGGCGAGACUGAUACUGUUAUUGAUACCCUUGCUAUCUAUUUGGUGCAAAAUCUGGCUACCUAUUUCCUCCAUAGCUGAGGUUGGGAUGAUCUCUCCAACCAAUAUUGUACGUAUUCGUGUACGAGUCGUAUGGUUUUCUUGGCACGGCGCGUGACCAGCCAUGUUCACUUGCUCCGUACUUUUCUCUUGAAUCAUUGAGCACAUCUCUGUAGAAUGACCCAUAGCAGUGCAGAUCCCACACAUCUUGACUCGUGAUGCAUUUCCUAUAGCUAAUUGCCUAACAAAGGAUGUUAAUUCGGUCAACUGCUGUUGGAUAGAAUAUGUUUCUACCUCAUUUACUUUGCGUGUUGGGGCAUCCUCCCUCGUACCAAACUGUUGCGAAUUUUCCGCCAUUCCUUCAACUAGCUCCCACGCUUCUCGAGAAGUCUUGUUCACCAAUGCCCUUCUACUUGCAGCAUCAAUUAUACUCCUGUCUCUAAAACGCAGCCCCUCGCAAAAAUAUUGGAUGAGCAAUUGCUCACUUAUUUGGUGUUGAGGGAACUUGAUGCAUAACUUCUUGAAUCGCUCCCAAUAAUCAUAAAGCGACUCUCCUGGAUGCUACUUGAUACCGUAUAUCUCCUUCCUUAGACUUGCAGCUCGAGAUGCAAGAAAAUAUUUGUCCAAGAACUUUUUCUUCAGCUGAUCCCACGUGGUGAUGCUACCUGGUGGUAGAUAGCACAGCCAGUCUUUUGCGGAGUCCUUCAAGGAGAAGGGAAAUGCCCUCAUUUUUAUCUAUUUUUCUGUAAUUCUCGGAGGUUUUAUGCUGUUGCAAACGACAUCAAACUCUUGCAAGUGCUUAUACGGUUCCUCACCUGGUAAACCAUAGAAAGAUGGCAAGAGAUGAAUUAGACCAGAUUUUAACUCAAAUGAAGUGUUAUCAUUUAAAAAUAGAAAAGUAACUGAGAUGCAGCACUGGAAUGUUCUUCUCGAAAUUGUCUGGUCUCUUUCUUUGUUCUACGCGUAGUCUUCUCUACCUUAGGAUCAAAAAUUAAUUUACCUGUACGAGAAGAACGAGGCAUACACUAGAAAAACACUAGAAAAUUAGAACAAAAAUGAACAUAAAAAGAAACAAAUAAACCAACGUCAGUCCCCAGCAACGGCGCUAAAAAUUGACAAGUUGUCGAUGCCUGUGCAAUAAUAAAAAUAAACCUAGUUACCAAUUAAAAUAAUCAGAGCCUAAUUCUGAGUACUAGAGCAGGGACUAUAGGUGUGCAAUGGGUUACUUGAUUCACCCUAUUCCUGAAGUUUGCUUAACCCGAUAUACCAGAAUGAGAUUGCUUAUUCAAAAGGAAUUAUUGAUUUGUAAACAGGGCAAGUAGGGUCGUAUCAUCAGGGAUUGAAAAAAUUUGUUUCUUUUCAAAUCCACAGUAACAAGGGGAUGUUUUUGUAUAAAUGAUAACAAUCUAAGGAGUGCAAAUAGAAAUAAAUAGAUAACUAGAAAUUAAAUGACAAUUCACUAAAAUUAGAGUAAUAAUAAUUAAAGGUCUAGCUAAGAAAUAACUUCAGCAAUGGUUCACCUAAUUGAUCAUCGACGCAAAGGCAAUUCCAAUUAUUUACUAAUAAAUAGGUUAUAACUGCAAAACAAGCAAUGACAGUCAACCCCUCCUUACUGUCGGUCGGUGAUUAAGGUACGCCCAAUCACUGCUCUAGUUGAGAAAUAAUUUUAGGGACGCUCGUAAGAUUUAAUUUUCCAAUUGCCUUACGUAUUAGAGGAGCCAUAAUCUAACCAAAUAACGCUACCAGGAUUAUUUUAAAUUAACCCGUGUAUUCCCUUGAUACAAAUUCAAUCAUGUCAGUUGUCACUAUUUCAAGGUAAUGAAACAAUUACGGAUUUAAUAUCCUAAUUGACAAUAGGUUACUAAAUCAAUUCACUAUUUCGAUCCAAGAUAAUCAAUCAAUUUAACAACUAAUAGCACUGCAAUCGGAGAAUAUGUAAAUACCAAUAAAUAAGAGGAAAAGAUAAAAUUAAAUCGAUCUCACAAUUUUUAAACAAAUCAAAGUAUCCGUUGUUUCUUGACUAGAAAAGAAAAUUUAGUUCAUUCCUAAUGUGAAAGACCCACGUGAGAAUUCAAAAAUAAUAUUCACGGAUAUUGUCUUGAUUCAAUAGAUUCAAUUGCGUUGGAAUAAGGAUAAAAAGCCAAACUAUAGAGAGUGAUUCAAUGUUUUGUUUCGUUUGCAUUUUUUCUACACAUAUGGAAGAAGAAAAACAACUAAAGGACGAAAAAAAAAAGUCAAAGAAAGGCACCCAAAGUAGUGCUUGGUCUCUACCAUCCUAUUUCCUAUCUAAUUACUACUUCCCUUCUGCGGCUGCCUAGAGGAAGAAAGAGAAAGCAGACUUCAGGUCUUGUUCCAUCUCCUCCCUUUUCGGCAAUUCCCCAAAAGUAGAAAAGUUCCUCCGUUUACCAAAAUGCCCCUGGAAUGAGGACUGCUACUUGAACUCAUUUUCUUGAUAACUGUCAAAUUAGCACUUGUUAUGGUAUUUGCGUCUACUUCCUGUAAUAAAUGUAAAUUGCCAAAAGUGAGUAAACUGAUAAUUAAUUUACAUCAGGUCAGGUAAUAGGAAAAAUUAAUUAUAAAAUAAAUGAUAAAAUUGCAACCUAUCACUUAGAAUAACCAGAAAUAAAACAAAACAAGAAAUGAAAGAAAUAAGAGGGUAGCAUAGACAUUUUGGAUUUUUCUGUUAAUUUGGAUGAUUUCCACCUACGGUCUAAUUUAAUCCAAAACACAAAUGGAUUAUGUGGAGAUUUUUAAACAAUGAGGGAGUAUCGUGACCGAAUCCCAAACCACAAAGGGGAUUUACUAUAUUUUACUCUUAAAUUUUGGUUUCAUCUCAUAGCAUACAAGAGUACUAUUUCACUGUCUGUCGACCAGGGAGGAGGGUUGGGUUGGGUGGUACGGGGGAGGGAGUCUAAGUAAGAGGUCUCAGGUUCGAAUCCUCCUGUUUAUACUAAAAAAAAAAAUUUACUAUCUGUCGACAAAGAUUUUCUAUGGUUGAUGUACCAUAGGAAAAAUCUGCCUAUACAAUUAUUUGGAAAAAUUAUCCAUCCAAACAUAGUCACGAUAGCAUUUUUUCAAAAACACUAGAUGCAAAAUUGUCCCCUUAAACGUGGAAAUUCAUGAUCUUUCCUCGACUAGUCUACUUGUCAAUUUUUGAAAAAAGAAUACUCACGCCAAAAACACGGCCUCUUCAUCUGCAGAAUUCUAAAAAGUUACGUAAACUCUAUAAACAAGUUGAUAGGUACAAUCGUACCCAAGAUCAAGUACAGAUAGUUGUACAUUCACUGCUGCAAUAACUAAUCUGAUGACUUACAAACACAUCAUGGUCAAUCGUUGAAUGGUAAUGAGUCUUUUGUUAUGCAUUAGUAUUAGUGUGUACACUCUAAUAGAUUGAUACUUAUACUCUUUAAAUUAUCAUAAUAAUACCCUUAAUUAACUUUAACCCUUAAAAAGAAUACGUGUUAAUACACGAGAGUGUGUAACCUGAAUUGUUACUUAUACAUUAGUGUGUAAUAGAACGGCAAGCAUUAUGGUGGUCAUUGAGCAACUUAUAGGAGAAAUAGUCCUAUAAGCUGUUCAAUGACCAAUCACAACUUGCUAAUUGGAUGACUAAUAUAGCUCUAGCUGUAAUGUUUUAAUUAAAUUCCACACUAACGUUGGGAUGACUUUUUAAUCAAAAAAAAAAAAGCCUUAGUUCAAGCUUUUCCCCUUAUUGUGCAUUUUUUAAAACAUUUGAUAGGCACUGCAAAUCUGUCAUUUUGGACAUUUUAUUAUUAACUAACAAUGAAAGCCGUGGACAUCAACCCAUAUCCAACAAAAUAUUAAAUUAAUAUUAGAAAAAUUAUUAAGUAAUUGGAAAAAAAAAAGAAGAGGCUAAUUUUCAUUGAAACCCACCGACAAACUAUCCGUGUCCAUAGCUUUUGAAUAGUGCAUUCAACGUUUAAUUGUAUGGUCCAGUUCAUUGCCGAUUACAUGGAGUAAAGAUUGUGCUCUUUCCUUUUUCACCCCUUUUGGAAUCGAUACUGUGGAGAAUUGGGUUUUUCCCUCCUUUUUUUCUUUUCUUUCCUUCUGUGCUUUGCAAAACAUACGUAAAAAUAUGAAAUCCGAAGCAUUCUUUAAUUGGGAUUAAGUAUUGUUGUUGAAAUUAAAAAGAAGAAAGAAAGAACAACAAAAAUCCCAAUCUGGGUUGAUUGUUGAGCUCUAGAUUGGCUGCAUCGUGCUUCCAUAGAAGUUCUCUUAGUGUGAUACGCUGCUUUCAAUCAGUUUUAAUAUUUAAGUAGAGUGCAAAAUAACUUUACUAUUUAAUGGGUUAUAAUGCACCAUUUGGUACCUCUCACCCACCUAUGAUUUGAUUUACUACUGGCAUGGUAAUGGACAGAGUUGGGGGAGCAGGAGGAGGGAGAUGGCGGUACCAGUCCGUCAACCACAGCACACCCUCCCUCGGACUUUGCGUGGUAGCGAAGUGGAGGCAGAUCGAGCACACAUGCACUAACGCCUUAAGUAUGUACAAUAUAUGUAUGCCAAAAGCAUAGCCAAGCCUACCAGCGCAUUUCAAUAAUAUAACCCGGAAAUUAAGGGCAUUGAAUUAAGUACGAUGAAUCAUAUUGGUGCACAAUUACAGUUUGAAGCUACCGAUUCGAGUAAAUUUAAGCGUAAGCACAAUCAAUCGCCAGUCAAAUGCUGAAAUAUGCAUAUGCAUGGAUGAAUGUAUGGGUUUCUUAGUUCCAGACCAAAGGCCAACAAUAAGGGAAGGAAGGACAGUUCUCAUUUUUAGCACGGACAAGGAGAUGAAGAAAAGUGUAUGUAGCUUGAGACAGAACAAUGGCAUGUGACCGCUCCUGAGACCACAUAACGUGGGGUGGGGAUGGGACGGCCAAGAAUGAAGAUGCCUGUCGGUCUCUCCGUGCUGCUACCAUAUGAAUCCCCCGUUAACCAAUUCAAGAUAAGCCUGAAGUUCUUUUCAUCCCCAAACCCUGUCCCAUCUGUGUAAAUCCAACAUCAUCAUUUACGACCUGCAACUCAGGUUAAGCAUGUUCUAUUGAGAUUCAGACACCACCCUUCAAAAGAUAUACUACUGUGAAACCAGCAGCUUAAUAUCAUUGUAUAAAAAAAAAAAAAAAAGAAAGAAGAAAAGACAUGAAAAGCAAAUUUUGUGGGGAUAAUUUCAAAAUCUCUCCUAAAGUUUUUUACUAUUUUACUGGCCUCCUUUCAAAUUUUAAAAAUUACACCAGUCUUCCUUGAGAUUAUUUAUCUUGUAACAUUGAGGUCCAAUCAAUAAUUAAAAAAUGAUAUUAUGAGAGAGAAAAAAAAUAAACUUUAACAUCAUAAAUAUUCUUAUCAACAUAUUAAAGUUAGUUACUGAAAUUUUUAUGGUGUUAAACUUCACUCUUUGUAAUAUUUUAGUUACAGAUUUUUUGAUUACUUGUUGUUGAUUUUUUUUUUUUUAGUGUAAACAGGAGGACUCGAACCUAAGACCUCUCACUUACACUCCCUCCCCCCGUACCACCCCAACCCAACCCAACCCUCCCCUCGUUGUUGAUCAUGUUUGACAAUGGAUUUGUAAUUGAAAAGAACAAUUUGGAUCUUACAUUGAGUGAAAUAUAUAGAAUGAUAUACUAUUUUUUAUGGCAUAUGUGAUUCAAUCCUUGAUGAUAAAAGCAAAUUCAAGUGUUUUCUUUAAUGUUUGUGCUGAUAUUAGAUUAAUUAAAUAAUUUAGUAGAUGAAGGAAAAUGGUGAAAUCAUAUUAUCUUCUCUUUCCUAAUAUCACUAUUUAAUUAUUGAUUGAACUUAGAUAUUACAAAUAAUAAAUCUCAAGGGAGAUUAGUAUAAUUUUCAAAUUUUGGAGAGAAGCUAAUGAAAUAGUCAAAAACCUUAAGGGAGGUUUACAAAAUUAUCCCAAAUUUGUGGGAAUUAGAAUAAUUGUACUGGACGGCACUGCCGCAACAGAGGGAAAGAGGAGGAGGUGCAGUUAACUUUUUGUUGUUUGAAAUCCUUGGUGAAAUAUUACAGAAAGACAGAUAAAACAGUUAGUACAUAGAUGUAUAUGACAGGGAAAAUGGUACGUCUGUUAAUCACAUUUGAAACACUUUCAUUGGUGAAUGACGAAAACUAUCAGGCUUGCCCAAUAGUUGAUCAUUGACCAAGACAAAUCUUGCCAUGCUAGAGGUACCAUCUUUUCGUACCUCUUUAGUGCACAGGACAUUCCUUUGUUUCAUCUAGCUAAUAAUCUACCAACUCAUUUCUUUGCAAAUGCACCUUUUAUGGUCACGUCUACGAAAGCUUUACAGGAUCUUUACCCAAAAAAUCAAUUCACCGACUCGCAUUUGAUGUCAAAAUUUCUUUACUUUACUCCAAGAUUGACUGUUAAUAAUAAUGCCACUUUGAAUUAUCACACCAUCCUUCUUGAUAGGAUUUGUGCUAGAGGUAGGGAGGGAGUCGCUGCAGCCGGUCUUCUCUUCAUAGACAGUACAAUAUUGCGAAAUCGAUCGCAUUCACGCAAUAUUAUAUUUCCAAGUCGUUGCAUGGGUAAGCUGCCAAAAAGUACGAACACAUGUUAUUAUAUAGCUUAAGAUUCAAAACUUUCGAGCAUAACCCUCCACCUAACACAAUUGAAUAAUGGAUAUUCACGAUUGUCAAAUCUGUCAAAGUACAGUUUGAGGACAACCCAUUCCAACCUGCAAAAGGUUUUUUUACUUUUCUAAAGUUGUUGAGAGCUGUUAAAAGAUUUACCAUGCUUACAUCUUCCGAGCCUUGGGAGUUAAAAAUGAAGGCACUGAGUGCUAUAAAAAGGGAAUAGAGGCUGCCUAGAAGCAUACCAGCCUAAAACAAGGAUUUGUAGUUAUGAUGGGAAGCAAAGCAAAAGCAAUGGGGUCUGGGCUGACUCCUCUUCUUGCCACUGUUUUAGUGGUGUUUGUUGCUCUUGGCUUGCCCUCAGAAACUGCAGCUGAUGAUCACUACAAGUAUUCAUCUCCUCCUCCUCCUUACACUAUCCCUCACCACCACCUCCAGUGCAUAUACCUCCACCUCAUCCUGUUUACAAGUACAAAUCUCCACCACCCCCACCACCACACCCAGUUUACAAGUAUAAGUCACCACCACCACCUCCUCAUCCGGUACCACACCCAGUUCCUCAUCCGGUGCCACACCCAGUUCCUCAUCCGGUGCCACACCCAGUUUACAAGUAUAAGUCACCACCACCACCUCCUCAUCCGGUACCACACCCAGUUCCUCAUCCGGUACCCACACCCAGUUUACAAGUAUAAGUCACACCACCACCUCCUCAUCCGGUACCACACCCAGUUUACAAGUAUAAGUCACCACCACCACCUCCUCAUCCGGUAUACAAGUAUAAGUCUCUCCGCCACCAACACCCAGUUUACAAGUAUAAGUCACCACCACCACCUCCUCAUCCGGUGCCACACCCAGUUUACCACUACAAGUCACCACCACCACCUCCUCAUCCGGUACCACACCAGUUUACCAUACAAGUCACCACCAAUCCUCACCCAGUUUACAAAUACGAGUCUCCACCACCUCCAGUUUAUAAGUACAAGUCACCACCACCUCCUCCACCAGUUUACAAGUAUAAAUCUCCUCCACCACCACCACCAGUUUACCACUACAAGUCUCCACCACCUCCUCCCCCAGUUUACAAAUACAAGUCUCCACCACCUCCUCACCACUACUAAGCAAUUGCUUCUGAGGUAAUAACACUUGUUCAAUAUACCCACUUCUGCAUGAUAAAGCAUAUCUCUAUCAACACAAACUGUCAUGUCUAUCAUGCUAAGUGCCUUCACUUCAUCCACCAAAAUGACUGCUAGAAAAUUUUUUUUAUGUUACCAAAGAAAGGCAUCAUUUUUUCCCUCUGUUAUCAAGAACUUGUACAGUAUAUAGAUUAAAGAGUUUUUAUUUUAACUAGCUUAUCAACUUAGAAAUGCAUAUAGCUGAUAACCAGCUGAAUAUUUGCAGGCAAAGGAGAAGGAAACCAUGUUUGAGACCUUCUUGAAGAUGUAGAAGCAUAAGAAUAAAAGCCCAAUGUGAAGAUGAUGAUUUCAAGUUUUUCUACGUUACCAUUUCUUUAUCUAAAUUGGUUGUAGCGCCCAAGUUCCUUUGUUUAUGGGAUUUGUAUCGUUUUACGUACCAUGCAGUACAUGUCAUGUUUGUAAGGUUUUCUAUCCUGCCGGCAAACCGCAGGUUCCAUGUGAUAAAUGAAUACUAUUUAUGUUACGACA
RNAcentral lists this long non-coding RNA (120041 nucleotides) under Coffea arabica (coffee). Its description in RNAcentral is "long non-coding RNA (CARA_LNC007267)". The stretch from base 112298 to 112404 matches the Rfam family "Plant small nucleolar RNA R71". The record is from RNAcentral. Lineage: Eukaryota; Viridiplantae; Streptophyta; Magnoliopsida; Gentianales; Rubiaceae.